RNAcentral lists this long non-coding RNA (93994 nucleotides) under Marmota monax (woodchuck). The stretch from base 72771 to 72841 matches the Rfam family "tRNA". The record is from RNAcentral. Lineage: Eukaryota; Metazoa; Chordata; Mammalia; Rodentia; Sciuridae.
GUGACUGGAACUUUCACCUCUCAUUUGUCCACACCAAGCCUCCAGCAGUUGGUCAGGUACAAUUCCGUUGUUGUUGUUGUCGUUGUUGUUGUUUUUUACCUGGUCCUGGUUUCCACGGCGGUCUCUGCUCAGGGAGAUUGCGAUUCUUGGUGGCCACCUGCCUGUGUCUCCAGUUGUGGAGGCAGUAGUUGGACCUCAGUUCCUGUGGUGGGGCUGGGAAGGGUUAUUGAUAUUUCAGUUUGUUCAGCUUUUGCUUGUGGUUGGAAUGAAGUAGUGUCUUUCAAGAUUCUUACACGCUGGACCACAAACCUGAAGCUCUUCUUUUUUUUUUUAAGUUAGAUUUUUUUUUUUAAUAUUUAUUUUUUAGUUGUAGUUGGACACAAUACCUUUAUUGUAUUUAUUUUAUUUGGUGCUGAGGAUCAAACCCAGGGCCUUGCACUUGCUAGGAGAGUGCUCUACUGCUGAGCCACAACCCCAGCCCCCUGAAGCUCUUCUUAUUAACCUUUUGACCUUUGACAAAUUAACAAUUAACUCAAUUGUUCUCAACCUCAGUUUCCUCAUGUGUGAAUGAGGAUUAUAAUUCUGUUGUGGCACGGCUGCGUGAGGAUUAAAUCCAUGAUGCGUGCACCUCUCAUGCUGUUGGUGCUUGCUGAACGGGAGCUCUGGUAGGGUGCCUCUGGGUGGGCAGGGCUGUGGGGCUGCGGCCUGUCUCUUCUCUCUACUCAGUGCCCAUGUUAUUGUCAUGCUCCACCGUAUCCAAUACUCUCGCUAUUUCCUGGGUUACUGGAGGGUAGGAGACCGAGAAUGGCCCCCCAAGCCUCUCAUUGAAGCAUCAACUUUUGCCAAACCAGAGCCAUGAGUGGAUCAUCCUACAGUGGGCAGGAAGGCUUGAGCUCCCACCCUUUGGACCAAACCUUCAGGUUCACCCUGAAUCUGAAUAGCAGAGCAACAAAGAGUGACAUGACAGCAGCAAACCAAGGAAUACUUUAUGGAUCAUGGCAAAUACUCUAAAGUUCCCCAUUGGUAUUUAAGCCACAUCCCAAGGCUCAUAGAAAAAUCACUGUCAGGCCCAUUAUCUUUGACUACAAAGGACAACAAAAUAUAAUAUUGUCUGCAGCUCACUCCAACAUUCUUGUCCGGUUGUAACAUUUCAGUUUUUUAUUCUUCUCACUGCUUGACAAUAUUAUGAUUUCUUCCUACAGGGGAUGAAAGUACAAGCCCUGCCUAUUUCCCUGCUUGGCUAUUAUUUGAGUUUCUAUUAUAAGCCUCUAGAAGACUGCAGACAUAUAACCCCUUUUUUAAAAGGCUAUACACGUGGUAUUCAGUCUCCAUUCAUCUUUCGUCCACUCUGGUCAGGGAGGGUGCUGAGGCCAGACUGUAAGAUCUUAGUAAUCUUGGGAAUUAGGUUGUGGUUUCAGACCUCAUGAUCGCAGAGUCAAAUCCUGCAGACUUGGCAAAGCUGUCCCUGCCAAGUGCCCCUAUUAUCCGAAUUAAAAACGAGGUGCCUGAUUCCAAGCUGCAGACUCAUUCCAAAACUCCUAGGCAUUCUGGCAUCGUUUAACUCUUGGGUCAUCGGAGUUGAAAAAUGCAGUUUUUUGUGUUUUCCUUUUAACACCUAAUGAUAAGACUCUCUGUCAUUUUGGAAAAGCACUGUCAAUUUUACAAUAUUUUGUAUUUUGAAAAUUAACAAAACAAACCCCCAAACUGACUAUUUUCUCCCUAAACAAUCUAGGAGCAAGCAGGCAAGAGCUAAUGUUUAUAUGUGUGUUACUAUAACAUGAAUUUUAAGUUAAAGUAUCUUUCAAGGUAAAAAUGCAUUUUGAUUGUGAGUUUUUUCCUGUGGACUGUUUUGUACUUCGCCUUGGUUUUUUGGUUGGCUUUGCAACGUUAAUGGCCACCGUUAAUGGCCACCGUUAAUGGCCACCGAAGGAGGUGUGAUUUGGGGCUUCCAUAGGGGGCAUGGGUUAAUAAAGGCUGGAGACACUGUGUGGGUUUCUGUUUUAGUAUGAAUUCACCGCUCAUUUAAAGUGAUUUUUACUCAUCUAUGUCUUCUUCCAAAGAGAAGCCAAGGUGCAGGCAGGUUCAUUAGAGAAAAAAACAGUACAUUGAAAAACUCUUUUUUUAAUAUAUUGAUUUGGCCAAAUUUUGGGGUUUGGAGGGAACUGGCAGUGGGCUGUGGUGCUUGGAGAGCCCAGUGUACUCUGCUGUAGUGCUGGGGACACAGGCGCGGCCCCCCCCACUGGGUUUGUUUGAAGUAGUCACUGAGUGGGUGAGGGGUGGCCUGGCUGGUGCUGCAGCACGGUGCUCCUAAGUGGCAGUGACAGCUCAUUCAGCUGCAGUAUGACCUUCGGGAGAAUGUCUGCCACUCGCCCACUUGGGAGAAUCCCAGACUUUCAGGCAAACAGACUCCUCGCCUAUAAAAUGAGGGAUUUGGAUGAGAUGAUUUGCAAGGUCUCUUUCUGUUCUGAAAUGCUAUGAUUCUAUGAAAUUAAGCCCAUUUGAUCUAAAAUUGGAACUGAAAACCUUCUGGGUGUGUGCAUGGUGAGGAAUGGAUUGCACUGCAGAUAAGACAAAACCUUCCCUUCAGUUUUAUUUAGUUCUUUCCCCCUUUUAAAGGUUCUAUCCCCCCCCCCACCCCGCCCCAAGUCAGUGCCUCCUCUGUUCUGAGUAGGUUCAGAAAAAUGUAAGCCACACUCCUUUCCUUGGGUGCUUUAGCAUUUCCUGAAGGGAGUGACUAACCUGUGGAGUGAUCACAGCACAGAGUCACCUAGACCCGUGCGGAACAGAGCUGAGAGGAGGCCUGAGGUUUCGCCCUGUUCAGGGGCUGAGCCCGACUCCUUUGCUUACUGCAGCCUCACCCCGCGCUUCCCAGGUCUUCUCAGCCUUGCCCCGCUCCUGGGGAAGUCUGCACACUCUGUUCUGCAUGUUCUUCGUGGACACAGCAAGCCCUUGUGGAGGCCAUUUUGAUGGUGACUGAAUUUUUUCCCUUUGGACAGUGAGACCUCACUGGGUGAGUCAGCCAUCUGCGGCUUUCUUUCUCUCCAAGACAAGCCAUGUGUCUCUGUCAACGCUCAGUCACUCAGAGGGCACCAGCUGCUCCUGGGUGCAUUGUGGGGCUUGCAGAGGGAAGUGAGGUUUGCUCUGAGGGAUCUGAGGAUCCUCCAAUCUGGUGGCUCCCCAAUGUUGGCUGCAAUUAGGAUUCCCCGGGGAGCUUUUAAAAAAUACUAAGGCUUUGGCCUCCACCCCCCUCACCCAGAUUCUCGCUUAAUUGGUCUGGGAAGGAGAGGCCCAGGCACCAGAGUUGGUUUACAAGUUCCCCAGGUGAUUCUAGUAUGCAGCCAGAGUUAGAGUCACCAACUAAUCUAGCAGGCCCAGAGAAACCCAGCAGCUUGCUCAAAAGCGACAGGCUGUGUUGCCUCCAGAUGUACACCAGAGGUGUUACAAGAGGAGCUGCAAAGAAUGCUCUGGGUGGACGGUUCCAGUUGCUCUGAUUCUGUGAUGAACUGAAUUAAUCUGGGCUACAUAAGUUAGUCAUAGCUACCACCCAGAUGCUAGAGAAGUGGAGGCUCCUCUCUGGCUGAUAGGAGACUGGUGAUGAGGCUCCUGAGGCCGUGUAUCACAGGGACCCUCCAUGUCAUGGAGACCACAGCACGGCAUGGAGUCCUCGAUGGGCCAUGGACAAGAAGGUUGAAAAUGACCCAUAAUGCAGGCCACCAAGGGGAGUCGCCUGUCUUUGUUGUUGCCUGGAGGCCUUUGUUACAGAGCCUGUUGUCUUUCUGUGCUCUGCUCUGGGUGUCCCCAUCCUGUCAGAAUGCGGGACUUCUCCUUCCAAGAGAGGCUUUCCUGAGUGUGUUCGUGAAGGAGGUGCCAUGUUUAUGCAGGAGAUAUGCCCAGGAGUGCUUUUUUCACUAGGUGCUCAAAAUCAGGCCAGGAAAAAGGAGUGAACAAGCAACCCUUGCUACCAGUCUGCUGUUCCCAGACAGAUGCAUCGUGGAAGAACGAGCUGUCACUGCCACUUAGGACAACUGAAGCUCCACACAGAGCCUUUGUAGCACAGUCAGUGAUGCUUGAAAACCCGACUCCAAGUGAUGUGGACAAGCAGAGGAUAAAGCCUCCUGGGAGUCCAGGGGUCAGAGGAGAGGUCACUCCCAGAGUUCUGCCCCUUUGGAGUGAAGGGGACAUCAAGAGGUGGCUCUGUCUUGAAGUCAGGAGGAUAUGUGGCUGAGCUUCUGUCACUCUCAGCUUUAGCAGCUCCCAAGUCCUCUGGCUGUUUUGUGGAGGGACUGUGGCAGCCCCUGAGGAAGGCAGUGUCCUGAAAGAGAACUGUGGUCACUGGUUAGCGCCAUCAAUAUUUCAGGCCACCUGAGGGAUGCUGAGCCUUGGAAAAGAUGUGUAAGAGGUUGUGUCUUGGGUAGGGGCGUUCACUCAAGAGACGUUUAUCAAGUUCUUAUGUUAGAUUCUGCUACCUUUGGGGAGAGGGCAGAGGGUGUUUUAGACACAGGAAAUAAAACCCCAAAGCAGUGAGCUGGACGGAGGAAGAUAAUAGAAUGCAUUUCUUUUUUCUUCUCUGCUUGUGGAAAUAAUUAUUGGGAAAGAAAGCCCUGUCUAAGAAUUUAAUCUGGGCCAAAGAACAUGUAAACUACAAUUUCGUAGUUGGGUUUUCUCUGUGGAGAGAAGUGGUUAGGGACAGGUGAGUGCCGUUGCUGAAGGACAGUUCUAGGAUAGCGUAGGCCUGUUUUCACAGAGCUUGCCGCCUGGAGGGAGACACAGGACACACAGAUUGCACACGGCUCGCACACACACUCGCACACUCAGUACGGGUGCCCGCAGGUUCCAGGAAGGAGAGUAAGGGGGGAGGCUGGAGGAUGUCUAGGUAGGUGGCUGGGAAGGCUCUCUGAGGAUGUGACAUCUGGACAGAGGCUGAAGGAGGUGAGGGAUUUGGCCACACGGAGUCUGAGGGAGCACGUGAGGCAGGGGAAUGGCAAUAAUGAGGACCCUGAAGGGGGAAGGACAGCCAUAUGGCUCCUACUCCACGAGCAAGAGAAGACUGUGGUGCCCCACUGUCACCUUUGGCUGGGAGCUCAAGGAGGAGUCGGUAAAAGUGGCAUCUGGACCAGCCUUGGAGGAGUCACAGGGUUUCAGAAGGCCAGGUUCUAAGCACCGAGGGAAGACCGAGGCCCUGAUGUUCCCAAGGCCUUACGCUUGGGAGCUGGUCAAUAAUAUUUGUGGAUAAGUGGACAGUUGGGGAGGAGGGAGGCACGACAGGCCCAGGGAAGGCUGUGAGUAAAGGUGUCGGACUGGGAAUGCGCGGCCCGGUGUGUUUGGAAUGUCGGUGAGAAAAAUGGUGUGAAAAUGUCAGGCUGUGAAUAGGUUGAGGUAAUGAUAAAAAAAAAAAAAGGGCAAAACUACUAAAUGCUGAAGUUUGGGCUUCGUUUUGUAGUUAAGGAGGAACCGGGUGGUUUUUGUGGGUGGAACUGCACACAUCAACAGAACAUAUGCUCAGGAGAAUCGGCUGGGGGCUGGGGGAGCGCCAUAGAGACAUGGUUGGCACAGAUUUUGAGACUGAUUAGAUGGAGGGGGAGAGAGGUGGGGUCCAGGGUAUCUGAUGUUCAAUUGACCAGGAAGAUGGUGGGAUUACUGACAGGGAGACAGGAAAAUGACAUGGAAUGAUUUUGCGAUGACAGUAGUGCACCAGGUGUCUAAUGCUAGCUAACGGAAGAGCAGGGUGAUGCUCAGAGAGAGAGGGAGGUUGGAUCUCUGUCUAGGGGAAACAUGGGUAUUUGGAACUCAAGAACAGGGUGUUUUAGGAAAUGAGAUGAGAAUCUCACAUUUGGGUUGAGAAAGAAAAGGAACCCAGAAGGAGGGCCAGAGGAAUGCAGAGGAGCAGAAGUGCCCAGGGCCAGGGAUGCCAGGAAUGGAAGUGUCAGGGGGAAGGUGGCCAGGAGAGUCAGGUGCUGUGACUUCACAGGAGUCCUGGUGACUUCUGGGAGGUGUGUUCGUUGUGGACUGGACCUUUCUCCAGCAGGGCCAGCCGACUCUCACUCAUGGGGCUCUCGGUCUAUGAACUAGAAGAAAGUUAGGAGCUGGUUGCGGGGCCACAGCUCUCAGGCGAGACAGUUCAAGUCAGAUUUCUGCUUGUCAGACUAAGUGGGCACACAUCUGUUCUGUCCUAGAAACACCAGCGGUCUCUGUGGGUCAGCCAUUCUGAUUGCUGCCUUGCUCGGCUGCCCAUUUCAGUGACUGUGCCAACCAUGUCUUUGUGAUGAAGAACCCCUGCCACCCGGCACUCCUGUCCUGAAGAAUUUGAUAGUCCAGUCCCGUGGCAGAAGUUCCCACUGUUCUCCUGGCCUGCAGAGGAGAGCCACCAUAAAGAUGUUCCAGAAGCCAGGUCUGUCCUCAUCCUCUCAUUUCUCACAGGCCUGGAGGCACAGGUAGGCAGGCAGUGGCUGAACAGGUCUGUGUAACGGGUUUACUCUACAGUUUGGAUCCCCCUAAGCUGCUGGCUAUCUUAAGGUUCUCCAAUGAGGCCUGGCAUUGCAGCUUCAGUAGUGUAGGCCUCUUUGCUUCUAUGUUUCUGGAAGCCAACUUCACAACCUCGGAGGAUUACUGCCAGCUGCUUGAGUGGCCACACUGACUCUUGUCUCUGCUCAGUGAACUCACAUCAACAAAUUGGCCCAAUCCCAUGUGCCACUUCCAUCCUGAUCCAGCCCUUAGGGUUCAUUCUCACAUGUUUCCAAGAUACCAUUGAUGAAAGUUCAUAGCAUCUUUCCCUUCUUCAGUGUGUGUGGCACCUCCGCACGCUCUGGAUCAGCUCCUGAGGUCUGCCAGAACUAGAGUCUGGCCACCGGUCAAGAAGCAAGGGAAGGACAUGUUUUAGUUAACUUUUCCUCAGUGUCAUAAAAAUACCUGUCAAGAAAGAUUGAGAGGAGGGAAAGUUGGUUUUGACUCAUGGUUUCAGAGGUUUAGUCCAUGGUAGUCUGACUCCAUGGCUGUGGGCCUGAGGUGAGGGUUAUAUCACGCAGAAGAAUGUGGUACAAGGAGACAGCUCAGGACGUGGCUACGAGAAGCAGAGAGAGAGCUCUGCUUACCAGGGACAAAACCUAAACCCCAAAGGCACAUUCCCAGUGACCCACCUCCUCCAGCCACACCCUACCUACCUACAGUUACCACCCAGUUAAACCAUAUUGGUGGAUUCAUCCACUGAUGAUGUCACACCUCUCAUGAUCUAAUCAUUUCACCUCUGAAAAUUCUUGCAUUGUCUCACACAAGAGCUCUUGGGGGCACCUCACAUCUAAACCAUACCAGGCCAUGAGUAGGCCUGGGGGAGAAUCAGCAGCCCCCUGCAAGGAGCUGCCUAGCAGAGACCAGUCCAGGUUCUUGAGUCACAGGAUGAGUUCAGAAAGAGGAAACAGACCAGGAGGAAGGGAUGCUUCCACUGACAAUCAGAGUUGUUGGGAACUAGCUUAAGUUUUCAGAGUCCCCAUCAAUGCCCUGAUUUUAACAGUGAAGAUCCUUCAGGCCCGUGAAUUCAGUGUGCUUGUGACUCAGCAAUCUUUAGAAUUGGACGUAGGGCUUGGCUACCAGAGAGUUGUAGAAGCUUUGUGGUCCUCCUCGACUGGGAGCUAGAACCCCAAACACAUCAUUUUCUAUUGCUAAGUUCUUUAGUACUCUCAAAGCAACUGACUCCGUUAUGUUGUUUUGAUUGAACGUAUUAUAGCAGCAACUAUAUUAUAGUUUUUUUUAUCAACUGUAUUAUAGCAGUGGUCACUCAAAACCUUGUCUUUAGAUACUUGAUUAUAAGCAACAAUUUAGUGAAUAUUUUGCCAUCAAAUGUCACAGGCUACCAGUGUCCUCUUUGCCACUUUUGACAAAUGCAGUGAUAUUAAUGCUUUCAAAUCUCAUCCGAUCCAAUUCUAGAUGAACCAGUUCCAAUUCAAAGAAACCAUUUUUAAAGUUCUAUUCUCCAUUGUGUUAAGAGAAAUAGCCCAACUCAGAGGGUCAAGGGUUGUGUCUCAUAUAUGGAAGCUGGAGAGGAAAAAGGAAAAGAAAGGUGGAGGGAGCUAAUAGAAAUCAAAGGGAGAUCAGCAGAGUAGAGGAGAGGGAUCCGGCGAGGAACGAGGAAAAGGAAAGGGGAGUACUGGGGAAUGGUACUGCCACAUUAUAUCGUCAUGUUGUGUGCAUGUGUAAAUAUGGAACAACAAAUCCUACCACUCGGUACGACUAGAUUGCACCAGUAAAAGUAUGGGGGAAAAAUGAAGGUCUGUUCUCCUAAAACUACUGCCAGUGUCAAUGUGGGCCUCAGGUAGGGUUUGGUCAGGGAAGCGGGGCCACUGUGAGGGACAUGCAUAUGGCAUUUUUUUAUGGUAAUUGGACCAUAUACCAUUGUGGAAGCUGGUGCAAGUUCCGUGGAAGACUGUUGCCUCUGUUUGGUGGGAGGCUGGAUGUCUUCCAGGGCCAGAAGUUGGGGAGAAAAGCUAGACACCAAGCAGGGGAACUUGAGGACAAACUGGAACCUCUGAAGAGAAACUACACCCACAAGGACAAAUUUACUUCUGUGUGUCUCUUGCCACCUCCAACCUCGAUGACCUAAGUGACCUACAGGAGUAGCUGGUGUCCUUUGCUGUGGAGCUGCACAAUGCUGGCCCAGGACCAGAGAAGCUGGGGGAGGAAAUCCAGCAGAAGGAGGAGCCUGUGCUCCAGUGGGGCCUCAGGCCAACACCCUGCGCCAGAAGAUCGGCACAAGCGUGACCUGCUGUGUGCUGCUGGGCCCUCCCGACCUUCAGAGCCCCAGCCUCACAGGUCUCUUGCCCUUCUCUGGUGGCCGCCCUCAAGCAGACCAUGCAGUCCGAGAAGUUCCACUUAGCUAUGCUGUCAUUUGACCAAAUGCCGGUAGGACAGAGGUUCCUGAGGUGGGAGCUCUGCAGCCUGCGUGAGAGCCCUGGGGGCCCAGGGUUCAGCCGGUGUGGACAGCUGGAGGGAGGUGCUUCCCAAACUUGCCGGUCGGACUGAUUCCACGUGUUGUCCCAGACCUAGAGUCAAUAUCUAGGGGAAAGUGCCUGGGAAUCGCUGACUAACCAGGACCUCAGGCGACUCCUGUGACUCAGCACAUUUCUCAAACUCCUGGGAGGAGCUUGGGCCAAAGGAAGCUUUAAAGUUUUAAUUCACUUAUUUAUUACGUUCAUUAAGAUUGGGAGGGUAGCUGGCUUUACAAACAGAGGGGAAAAGGCUAAGAGUAGGGCAGGCAUUGCCGGAGACAGGAGGGCAUGUGGGGGGGAGGACUGAUGUCUCUUGCUAAAACGAGAGAAACCUAGGGGGGAGAGAGAGAGAAGCACUGGUGGCAGAGGGAGGAGGUGGAGGCCACUUCUGCAGGACCAGCUCCAGCAAAAUGGGGCAGAACGGAGGCCCAGGUGGGGUGUGGAGCUGGAUCCAGACCAGAGGGACCCUCUGAAGUCAUCCAGAGAAGGUGAAGAUGCAUCAGUGGGGAGCUGGGUGGCUAGGAGAGCAGGUGGACCUGCAGUUUCUCGAAUUCCACCAGGGGCAGGAACUGCUUCCAGAAUCUUUUAAAUAUCAAAGACUUACUAAACAGCCUGAAUGUUGGGUCUCAGUAGAGUAACAAGACAUUGAUUUCAUAGCCUUAACUUACACAUCUCAUUUUCUAACUAAGACCGUAAUUUUGCAAGGCGUGGUGGUGCACAUCUCUAAUCCCAGCCACAUGGGGCGGCUGAGGCAGGAAGAUCUCAAGUUCAAAGCCAGCCUCAGCAACUUAAUGAGGUCCUAAGCAAUUUAGUCUCAAUAUAAAAAAAUAAAAAGCACUGAGAUGUGGCUCCGUGGUUAAGCACCAAACCCAACCCAACCAAAAACGAACAAAAAGAACUAAUUUCUGUAUUCUUUAUUCUCCCGCAUCUGCUAAAUAAAAAAGAAUAGACAAUUGGAGAUCUUUGUCAUCUUGACAGGGUUGAUGAAUUUACCCUUGCUGGGUUUAAUGUUUAGGUUUAGGAGCUUAUUAUUAUUAUUAUUUUAUUAGUUGUUGAUGGACCUUUAUUUUUAUUUAUAUGUGGUGCAGAGAAUUGAACCCAGUGCCUCACACAGCUAGGCAAGCGCUCUACCAUUGGGCUACAACCCCAGUCCCAGUUUAGGACCUUAUUAAGUCUCUUUGGCUGUAGUUGGGAGUGGGAGAUGGAAUCAGAUCUCACUGCCUCAGGACCUGGAGACCCCAGGUGUCUGGAAUGGGGUAGCUGUGUGCCAGGGGGAUGCUAUCAGAAGUCAACAGGAGGAUGCCUGUCAACACAGCAUGGUGCCUGGUGUUUAGCCAGUCCUAAUGGUUAUAGCCUUGGUGUCAGAUUAUGUGAAGGUGACCAGUGAGAUUUGAGAAAUAGUUCAGUGUGGACCAGGUUGAAAGGGCAUCCAUUUGGGUCUAGUGAAGGUUUCCUGGUGGAUUUGGUUUCUUUUAUCUGACCUUCCAAUACCCAGCCCUGUCCUUGGGCAGGUUUCCAUCUUAAUACACCCAUCCCUCUCUCUCUUCCUUAUUUGGCCCUGGUUUCUGUCCCUUUGUUUCUAGCAGGGGCAGAAGCUCUCCCCAGGAGAGCUCCUCUCCUCUGCCUGGGCCUCUGCCUUCUCCCCGUGCUUCGCUUCCUCUCCUACUCCUGUUCAGGCCUGUUCCAUGUUUAGACUUUCCACAGCAUGGCAGCCCUGCGCCAGGAGCUCAAGGCAGAGAGCAGAAACCUGAGCAGGGGAUCCGGGAGGUCUGAGGGCCUGGAGGACAUGAUGGCCUGGGGAAGGGGUGGACCUCCUGGCCACUGUGCAGCUGCUGGGUGCCCAACGCUGCGUUGCUCUCUUUGACAGGCAAACCAAAGGGACAACAGAGGAGGAGGUGGAGAGGGAUGAGGGGUGACCAUGUGAGCUUGUCUGUUUCCCAAAGUCAGUGCCGAUGCCUGGCUGCUCACAGGUAUGCAGCCACAUGGAAAUCCCCACCCGACUCACCUGCACGAUGGGGAGGACAGCGUUUGAUUAGUCUGGAAUGAAUUUGGAUUUGCUGGUUUGUCUUGGUGAUGAGUCUUUUAUUGUUUUCUUUCUUGUGGAGGACAGGGCGGCUGUGAGGAAUACUUUAUGCACAGUAAAGCUGUCUACCCUCUGUGUUGAAUUGAAGAAGAAAAACGGAGAAACCUAGCCUUGUUCCCUUCUCCCAGAGGCCGGGGACAUCCAUGUGUGUAGUGCUUUUGAUUAGAUCUGCUGUUUGCCCAUGGCAGUCAUCCAUAAAAACACGCCUUUCCUAUAUACAUCCUUCACCCUCUGCACACGAAGCCCUCCGCUCUCCCUCCCUCUCUUUCUCUCUCUUUUUCAUCAAAGCCAAACAGAGUGGUGGUUUUCUUCAGUAAAAACCCCUCUUCUUUUUGGCUCCAUGCCUGGCUCUUCCCAAGGUGCUUGGAAAGAAAGGAAAAAUUCAGAAUCAUUUCCUUUUGUUCUUGACUGAUUCAUGGGUGGAGGGAGGAAAGGGUGGUUUUCAGUUUGAAACACAGUGCGAUGUUCAAGCAGCUUUAACAAAUGGUGCCCACUAAUCCGCUUCGGUGGGUUGUCCACCAGUUGCGAGCCCUUCCCUCCCCUUUUCUUUUCCUCUCCGUUGCUGAAAGCCCAGCAGCCAGCACGAUGCUCGGCACACAGUGGGCGUCUGGUAAUAGGAGAAAACAGAAUGGUGUGCGCUCAAUCCCACGUGGCACAGGCACACCUUCACACGAAGCUUAAGAGCUUGUCAAGACCCACGUAAAUUAAAAACAACAUUUGCACCAGCGUCUCUACUUCCAGAGCUUCAUUUCAUGGCGUGCCAUGGCAUAGAUCAGUCUUAACUUUCUCAACCCAACGAGAGUUAAGUAGGAGCAGAAAAAUCAAACCGAGGCUCUCUUAAUUAUAGCAUUGGUUUGAAAGCAAUUAUUGAACUGUGGGAUCUCAUUAUUUGUCUUUCUGUCCAUCCAUAUAUCCAUGUGUCUAAGAUAGUCAAGAGGUCACAAAGGAAUUCAGCUGGAAAUAUGGUUCCUCUAAAGUCACUGAUAAGAAUCGGAAUUGGCGUGAAUCUCUGUGGCUGGGUCCACUUCCAGGACCAAAUAAAAGCAAGCCAGCAGUCCUGGGAGGAACACCCUUCAGCAUAAUGGUUUUGCUAACGUCAUCAUGUGAAAAAAUGGAUUUACUUUUACAAGUAUAUUUUGCAAAACCAAGAAAAGAAAAGAAAGGGGGGGGGGGGAGAAAAGCUAAGAAAGGAGAGUCUUACACAUUUCCUAAAAGGAAAAUUCAUUCUCUUUUCCCCACCAGUGCUGACUUGCUGCCUUAAAGGAGAAGCCUGUUAAAAGAACAUAUUUGUGUGUGGAGCAAGGUCAUGCACUUAUUGGUUUUCUGCUGCACAGCAUAAAUAUACCAGACAAGGAGAAUCCGUUUGCUUUUACUGCAGCCUGUACUGUGCGCAAAGGCUGUGGCACAUAUAUAUUUCUAACGCCGGCCAUGCCAAAGUGCAGAGGAGCCCAGUCAGGGGUUUCCGAAUCAGAGGAGGCUAGCCAAGGUUUGUUGGAAGAAAUAAACAUGUUACCUGGAAGCACACUCCAGUCUUUCCAUCUUUACGUCGGGAAUGUGGUUCAGAAGUGGGUGGGACCAGCCUGCAGGGUCCAAGUCUCUUGAAGCUGGUAACAGGCAGAUGACUUCCCAAAACGUUCUCGAAUUCUCCCUUCUCUUUGGCACUCAUCUGUCCAACUGUUGCAGCCUGACUAAUAUUAUUAAUCCCUAUGCUUCUCCUCCUUCCUUGACCAAAGUGGCAACACUUCACUUAUUCAGCAUGGUCCAGGAUGAACCGUUCUACAUAACUGCAUUUUCCAGCCGGCGAAUUUCACUUUGCUGAGCACCAGAAUGUGCUUUGUUUUUGUCAUUUUGAAUAGCAAUCCUCCUAAAAUGUUUUAAAUGUUUACAUUCUUAAAGAUCUUGCCCAAACACGAUGUAACUUCAUCUCAGUGAUUGGGGGGCGUUUUCCAUACACCAUCUGUGCUGUAAACAGGGCCGCCCUCGCAGGCCACUGCAUGAUUGGGGCUGCCUGGCUGUGCUGAAUGGCUUCAGGGGCUGCUCGUUCUGAGUCAGGGCUCAGCCUCAACUUCUGUAUCUGUAGGGAGGUGGUAGUGCCUACUUUAUCAGCUGCCGUUAGAAGCAAGUGAAGCUGCGUGCAUGGUGCGUAGCACAUAGAAGUGUUCAAUGUGUCUUAGCUCCUUUUUUUGUGUUUUGAGACAGAGUCUUGCUGUGUUGCCCAGGCUGGUCUCCAACUCUUGGGCACAAGCAGUUCUCUAGCCUGGGCCUCCUGAGAAGCUGAGACUACAGGUGCACAUCUCCACACCCAGCUCCAUGUCCUUUAAGCGAGGAAUGACAUUAGAUGUAAUCACAUGACCAAAAUGCAAAAGUGACAUUGGUAUACAUGCAUAGAAUACUGUCAAGAUUGGUAUGACUGUUCUCUAGAGCACAGUUUGAUAUGGUUUAUUCAUUUCUUGUCAGUGUUCUUCUGGCUGAUCAGAGAAGGGUGCAAAGCCCUAGAAGCAUCAUAUUGGGUCAGUUUGUCUCUUCUCCUUUCUUCCCUUGAAACUUGCCCCCAGUGCUUGUCCACUGUCUUCUGCUAGCUCAGGAGGAUCUAUCUAUAGUUCCUCAGGAAAUUUUCCUUUCUCUUUUAUCCAACUUGCUCCUGACUCAUUUUUAUACUAGGUGUUCCUUCAGCCCCAUGUGCUCAAUGUGUUUUGUGACCAUUUCUGUUGAUGGACAGGGAGCUUAGGUGUGAAUGGGGACUGUGGACUUGUCAAGGCAUCUAAAUGCCCAUUCAGACCAGCUUCCUUUGACAUGUUAGUCUGGGGUGCAUAGAAAGGAAGAGAUGAUGAUAGACUGGCAAUUCUAAUGUGCACAGGGGGGAGCAAGUGUGGGGAACACACUGGCUCCAGGGACAGGCUUUCUCCAUCCACGCGUGGAGACUGUCCCAGAGAAGAGAUAGUUGUUGGUACUGAGGAUGAGUUGGUGGACAGGGCCUUGAAGGGGUUGCACCUCCACCUGGUGGGGAGCCCUGCCUAUCCCUGGACUUCCUGCAGCACCCUUCUCUCCUGCCCCACCUCCCUGGCACUCUUGGAAGUUUCUGCCUCCUUCCUUUCACCAUGGUCUGUUCCUUGAUCCUGAGCCAUUUCCUAGACUGUCAAUUCAGCUUGACGUGUUACUGGUUAAAACUCACCAUCCAGAAGUGAAGCUCAGCUUCUUCCCAUUUAACUGGAUGCUAGAGGUAGCCAUCCCUGGAGCCUCUUUACAUACCAUCCACUCUGCCAAUGCAGAUGUCCAUCUCUGUGUUUCCAACAUGCUCUUCCUCGCCCCAGGGGUCCUCCUGCUGAUUUAUUUUUCCUUUGCUGGGAGAUGUCCCUUGGCCUUUGGUGGACCAGAGGUGGUGAUGAACAGGAGGAUCCCAGGGUGGAAUUCUCCUGCACCUCUCCUGUUCAAGUCUCUCAGGGAAGUGGCCUUUCUGAGUUGGAUCACUGUUGCUUUCCAACAGAAAAAUAACUGUAAGAACAAUGAUUUCAACUUAAUAAUAAAAGGGAUCUACUAGCUUACAUAGUAAAUAUGUAUUGAAAAGUGUCUCAUUAAAAUGGUAUAAAUAAAACCACAUUGAAGAGAGCCAGGUUGGCUGUUCCCAGACUUGUUCAGAUGGCAAUGUACCUGGAAGUCCUGAUGCUCUUUCUGGUACAAGCCCCUGAAAAAGAGACAUCUUCAGCCUCAUCAUGCAAGCCAGGAUGAUUUUUCCAGAAGAACAUGUGACUAUACCCUGUAAGUACCAGGUAAAAUUACAAGCAUAAGCUCCUCAAAAAAGAUCCAGUGUCAAAUGUGACAUGAUGGGAGUGUUUUCUUUAAUAAUUGUUAGCAGGUGUUUAUUUUCUUUGUUAUCAACUCUCCUUCAAGAGCAGAUAAGUGGAGCAGCCACCAGAUUGUUUGAGAAAAAUAAAUGGGAGAUGAGAUUGAAAUGGUUAAAAGUAGAUUCAAAGUGUGUUCCUAUCACUGGGAAUUCUGCCAUCAUUAUUAUUAUUUUCAGUUUUAUUGGUCAAAUACUUUCACUUUCUAAGCAGUGCUGUAUGGCAUCUGUUUCUGCACGUUUCUACUCUAUGAGGACUCACUGCAAAGAAUCUUUUUUGUAAACUGAAGAAUAAAUUUUACAAUGCAAAGCUCAACCUCUGUUUUCUUUCUGACAAUACAUGUUUGUAUGUGUGCAAAUGCGCAUUGUGUACAUUCAUGCCUUCUUCCUCCUGGAUUCACAACAUCAAAGAGGUUAGGUCCUUAGGAAGUAAACUGUAACCCUUAAGAUAGAGUUCAAUUUAUUUGGUUAGUAGAAUACUAAUGGAAGAGAUAUUUUAUAAUAUAGUACAAAGUGUGUCCCAGAAAACUACCAACUACCCAAAUUAGCUUCAGCUGAGGAUGCUUUCAAAAAAAAAAAGUAGAUCCCCAGAGCAUACUUCAGGCCUGCUGAAUUAGAAUCUUUGGGCUGAGGCCCAGGAAGAGGCUUUUUAAACAGUAUUUCACAUGAUUCUUAUAUAUACACCCAAGCUUGGGAGCUACUGGUGUAGUAUUGGAGAACACAGUCACUGAAGUCAAAUUUGCCUCUGCCACUUAUUUGGCUUGUGGAAAAUUGCUUAAGCCUUGUUUUCCUCUUCUGUAAAGUAAGAAGAGUAGGCAAGCUACCUUAUAAGACUCUUGGGAGGAUGGGAUGACAUAAUGUAUGUAAAUCAUGUUUGCAGAGCGACUGGCUCAAAACAAGUCCUUGUGGUAGAUACAGUUGUUUAUAACUUAGUCUGUUUUCUGUGCUGUGAUAGAAUUCCACAGACUGAGUAAUUUGUAUAGAAAAGAAAUUUAUUUCUCAUCGUUCUGGAGCCUGGGAAGUCCGUAUAAAGGCACUGGCAUCUGGAGAGGACUUUCUUGCUGCGUUGGAACGUGGCAGAGGGCACGCAUGGUGAGAGGGAGGGAGCAUGCAAGCUCAUGUCUCUUCUUCUUCUCAUAGAGCAUAAUGGGGCCUCACCUUCCAUCCUGACUCUGAUGACCUAACCCAUCUCCAAACACAUCUGAACAUGGGGAUUAAGUUUCUAAUGUGAACUUUUGGGGGACACUUAAAUCAUAGCAGUGAUCUAGACUAUAAUUCUUGGUAAUACCAGUUUAACUCAGAUGUCUCUCAAGUAUACAGACGUUUUGGUGGUAGCGAGGAACUUAAACUGGCAACUGCACAGUGAACACUUUAGAGUAACGUUACCUGUGUAUGUACACAUCCAGUCCACGGCAGGGUGCACCUGGAAGGAAUGUGCAGUAGUCCACAGUGGCUGCCUGUGUGCAGGGAGUCUCGUCAGAAUGGGAGUCCUGGAGUGUCCAUGGUGACUAGAUCAGCUGUUUGGUUCAGCUGCCACAGUGGAGGAUCAUACUGGCAAAGGAUUGCCAUGUGCUUGUUCUGGGGAUCUUUGACUCUGUAGACAGAAAGUUCCAAUGACAGGGACCAGCAAAGUGAGAAGAGGUGAAAUAUUUUGGGUAAGUAGCUGACAGCUAAAGAUGGUAGAUGCUGAUGGUUUACCUCCCUCCCCCUACCCUUCCCCCAACUCUCUACAUCCUUCCCCCGCUUUAAAAACAUGACACAUUUUUUUUUGUUUACAGGAAAUAAUAAAAAAUUUCCCUCUUAAAAUCUUUCCUGAAUACUUUUUGUAUGUAUUUGUUGCUUUAGUCUUGUAAAAGGGGUCAUGUAUUUACUGUCUUUCUGAAAGAGAAAUUGUCCUUGAUGCUAAAUAUUAUGUUCAUCUUGCAGAACAGGCUAAAUGCUUGCCACAGCUACCACCUCUUCUUCCUUGAUGUGAUUUUUACAUUUACUUCCCCUCAAAAACCACACCAUCUUCUGCCACUUCCCAUAAAGCAGUCAGGCUGGUAACUAUAUUUUGAUACUACUUACCAACCACCAGAUAGAAGUCCUGACAAGUGAUUCCUGAAAAUAGAAAGAGAAUAGCAAGCACUGUCUUUUUACCAUUGUACCAGUUGUCUCCAAACUUAUUUUAAUUCUAUGCUCUAUUAAAAAGAAUACCAUGAGCACACAAUAUUAUAUAUGUGUGCAUCUUUAUAUAGUCUAUGUGUAAAUGUACUUAUGUGUAAUUUUAUUGUAUGUAUCAUGAAAUGUACAUCAAAUCUAAACUACAUAAGAACAUGAAAUAAAUAAUAUUUUAACCAUAAUCUAUUUUAUCUUAUUUCAAUGGCUGUGAUGGUAAAUUUGAUGUUUCAACUUGGCUGGGACAUGGGUUGCCCAGAUAUCCAGUAAAACAUUAAUUCUGGGUGUGUCUGUUUCUAGAUAAGAUUCACAUUUGGAUAGGUAGACUGAGAAAAGCAGAUUUCCCUCCCCAAAGUGGAUGGGCCUCAGUCAAUCCACUGGAGGCCUGAAUAGAACACAGUGUGGGGUUGAGGGAGGAUGUGUAGUCUACGCCUGACUGCUUGAGCUGGGACUUGGUCUUUUUGCCUGAGACUGGGUCUUGCACCAUCGGGGCUCCUGGUUCUCAGGCCUUUGGUCAUGGACUGUAUUAUGUCACAGAUUCCCUGGGUCUGCAAGUACAGAUGAAGAUGGCAGGACUGCUCAGCCUCAAAUCAUGUGUCCCAAUUCCCUAAAAUAAAUCUCUCCAUUUCUCCAUACACUCAUAUAUAUGUGUAUGUAUAUGUAUAUGCAUUUAUGUCUGGAUGCUGAAUACUACAAUUAUAAAUCAUUUCACUCUCAUUAAAAUAUCUCAAAAUCUUAGAUACUGUUGGAAUAAAUUUCAUUGGCCUUUGAAGAGUCUCAUUGUAUUUGGAUCUGAUAUCAAUGAUGAGAUCCUAGAUUUUGAGUUGAGGCUGUGAGACUUUGGGACAUGUGAGAGGGAGUGAGCAUAUUUUGCCUGUAGGAGGGAUGUGAACCAUUAAGGGUCAAAGGGUGGACCGUGGUGGCCAGUUCAAGAUGGCCUCCAGUGGUCCUUGCCUUUUGGCAUUUAGGCUUGUUUAGUCCCCUCCCACACUUCAUCAGGGGUGGUUUUUGUGACCAGUAGAAUAUGGUGGAGGUGAUGGUGUGUGACUUUUGAGGUAUGACUUUGCCCCUUUUGCUUUGCUUUCUUAGUCUGGUGGAUGGAUGCCAACUUCCAUGUUGUGAGGAGACUCAAGCAGCCUAAUUGCAGGUCCACUUGGUGAAGAACUGAGACCUCUUUCAUGGGAUCAGCUUGCCAGCCAAUUGAGUGAGCUAUCUCAGAGGUGGCUCCAUCCCUACUGAAGCCUUCAGAUGUCUUUAGGCCUGGCCAACAUCUGACUGCAACCUCAUGUGAGACCCUAAGCCAGAAUCACCCAGAGAAGCUGCAGCCAAAUUUCUGAUCAUUAGCAACUGUAUGAGAAUCUAAAUAUUUGUUACCUUUUGAAGUCAUUGGGUUGUAGGGUGACUUGUUACACAGCAAUAGAUAGCUAAUAAAAAUAUGAAUAUUUUUGUGGGUUGCUUUUCAGAUAGAGUUUUUCCUUUUCUUUUCUUUUUUUUUUUGACUUUUGUGUGACUAACAAGAGCUCCUGGUAGGACUCAGGAAAGUAUUGGUUCUUUUACUUUUGUAUAAUUUAUCUGUGUUUGCGUUGUUGCUAUUUUCUUCCAUCCUUGUGGAAAUUUUUUAAGCUGCUUCUCUGAAUUGCAAGUGUUACACGCAAACUGUAAUGCAUCAUGAAGCACUAAAAGUGAAUGCAUGACUGAGGACCCACUGCAUUUUGGGUACCCUUUCCUCCCUUAAAGUUCUUCCAUACCACUGUGAUCUAACCUCUGACACCAGAUUGAGUGGAGACACCAAUGUCAAUUGUAUAUUAAAUAUUAAUAGAUUAAUUUCUUCCUGGCUUUUGUUUUGGGAAAAUACAAAACAUAAAAACAGUCCUAAGAUUUUUUGCACACCCCACUCUAGGGCUCAUCUUGGAUGCAGUGGGCUUUGGAAACUGCUGUUUUAGAACAGGGUUUGGCACCCAUCUGCCUGUUUUUCUGAGUGACAUGCUGUUAGAAUACUGCAGUGCUCCCUCCAUGUUGUCAUUGGCUGCUUUGUGUUUAUAAAGACACAGGGUUGAGCACCUGCAGCAGAGGUAUUAUGACCUUCAAAGCCUCAAUCAGAAUAGUCUCCCAUAUCCAUCAUUUGGUUUUCCAGGGUUUCAGUUAUUCAAGCUCAGCAUUGUCUGAAAAUGUUAAAUGGGAAAUUCUAGAAAUAAACAAUGCAUAAGUAUUAAGUUGCAUGCCAUUCUGAGUAGCAUGAUGAAAUUUUGUGCCAUCUAGCUCCAUCUAGCCCCGUCUAGCCCAGGACAUAAAUCAUACCUUUGUUUAACCUAUCCACAGCUGUAUAUGCUCCCUGUUUUAAUCACUUAGUAGCCAUUUGGGUAUCAGAUCAAGUGUUGUGGUAUGGCAGUGUUUGUAUUCAAGGGACCCUUAUUUAACUUAAUAUUGGUUCCAAAGUGCGAGAAUAGUGACUCUGGCAGCUUGGAUAUGCCAAAGAGAAGCCUGGAAAAUGCUUCCUUUAAAUGAAAAGGUGAUCCAUGGUAAGAAAGAAACUUCUAUCUGUAAAAUUGUGAAGAAGUAAAAAGAAAUCCAUACUAAUUUUGAUGUUGUACCUCAAACUGCAGAAGUUAUAGCCACUGUGUAAAUUCAUAGUUAAGUUGGAAAAGGCACUAUAUUUUGGGUGGAAAACAUGGAUAGACAAUGUGUCCUGAGUGACAGCAGUGUGUUGUUCCAAAAAGCCUUAAGCCCAUAUGUUGACUUCAGCAAGGGAUCCCUAAAAUGGGUGACACUAAGCCAUUCAUUUCCAGGAAGGGAUGGUUGCAUGAACUCAGGAGAAGUUUUGGUCUGAAAAUAUAAAAAAUUACUGGAGAAGCUGCAUGUGCUGGUGAACAAGCUAUUGCUGGCGGAUUUGAAAUUGACUAAGGAGAGGGAUGCUAUCCAAAGAAAGUCUCGGUUGUGAUGAAACUGGUCUUUUCUGGAAGAAGAUACCCAGUAGAACCACCAUUCUUGAAAGUGCAAGGGAGCCAGCAGCACAUAAAAUGUGGGAGGGCAGAUUACCUCUUGUGCUAUGUGGCAGUGCCCAGGCAUAGAGUACAGAAAGAAGAACCCAUGUUCUCUCAAAACCAAAAUAAAAAAUGAUCUGCCUGUAUUCUGGCAACAUUAUCAGAAAGCAUGGGUGACAGCCAUCUUGGUUAUGGAAUGGUUCCACCAGUGUUCAUCCCAGAAAUGAAAAAAAAACAUUUGGAAACAAAAGGAUUGGAAUUUGAAGUCCUAUUAAUAAUAAUGCUCCUUGUCAUUCUGAAUCUGCUAUGAAAAUGUUACCUCUAAACACAACCUCGUUGCUUCAGCUCCUUAACCAGGUCAUCAUUGUCAAGGCCACAUUCACUUGUCUGGUACUUGAUCACAUUUGAUUAGUAAUGGAUGCAGGCCUUAAUCUGGACCUAAUGCAGUGCUGGAAAUCAUUCCCUAUUGCUGACUCAAUAACAUUUAUCGUAGCUGCAAUGGAUGAAUUAAAACCAGAAGCUGUAAAUGCUGGCUGGGAAAACUAAUGGAAUGAAGCUGUGGAUGAUUUAAAGAAUUCCCAGAGAAUUGGGGCUGGGGCUCUAGCUCCAUGGCAGAGCACUUGCCUAGCAUGUGUGAAGCACUGGGUUUGGGUUUGAUCCCUAGCACCACAUGAAAAUAAACAAAUAAAACAAAGGCAUGCUGUCCAUCUACAACUACAAAAAAAAAAAAAAAAAAAGAAUUCCCAGGGAUUGAUGGAGAAGUUAGGAAAAAUCAUUCAUGCAGCAAGGCAAGUUGGUGGAGAAGGAUUUACCAAUAUGCUUGGUGAAAAAAAUGGAAAUACAUGUUGAAGGUCAUUGAGAAAUGCUCACAAAUGAGGAAUUGUAAGAACAUGUAGAAUCACCUACAGAGGAAGAGGAUGAAGACAAGAAACUGAAGCAGAACCAGAAAUAUGGACAUCACCAAAAUUUACCAAAGUGUUUCAAAUUGCACAGGCAUCAAACGGUGAGCUUAUGGAAUACAAUCCUUGGGUGAAACACAACAUUAAAGUCACCUACAUGAUCAUGGAAGGAUCACAACCUGUGCAGCCACCCUUGAUAGGUUAAAAAGAAAGAGACUACAACUUCCAAUUGCAAUGUUCUUAUGAAGGAUUCUUCAAAAAAUCCUUCCACUAUAGAGGAUUCCCAUUCACUGAAUCAUCUGCUUCUGACAUCCAGUCACAAAUAUUGCCAUGGCUUGGUGAUCCAGGAUUACCUGAGGCAGAGGAUCCUCCUUCCAACAAGUUGUCAGAAGGUCAGUAGGAGCCUAACACGGUGUCACUGUGUCAGUGUCACUGGCCUGGCUUCACCUCAUCAUGUAGCCAUUAUAUCAUCUGCAUAAUCACAGGAAGGAGGGUAAGCACAGUACAAUAAGAUAUUUUGAGAGAGAAAGAGAACAUAUUCAAAUAAUUUUAUCACAGUAUGUUAUAAUUGUUCUAUUUUAGUUGUUGAUUUCUUACUGUGUCUGCUUCAUAAACUAACUUUAUCAUAUUUAUUUAUAGGAAAAAACAUAAUAUAUGUAGCUUGGUACUAUCCAAGAUUUCAAGUAUUCACUGAGGUCUUGGAAGAUCCUCCCCACAGAUAAGAUGGGUCUACUGUAUUUACCAUCUGGCCCUUCACAGAAAAAGGUUGCCAUCUUUGGUUUAGAAAAUGGACGAAGUUUGAGAGGUUCCAAAUGCUUAGCAUCAAUUCAUUUUUUCCAUUCAGACAGAGGCAGGCAAUUUGAAGUAUAGAAGUCACCUAUGGACUUCUGAGAGAAUGUUCUUCUGUGUCUGCUCCUGGCAGUGUAAUUCUGGCUGGUUCAGGACAUGGGGCUUUGAUUCUUUUAAAGAGUCUGUAUCCUAGGAUCUAGUUACUUGAACUUUAAGAGAACUGAUAGUGAGUAGAAAAAAACAAACUCUAUUUCCCCUAUUAUCUUCUCACAACAUGAUAUGCACAACAUUUCUGACCCCAAAUGUACACAGGUUUUCCCCUUCCACCAAGCAAACGAUCAACUCUGCAGCAAAUACCAGCUGGGUGUCCUUUAAUGCAGUUCAAAUCUGAUACUGUCUACCUUGAGACAGCAUUAGAUGCUACAGUUUGAGGACUCAGUAUCACAAGACUGUCCCCCACUUCCCUUGAAAAUCUCAAAAUAGAGUGUCAUCUAUACUUCUAACUAGUGGGCUAUAGAUUGAGGUUUCCAUGACUCCCUUCUUGGGCUUAAUUAAUUUGCUAGGAGAGCUCCCUGAACUCAGGGAAACACUGGUUGAUUAGAAAGGAUACCAUAAAGCAUACAGAGGAAGAGCCAGAGGGAAGAGAUGUAGAGGGUGAGCCACAUGAGAGGGCACGUGGAGCUUCUAUGCCCUCUCCAGUAUGCCACUAGCAACCUCCACAUGCUUAGCUACCCCGAUGCUUUCCAAACCCAGUCUGUUUGGAUUUUUAUGAAAGUGUCAUCAUAUAGGCAUAAUUGAUUAAAUCAUUGGCUGUCAGUGAUCAACUUAAUCUUUAGCCCUUCUCCCAUCCAUGAAGUUUAGGGGUUGGGACUGAAAAGUUCCAACCCCCUAAAUCAUGUCUUAGUCUUUCUUGAGACCAAUUCCCAUUCUGAAGCCUCAUAGGGGCUGCCAGCCACCAGUCAUCUAGUUAGAGUAUAAAAAACACACUCUGGAGAUUCUGAGGAUUUUAGUAGCUUUUAUGCCAGGAAUUAGGGAAAUACAUCUAUUUUACAAUAUCACAGUGAUCUGGUAAUGAAAAUAACUGGGUACAGCUCUGCUGUGGCAUCUUGUGCACUGUGGUUGAAGGGACAUCACUAGCCUUUCUUUCUACCUAUGUCCAUCGUAAAUAGUAGUCCAAAGAGUUUUCUCUUCUCGUUUCUCAAAGCCGUUGUCUUUGAUUCUUCUCUUUGGUUGUUCUUCUCAAAGAUCUUUGCUUGAAUGUCACCUCCGCAUCCAAGCUCAGCUAAAUGCACCUGUAAUGAGUCUUUUCUGAAUGCUAGUCUAAGGGGCCUACUCCAUUACUCUCUUAUUGUUCUGUAUUAUUAUUUUUUCUUCAGAUACUAAUUACUAUUUAUUAUUUUAUUUAUGUCUAUGGUCUGCUAGAUAACAAACUACUAGAACCAGAAAUGGGAUGACCUUAUCUACCUUAUUCAUAUUCGUAUCUUCAGGGAUAAAAAAAAAAAAAAAGGUGUUUGACCCAAAGAGUGAAUAACUGAGAAUGAACAAGAGGAUGACUGAUGUGAUUUUGUAUCUUGCUGUGGAAUGGAUCUUUGGUCAUGGUUCAGAAAUCAUGGGCAAAGGAUGUGAAGAUAUUUGUGUCUUAUGUAAAUGCUCACCAGAAGGUGACCUCAGCAGAGGAGGACUUUAAUAAUCAAGUAGAUAGGAUUAUUGGAAAAGGUUUGGGGCUGAAUAAAGCAUAUUGUUCCCCACCCGCUUCUUUCAGAUUCAUUAGCCAUGUCCAUUAGACCAGUGUUUAACCCAUCUAGUGACUUAAAAAAAUUGUAAUGACAGUAUAUCUUAUUUCUGGAAUUCCUAUUAGUUCACCUUUUAUUUUUUAAUGCUACAUUUUGCUUCCCACUCAAUUUUCUACUUUUUCAUUAUGGUGUAUAGACCAUCUUUUAUAUUUUGGGUAGGAACAUUUCUAUUGUCCAUAUCUCCUGGAGAACAGAUUUUUCCCUCUGCCAUCUCUGCUGAUUUUUCCAUGAUGACUUGUUUCCUGAUAGUGUCUGUCAUCUUUAAAUAUGUAAGCUUAUUUUUGAGUGUGGGCUCGUCUUUGAAUGUGAGCUCAUCUUUGAGUGUGAGCUCAUUUUUGGCAGGGAUUGUGCCCUGCAGUAACACAGGUUCCUGACUGUGCUCUUGUCUAGAUAGUCUUGGUUUUUAUUAUCCUUCAGGGGCCUAAUGGGUUUCAGUGGUUCUGAACCAUUUUAAAAAAUUAAAUACAUAUAACGUAAGUUUGCCAUCUUAACAAUUUUUAAGUGUUGAAUAUAUUCACAUUGUUGUGCAUCUAAUUUUUAGAACUUUUUUUUAUCUUUGAAAACUGAAACUUUAUGUCCAUAAACAACAACUCCCAUUUCCUCCUCUCCACAGCCCCUGGCAACCAAUAUUCUACUUUCUAUUUCUGUGAAUUUGACUUCUUUAGGUCCCCCAUAUAAUGAAAUCAUACAGUAUUUGUCUUUUUCUGACUGGUCUAGUUCACUUAGCUUAAGACUAAAUAAUAUUUCUUGUAUGUUUAUACCACAUUUUAUGUAUCUGUUCCUCUACCAGUGGACAUGUGGGUUUCUUUCACCUUUUGGCUUUUGUGAAUAAUGUUAUUAUGAACGUGGAUGUCCAAAUAUCUUUUGGAGACCCUGCCUUCAAUUGUUUUGUUUACUUUUUUUUCUUUCUUCUGUGCUGGGAAUCAAACCCAGGGCCUUGUACCCGCCAUGCUAAGCAAGUGCUCUAUCACUGAGCUACACCCACAUCUCCAAUUCUUUUGGAUAUAUGCCUAUGAGUAUGUGCUGUACAUGUUUGUAUUGAUUUUUCAGCUGAGAUUCUCUCAGUGUGUAGGUAAUACAUGUGUGAACACUGUAUCAGGUGUAUAGCAGGCAUGCGGCUCUGACUUCCUAUGGAUGUCUUUUUCUACCUACUGCCCUAAGCUGAUGGUAAGCUUCUUUGCUGAUACCCUAAACCAAUGUGCUGAGCUUCUAAAUUCAGUGUCACAGUCCAGGCAAAGCUUUAUGACUCCAAGUUUUAUACAGGAGCUUAGUUUCAGCUCCGUGCCUUGCAUGGGCCCAGGUCUUUGUCUCCUUUUCCUGUGUAGGUGUUAAACUAGAGGCCCAGACCUGUUAGGCCAUAUCUGUUUACAACACCUCUGUCAUCUGUUUGGCUUCAGUUCCCAUUCACCUCUUUCUUUAUUUCUUACACCAGGGGAUUUCCUUUUAUUGAUUCUGAGUAUGAAUUUAAAAAAAGUUUAUCUGACAUUUUUAGGUGUUUGGUGUGUGUGUGGGUCCAUGUGUGCGAUCUUGCAGGUCUGCUCAGCCUGUGGUGCCAAUACAUAUUUAUUUAUUCACUCAAUAUUUUUGAGCAUUUAUGGCAGACACCAUGAUAAACCUAAAAUGACUAAAUAGUAAAUCUUCUGAACUCCUGCAAGUAGGGAUGAUAUUUAAUCAAAAUACCCCAAAUGGCAAGAUAUAGAUGUUGCUGUGCAGUAGGGGGCAGUGGAAUCUAUUUUUAGCUUUGACCCUAAGUAGAAAGGUUCUCUUGUCAAAACUGCAGAAUCAGCCCUUACUCAGAUUAGAAGACCUCCUUUCAUUGUUGUUCAGAUUAGCAUUUUAUUUGGUUAAAAGUUUCAACACCCCCCCAGAACACAGAAUUAUAUUAUAUGGCAUUUCUUGUUUAUUGUAUAUAAAACUGCCUAAAUUAACUGUACAGUGCCAUUGUGGAAAGUCCAGAUGCAGGGCACAGAGACUGGCAGAGCAGAACUCUAAGCAGAGGUCACAGAGCAUACCUGUAAUCGCUUGCCCUAGAAGAGAGGGAAGUCAUCCUGUGGCAAUAAGUACAGUUGUCCCUUGGCAUCUGUAGGGGUUGCUUUCAGGACCUGAAAAUACCCAAAUCCAGGGAUGCUCAAAUCUCUUACAUAAAAUGUCAAAGUAUUUGCAUAUAACCUAACACAUCCUCCUCUAUACUUUAAAUCAUCUCUAGAUUAUUUAUAGUAGCCAAGGAUGUAAAUGCUGUGUAAAUUAUUGUUAUUCUGUAUUGUUCAGGGAACAAUAACAUGAGAAAAAAACCUAUACAUGUUCAGUUACAGACACAAUAUUUUCCCCAAAUAUUUUAAGUCUGUGGUUGGCUGAAUCCACAGAGGCAGAACCAUGAACACAGAGGGCUGACCGUGAUAACAGGCAGGCAUUUUUGCAGUAGGUAGCUUAGGCUGCAGUGGUAAUUUUGACCAAUAAGUUUAUACAUGUGGCAUGUGCACCAGCAAAGUCCAAGGAUUCUCUGCAAACAGGAAUAAGGACAAUGAGACAGGCAAUAUCUACUCUGUACAACUUGACACAGAGAAGGAACUCAUCGGACAUGUAGAAGAGGAUUAGCAAAAUUUGGAAAAUGCAAGAGAAAAGGGCAUAUGAACCAGACCAGAUGUGUCCUUUUAUUAUUGUUAACAUUAUUAUUAUUUUUUGGUUAAAACUUUUCAACUUCUCCUACUCUAAAAUGAUAAGCAGUAUACAGCAACACAUACCAGAAUUAUAUUAGAUAGCAUUUCUUGUUUAUUAUAUAUAAAAUUGCCUAAAUUAAUCAUAGAGUAAAAUAUACAUGCUACUCAUUUUAUUUUUACUUUAUUUGCCCACAAUUUAUGUUUUGUGUUCUUUAUAUCUUUCUGAAUUAAAAAGCACUUCCAGAUACUAUUGUAGGCAGAUUCUUGAACUCCAACGGUCCUACCUGACUUUGUAGGCAAAAUAUGAAUGCUUGCUCACAGUGUACCAAAUCAGAGAGAAGCCAUUCCUUCUAAUGUUGAUCAACAAGCCUACUUCAUUAGUUACAUUAUAAUCACACACAAACAGCUCAGUGAGCUGGGUGUUGUCUUUGCCCCCUUUGUUUUUUAAAAAAUAUUUAAAAAUUUGUUCUAAUUAGUUAUACAUGUCAGUAGAAUGCGUUUUGACACAUCAUUCAUAAAUGGAGUAUAAUUUCUCUUUCUUCUGGUUGUACAUGAUAUAGAAUCAUACCAGUUGUGCAGUGUAUGCACAUAGGGUAACAAUGUCAGAUUCAUUGUACUGUCCUUAUACCCCUGUCCUCCCUUUGCUCCCCUCUAUCUAAUCCAAAGUAACUCUAUUCUUCUCUAGCCUCACUCACUUCUUGUGAAUCAGUAUUUGCAUAUCAGAGAAAACAAUUGGCCUUUGGUUUUUUGGGCUUGGCUUAUUUCACUUAGCAUGAUAUUCUCCAGCUCCAUCCAUUUGCUGGCCAAAGCCAUAAUCUCAUUCUUUAAAGCUGAGUAAUAUUCCAUUUGUAUAUAUACCACUUUUUCUUUUUCCAUUUAUCUGCUGAAGGGUACCUAGGUUGGCUCCACAGUUUAGCUAUUGUGAGUUGAGCUGCUAUAAACAUUGAUGUGGCUGGGUUACUAUACUCUUUGCCCCCUUUGUAUCAAGUGACAAAACUGAAACUUAUAUUAAAUAAUUUGCCCAACGUCAUACAGCCAGUAAAUGAAGAAAGGGAAUUGGUCAUAGAAGACCUAGGUGGAUGCUAUUUUCUGUUUUUGUUUUGUUUUCAAUCAUGAGUAUGGAAUUUUUUCAAAUGCUUUUCUGCAUUGAUUGAUGUGAUCCUGUGACUUUUCUGUACUUGUUCAUAGGGUGGUUUACACUGAUAGAUUUUUGAAUAUUGAAUGAGACCUGCAUCCCCGUUGGCAGGUAUGUAUGUUUUUAUGUUUUUGCAUCUCUAAUAUGAAGAAUAUUGGUCUUCAGUUUUCUUUUUUCUUAAACUGUCUUUUUGUAUUUUCCUGUCCUGUUUUUGGGAUUGGGUAGCACUAGUUUCACAAAAUAAAUUGGGAAUUGUUCCCUCCUUCUUUUUCUGGAAGAGUUAACAUAAAAUUGGUAUUAGUUCUUCUUUCAGUGUUUGGUACAAUUCUCAGUGAAACCAUCUGGGCUUAGAGAUUUUUUUGGUUGGUGAAAGGAAAGUGAGGAAGCAAGGGAGGGGCGAGCGAGAGAUGAGGGACAGAGGCCAGGCAGAGACUCAAAGCUGACAAAUAAAGGCCCUCUCUCUGUAGGAGAGAGGGGCCCCGAGAUGUCAUGUACUCAGCUUUUGUGGGGUAGGGGUUUGGAGCUGGAGCUGUGGCGCUGUGGGGUAGGCUUGGGCUGGUGGGAAUAGCAUGGGAUUGGCUCAGGUCAUGGCACCAUGGGGCUUUCCAGAGCAAAGGGGUCUGUCCUUCUGGGAUUGGCUUAGGUUAUGGUACCAUGGGGUAGGUCACUAAUGGGGACAGGGGAGUUCAGGUAAGAGGAAGAACAGGAAAGCAAAACUUAUCUCCUAAGAUGGUGGCUAACAUUAAAGAUGGCUGUUCGAAUGUUAAAUUAAGACCCUAUAGUUGGGACUUUAAAAAUUAUGCACUGGAUUUUCUGAAUAGUUAUGUGAUUAUUCAGAUCACCACUUAAUACUGGGAGUGUUGUGAUAAGUGGGGUUUCCGAGGAAGUGGCCCAUUUUGUCUGGGUGGUCACACUGAUGCAGGUAGGGUUGUGGUCCCUUGUCACCCUUGUGAGGGUUUCUGCUUUUUCAUCUGCAUGCCAUUGGCUGGAGGAAGAUGUCCCAUGUCCUGACUACUUCUUCCAUCUUCUCUGCCACGACCCUGACGUGGUGUUGGCACAUCUCAGAGCCUGGCAAGGUGAGGUCCAGGCUCUCCUGCCCACUUGGGGCAGGGUGGGGCCAGGUUCCUGUGGUGUGGGGCUGGAGGACAGCAGGUAUUGUCUAAAUGUUUCCCAUCUAGCUCAACUGGGCUUUUGGUUAAAGAGGGAAGGCCUCUCUGGGCCAUUUUUGUGUGUAUCUGUUGGCAUUUCAGGGCUGCCAGCUUCCUCAGGGGCAGAUCUGUGAUAUACAGGACAAAAGAAAACCCGGAAGCCGGAGGGAAGCCCAGCGCAGUUGUUCCUCGAGUCCCAAGGUUUCUGCUCAGCCUGCUUCCUUCUUUCCAGCGUCCAGUCUUCUUCCGUUCUCUCUAUAGGCACACAGGUCCCGAUGUCCUGCGCUUCCAGCUGUAAUUUGUGGGAGAAACAGGGAAAGCACACCUGCUCUACCUUCCUGGUGGGUGGUAUUUUAAAAGAUUAAACUUGUGCUAUGUUGCUCUGAUUUUUAAAAUACCAUAUUCUCAGUAAGAUUCUGAUGAUACAAAAAGGAGAAAAAGGAAAGUAAUAGAAGGCGGGUAGGAUCGCGAAGUAUAGAGAGGGGAGAAAACAGUAUGGGUGUGGGGGGGUCACAGAGCUUUUCAUUUUUUUACAACUUUAGACCCUUUCUGUCUACAUUUUUCUCUAUAACUAAGAGAAUAGAGACAGAUUUUCCUUUAAGGAAACCUGAUCUAUGCAGCGUUGAAUUUACAAAAUGAAUAGAUCAGGAUGCAAUUCUGAGUUUUCUCUAAGUUACACAAAACUUCUCAGGGACUCAAGUGUUAUAUAAAGUCAGCUUGGAAUAAUUUUACUUAAUAACCACUUUGGGAUUCUUGGCAUAAAUAUCAUUCACAUCCAUAAGUACAACAGACUUUCACUUAGAAAGUGUUCUGCUAUCACAGAUUAUGUUGCAUAUGAUUUUUGUUCAAAUUAGUCUUCACAUGAAUGCCCUGCUAUUUGAGUUGACCAGAGCAACCUGAGGCAGAUAUCAUUCCUGCAUCCUGACGCCAACAUCAUAAUAGAGCUCUACUGAAUUAGUGGAAACAUUUUCCAUGAGAUUCCUGCCCUGGUGUAAACUGCAGUCAGGCGUUGAUGUUUUCACAUUAGCAUCCCCACGCCAAGUGUUACUCUAAUGGUGUUCUCAUGUCACACAGCACUGGGGUCUAAAUGAGUUUUCCUAACAGAGGCCUGCUUCAAAGGUGGCCCAGCCAUUUCAUACCAUUUCUUCCAUGCCUCCGCUUCAACGGACAUUUCCCUAUCUCGUUUCAUCUUCCUGCAAGAAAUAACUACAAUCCGCAACAUGAAUCACCCAUUUUAACUAUGUUGUAAAUUGGUUAUUUAAAAACUAGAGACGAUGUUUUUGGUAGUCAAACUGAAAUUGGGGGAAGGGCAGAGAGUCCAGUCCUCAAAGGACAAAAAUCUACACUGAUCUUAAAAAGCAAAACCCAGCACAGAGUUUCUUGACUAUUUUUCCACAAAAGCAAGCCAUUGUAUUUCCAUUUCUGGCCAUGUCAGCAGUGACGGGCCCCCGCACCCCCACCAUUUUUUUCAAGCAUUGAUUGUUGACUUCCCCUGACACCCCAUCACAAUCCAUUAGCACUGAGAACUGACAAGCCCAGCUGCAACAGCAGAAUGGCAAGUUUGAAAGAAAAUAUCGAAAGCACAGGCAAAGCUGGGCUAUUAGGACCCAUGCAAGGCCUGAGCGCGGCAACUCCCUCUCCCCACCCCCUGGACGCCAUUGCCAAGGUCAGCAAAGUCAGUACAUUUUCUUUAAUCCAGACUCCAAGGCCUUGAGGAAAUUGUAAGGAGUAGUGCUUUAUUUUUACUUUCAUUUUCGAAGGAAUCGGGUUGAGGAAUAUGAGAACAGAAUUGGCUAAAGUGCUUUUGCCUGAGAAUGCUAAUACACGUUAUGCCUCUUUUCAAUCCAAAGCAUCUCAGACAUCAGAAGCUCAGCGGUGCUGGGCUCCUGGGGACGCGCUUCUUUAGUUAUGAGUCCUUUCCUCUUUCCCUUCUGGUGGGAGAGUCACAGUAGCGGCAGCAGUGAGCGUUGUCAUUGUACAGUUGCUGGCCCAGGGGACCGAGUGACAGCGCCAGCUUUCCAGAAGCCCAUGUUUGUGGAGAUAGGAGUUCCAGCGAGGGCAGCCAGCUUGUCAGAAUCUAGAGUCAAGGCACUUAGUGAGAAAGCUGGGUGUAAGUUUGGCACAGUCAGAGACUGGGAGAUGGGCAACUGGGCUCCUAGUGGCUGUCGUCCAUUUUGGUGAAAGAUCUAACUGCAAGUGGCCCAAGUGUCCUGAAUAGAUAAGAAUAAAGGGCCGAAUGAGAAGCCAGGAUUGAGGAGUUCCCUUAUACCCACCCCUGUGGUGGAGAGGAGGCGGUGAGAACGUGCCCUGGUGACAACUAUGGCCUCCUCAGGAUGCCCAGCGUUGGGCGCUGUUGUCACUGGGUGAUGGUAAGACAGCUGUAGGCCGGGAAACAGGAAUGGGUGCCAUAGUGAGUUUUAUGGCCUACUCUGCCUUCCAGCCUGUGGGUGCUGGGGCUCCCUCUUACCUCCAACCUUGUUUUGUGUCUUACUAAGCUUCCUACUGUUUCUUGCUGGUCCAGACCCCUAGGGGAGGGAAGUCAGGAGUGACAGCCACUCCGGAGUGCCUGGGGUUCAGACAGGCCUGCUCCCUUUCCAAGAAACAAGCCUAGAAACUCUCCUUGGCUUCUGACAUUCUCCCCUGAUUCCUCCCCCAACAAUUCUCACUCUUUAGACAAGGUGCCUGCUGUGGCUGAGGAGGGACCCAUUCGGAAAUCUCAGUCUCCUGGGCUUUUUGCUCAUUGGCUUGCUGGGUGCAGGCUGGGCCCUGGUAGAUGCAACUCCUUAAAGAGGACCAUGAGGCCUUCUGAAGCCGGGCCUGACUCAGACGGGGAGCCACGGUAUGGAUGACCUGCCUGGUACCUGCUCUUGUAUCCAUCUCGCUAACCCUAGAGGUUGUGGCUGCUUCAACUCUGAGCCAACCCUGUUCUUCAUUUGCAGGGGCCUCUGGGGAGACCUGGCCCCAUGCUGUCUUCGGUGUUCAGAUCAUGACCUUGAACAUGGUUACAAAGACCAGUCUGUCCUAGGGCCCAGGUUUCUGUCCUCUCCUCCACCUCCUAGACCUAUUUCUGGGUCAUCUCCUUGGGUACCACCUGCGUGCCUGUUUAGACCUCUUGGAUCACCUGUUCUUCCCCUGCUAAAGCAGACCUUGGGUUUGGACUGGGUCUGGAUCUUUGGCUGAAGGCAUGUCUGUAUGGCUGAGGCAGUCUGGGCUCGGUUAUCUUUGGAUUCUUGGCCCACAUGCCAGCUCUUCAUUGAACCAUCCUGGGCUUGCACUCAUGCUCUGGCUCCGACCCAGAUGACCCAUCCUGCAGAUGAGCAGUUCAAACCUUGCUUGUUCCAGUUCAUCUAGAAUGCUCCUGCAUUCAAUCCUCAUAGAACUAGUUCUAGUGCAUUCUGUGACUCAGCCACACCUACUAAUGUCCUGAAGUUUCUGACUGUCUGGUCCCCUCCCCUGCACAGAGCAGUGGGAGGGCAGAGCUUCUCUGUGGUCACAGCACAAGGGAGUGCAGGGUAAAGGCCAGAAUCAUGAGCAAGGGAGAAGUUAAGCUAGAAAGAUGGAUCCUAAAUGGGCCACAAAACCAAGCAGACCCUGGCCCUCGGUCCCAUCCAGAGAGUGCUUGGAGAACCCCAGGAGAAGGUGAUGGGCUUGGGAGACAACCAAGAAAAUGCUGGUGUCUGGCAGGUGGUCCUGGUGGAGUCCAGAGAGCGCGUGCCAGAACCUCUGGCUGUUAUUUCACAUGCUCUGGCUCUUGUUUUUGUGAGUGAGGCAGGUCCAUAAAGCUGCUGCAAUGUGACAGAUAUUGGCUCAUCACCAGUAAAGGUUUAUUAAGUACCUCUGGCUGCAAGCCCAUGUCCUUGCAAGGUGAGAGCUGAGAUUCCGAGGAGUCCCCGAGUGGAAAUUGGAGGUGUGGCAGUGGGACGCACAGAGAUCAUGAAUUUUCAAGGCUCUCUGGGGAACAAUCCCUUUUUCUUGUUUCAAAAAAAUAGAUCAAAACGAUGAAGAAACAGAGAGGGAGAUAAAAUAAUUGUGUAUUUAUUGCAUGUUAGGCAGUGAGUCUCUGUAUACACACACAUACACACACACACGUUUGGCAAAAUCCUAUGAAGCAGGUGAAAUUAAUGUCAGUGCCAUCUUAUUAUAGAUGAGGCAACUAUAAUCACAAGAUUGAACUUUCACACAUUUCUCACGUAGACCCUUCACGACCCCAUCACGAUUUUCUCCUAUUUAAGAAGCAUCUAGGAAAAGUUCAAAUUUAAAUGAUUAAAAUUGGCUUGGGAGAGAUAGACACCUUGCUCUUCCACUUAGCCAGACCUGGGUCCUACAAGCCUGUUUUGAGGGAGAAUUUGUACUUGCUCUGUAGACAUGAAAAAGUUCAUAAGAAACAAAAUUGACAGGAAAACAAUGGAGAGAAUAGCUCCGGGUUCCUUGGGUUGAUUCUUUGUUAAUGAUCAAGAGGUGCAUUUAGGACAGUGGCUGAUAUAUCAGAUCAGAUUCUCUUCUUUGCUGUUUGGUGUCAUUUUCCCCAGGCUUCCACAGAUGGAGAAGAAGGAUGUUGAGAACUUGGCCUAAUAGUAUGAAUGUUUCUGUAACAUGGCAUGUGCAAAAGCAGAAAGAAACACAUGAAAGGAGGAAGGAAGCAAAUUAGAAAUUAGACUGUUUCAGCUGGGCACAGUGGCACACAUCCCAGCAACUUGGGAGGCUGAGGCAGGAGGAUCGCAAGUCCAAAGCCAGCCUCAGUGACUUAGUGAGGCCCUAAUAUAAAUAAAUAAAUAAAAAUAAAAAGAUACAAAGGGCCGGGGAUGUAGCUCAGUAGUUAAGCGCUUCCAGGUUCAAUUCCAGGUAACAAAACAAAACAAAAAACUGUUUCAAAUAUUAAAUCAACAAAGCCUGGUAGAGCCUUUCUCCUAACUUUGAGUUAACACGAGACUUUCACCUAAAUUUGGCAAGUGGGAGGCAAAUCUACAUUUGCUGACUUGGACGGGGUUCAGGGUUUCUCUGCUUACCUGGGGAGCACUAUGGAUUUGCAAACCCUAUUAUAAUAAAAUCUACAGAUCCGGUGACUCCUGAGUAUCCUCCAGGUGCAUUAUUGGGCAGACCCAUGUGUGAACCCUUAUAAACUGUGACUACAAUUUAGAAAGGCCGGGUCUUGGAGUGUGAAAAUGCCAGGAUGCAUCAGGAAACCCCAGAGAGGGCCUGGUCCCAUCGUGAAGAAAAGCCUCCUUUGAGAAGCUGGGCCCCCAUUGGAUGCAGACAGUGAUACCCGAGAGUUUGUGCAAAGUGCAGGACCAGGCUCAGGUGCAGGACAGCCCAGGAACGCAGCAUGCAAGCUUAAUGACUUCCCAGCUACUCCCAGCAGCCCAUCUCAAAGCCGAUAAGUUACCCUUAAGACACAUCUUGGCCAGGCGCACCUGCCUGGAUCCCCACUCCUGGCCUGGAGCUGGAUGCCCAGGUCCUGUGUAUCCUACAAGGUCCCAGCCCCUCCCCCUGUGGCCCGGAGUUUUCCUCAUUGCAGUAAAACCUUUUCCACCUGCUGUUCUCAGCACAGUGGUGGGAGGUGUUUGGUGUUUUCAUCUAGUCACCCACCAUUGUAGAAGGGACUCAGCCACUUCAAGUGUUGCCCUAAAGCUCCUCUACAACAGGGAAACUUGUCCCUGCCACCCAGGUGCCUGCCUGUGGGCCUGGACCCUGCUCAUGGGCUCCACUCUGUCCCCUGCUCUUCCCGUGACACUCACCCCAUCCCCCUCCUAGAGGUCCGGCCUGCCAUUGUUGAGUGAGCUGGGCCCUGAGCUGAGUUGCUUUAUGCAUGUUUUUAUUUUUAUUUUCAGUGUAGCAGUGUAUUUAAAGAUUUUAAAAUUUUGCACACAUACAUAUUUUAUUUAAAAUAAAAUUCUCUCACUAGUAUUUCACAACUUGUUUUGUGGUGCCUGUGUUCCUGGGUCUUUUUUUUUUUUUUAAUUGGUUCUUUUUAGUUAUACAUGACAGUAGAAUUUAUUUUUAUAGCAGCUCAAUUCACAGUAGCUAAGCUAUGGAACCAACCUAGGUGCCCUUCAGCAGAUGAAUGGAAAAAGAAAAUGUAGUGCAUAUGCACGAUUUUAAAUCCCCAAAGAAACUGUGAGGAGGCUACCAUUCUAACCCCAUUAUCUGUAGAGAUGUCCAGGAGCCUGUGCAAGAAUGUUCCCCAGGCCUGGCUGAGCCUGGAGCCAAGCCAGGCUUCUCCAAGUCCUCACAUGUUACUGUCUCCCCUGCUGUCUCCAGAGCAAGCCCUUCUUGUUCCUCUCUGCAGAAGAGUGCCCCAUCUCCUCAUAACUUCACUCAAAAUCUACCUGUGAUCUGGCCAUUUCCCCUAAUAAUCUCUCUGAAUAAUUCAGUAUUUCAGUUUCCAUAAGCACGAUUUAAGGCCAACUGCUUUAUCACUGAGAGUGGAGACUCUUAAAUCAAAGACUAGCUGUCUUUAGUCCAUUCCAAGUGACAUCUUAGGUUUGAUUUGUGGUUUAUGAGACAAAAUGGUAAAAGUUCCAAAUGGAUGUAUCCACUGUAGUUUUUAAUGUAUUUCAAAAUAAGUUUGUACAUAACCAGGGAUUAUGGAAAUCAUAAUUAUAUCGAUGUUUACAAAUAAGUCAUCUACAUCUGUGGUUAAUUAUAUAGGUGAAUUGUUUGUGUGUGUAUACAUGUACAUGUAAUUAUACAUACAUGUAUAUACACACACACACAAAUAUACAUGUACAAAUAAUUUGGCCACUUGUAUCUAUACAACACAUAUUCUCUAUUCUCUCACAUCUGUGAUUAUAAAUUACCCAACAACUGAGUCCAAUUAGAAUUUGGACCAGAAGUAAAAUGAAGAUGACAUUCAACCUGAAAAAGAGGGAUAUUCUUUGUGAAAUAGAUUUCAACACAAACUCUUCUGAGGUGGCUUUAUAUACUUUGCAUAAAAAAGUAUUUUGAUUUGAUUUGUGAAAUAAUUGUCUUUGCAAAGUUGUAAGUAAAUACAAUCUUAUUUAAAAUGCUUGGGGAGGCAGACAAAUGGCUAAUUACCAUAUGAAAAAUGUUCAAACUUAUGAGUAUCAAAGACAUGUAAAUUAAAAGAACACUGAGUCUUUUUUGUCUAUCAAAUUGGCAAGUUUAAAACAUUAUACCCAGAGUUUGUGAGGAUGAACAUUUGUUGGAAGAGCACUUUGGCAAUAUGUGUAGAUAUGUGUACAUAAGUGUAUUUAAAAUGUUUAGACCCUUUGUUUAAGUAAUCUUGCUUCCAGGGCUUUUUCUAGGGAAAUCUUGAAAUAUUUAUCAUGCAACAUUAUGUAUAGUAGUUACAAAUUAAAGACUCCAUAAUAGGGAAUAGGGAAACAGGGUGGAUCUAGAUGCUGUAUCUCUACCUAGAUAAUCUAUGUAAAGUAUCUUUAAUGCAUUAAGUAAAAAGGCAAGCUAUAACCCCAUCUAUUACAUUAGCACCAUGGUUUUAUGAAACAAUAUGUUUGUAGAUGUGUAUAGAAAAACAGCUAGAAGGAAAUGUAUCAGAAUGUUCACAGCGGUGGCGGGUCCCGUUGGCUUUUAAUUCUAGUUUCUUCGUGUUGCCAGAUUUCUACAAGAGUAGUCCUGUCUGCAGAAUGCCAGACCUAACCCUGCAACAUUAAGAAGUGCACUGGCUGGGCGAGAGGUCGGAGUCGGUGGGCAGACAGCUCCCCUCAGGACAAAGACUUUCAAGCUGGGACUCUAUCAGAGGAGGUGAGUGGGGACAUCUCCCCUGGGACUCCUGUCCUGAAGCCAGGCCCCUGUGUCCUGUGCAUGAGAUUAGAAGCUGACAAAGCUCCAGCCAACCCACCUGGGUCCCAGCAGGGAGCAGGCUGCUUACCUGUGGUGACGUGCGAGCAGGGGCACCCGUGGGAUUGGGAGGUGGACCACCUUGUGUCCUGGCUUGGGGUCGGGAAGAAGGAAGACCCAGCAUGGGACAGCAGUGCUUCUGUGCUGUGGAUUUCUGGAGACCCGGGCGGAGGCACCAGGCUGGGGAGGGAAAGAGCCUCCUGUGCUACUGGGAAUGAUUUAAGCCGCAAGAAACUGGGGCCUUGACCCCACAGACGCUUAUUACUUUUUGUGAUAAUGGGAACACUAGAAGCUGAUCUUGCAGCUCAGCAAUGCCACCAGGGACCCAGGCUCUUGUCAGCAAUCGCUUUUCUGCUGAGUUUACUGUUUAUGCCUUAGGGUUGUAAGAUGGCUGCUGCUGCUCCAGAUAUCAUAAUUCCCAUCCCUUCAGGAGCCCCGAGCAGAAUCUCCAUUGCAUAUUGUUAGGAAAACUGGGUCACAUGUCACCCAAUCCCCUUGGCUCCAAGGGAACCUGGAGAAUUGACGUCCUGCAAGGGGAAACAAAUGGGCACAAAUGCCUUAGGCCAGCUGUGAUCUCCUGGCAGGACACAUUCAUUCAGGUUACAGCCGGGAUUUGUCCUCAGAGAGGUAGGAAUGGCUAUGAGGUAGGCAAUACCUAUACACAACAACACUCAAACAAGAUCAAAAGAAUUCCUGCCUGAAAACUGUAAACAAUAGAGAAGUAGGAACAUUACUUUAAAAUAAAUACAUUUAUGACCUUCAAUAAGUUACAGAAAGAACUACAAAACAUGAAUUCAACAGGCAGUUGGAUCGAGAAUAGAUGUUGAUGGUUGGGCGAGUGGAGCACAUCUGUACUCCAGUGACUCCAGAUGCUGAGGCAGGAGGAUUGCAUGUUCAAGGCCAGCCUGGGUAACUUAGCAAGACCCUGGGCAACUUAGCAAGUUGUUGGGUAACUCAGCAGUAAAGUGCCCCUGGUUUCAAUCCCUAGUAUUAAAAAAAAAGGCAAUCAAUCAAGCAAGAAAAAAAAGGCGUAUACAGAUAAAAAUCAGAAAUCUUGGAAAUUAAAGUACAGUCAUCAAAAUAAAAAAGCAAAUCUUACAAAUGAAAUACUGAACUGGGUGUCGUUGAAGAGGUUGAGAUGGAAGCCAGACUUUGCCUGUCACCUGGAAAGCCACAGAGAGUCAGAAUCAGGAGGGACGUGGAAGGCGAGCUGAGAGAUUACACGUCGUUAUGAUGGAUAUUUCUAGAAGACAAUAAAGAAUAGAAGAGAAGCAAUAUUUGAAAAGAUGGCUAAGACUUUUCCAGAAUUAAAGGUAAACAUGAAUCCUGGCAUGAAAAAGGCAUUUUGUUAAGCAGAACUAAAAGAAAACAAAACAACAAACAAAACUGAACAAACCUGCCCAGACCUCACACCAGAUGAGAUCAGAGAAGAGGGGAAGACGAGGAACUGCAGCCAGGCGAGGGCAGAUUCUGCAGGUGCCUGUGAUGGAAGGGCCCCUUGAAGGUCUGAGGGAAAACAACACUGAAGGCCAACUUCUGAACCUGGUGAUGGUGCUUUCAGAGGAGGUACAGAACAAACCAACCAACAAAACUCAAGUACCACAAAGCAAAGCAGGAACACCCAUUAUCAGGUCACCUAAACAGCAACAUUCAAAUAUGUAAACAGAAUAAACAUAGGAGGAAAUUGUUAUGAUCUUAGGAAAGCAAAGAUUUCUCAGGACAUAAAUGAACAUUAAGUGUAAGAGGAAAAAAAUGUUAAGCUGAAAUAUAUCAAAAUUAAACACUUUUGCCCUUCAAAAAAAUACCAUCAAGAAAACAAGAAGCUUUGGAAGCGAAUAUUUGCUGUGCACAAAGGGCUUACAUCCAGGAUCUACAGACAACACCUGAUCCCAAAUAGAAAAAAUUUAACAAACACUUUCACAAGAAGAUAAAUAAAAUGAUCAAUGAAGACUUAAAGAUAUGAUUAUUGUGAUCAGCUGUCAGGAAGGUGCAAAGAUAGAACCACAGUGAGAAGACAUAUUAACCCACCAGACUAAAAAAGACUAAAAUUUUAAAAGAUGAAAUACCCAGUGCCAGCAAGGUGGUAGGACAGUGGAACUGCUGUUGAGGACAUAAAAUGUCACGACGAAUUGAAAAUCUGUUUACUAACUUGUUAAGAAGUUGAGAAUACCUACAAGUCAUAUUCAGGCACUCUAUUCCUAGGUGUCCAUCCCGAAGAAAAGAAAACAUAUCACACUAAUGUUUACACAAAAAUGUUCACAGUAGCUUUAAUCACAGUGGUCAACACCUGGAAAUAAUCCCACAAACUAUCAAAUGGUAAAUAGGUAAAGAGUGUGUGGAAUAUUACUCAGCAAUAAAAAGGAACAACUACUGAAACCAACAGUAACAUGAGUAAGCCAUUCAGUCAUUCUGAAUGCAGAUACAAGGUCAUGUUAAAGCCAAAUGCAACAGAAUGCAUAUUGUACUAGUUCUAUAAUAAUUUGAGAAAUCUGUGGUUGCCUGUGGAUGGGGUGGAAGGAUGGGCUGCAUAUAGGUACCAAGAAUUUUUAGGGGUGAUGGAAAUGUUCUGCAUCUUGAUUGCGGUGAAGUUUUCUGAGCAUUUACAUUUAAAAAAACCCACUUGAAUGGGUGCCAUUCAUUGUAUGUCAAUCAUUCCUAAAUAAAUAUAAUAAGGAAAAAAUAAAUUGGUAUAAAAUAAGAUAUUUUUAGACAUACAAAGAUAAAGAAGUUUACAUUUUAUUAAGUCUUGAUAAAAAAAACUUGAAAAAUAAUUUGGAGGAAAGAAAACAAAUGAAUCAAAAUAGCAGAUAUAUAUAUAUAUAUAUAUAUAUAUAUAAAUAAAAUAGGGAGUUUAAUGCUUCAAUCAGAAAAUGCUUUGAGGGUACCUUAGUUCAUUUUUGUAAUGCUAUACUAGAAUACCAGAGACUAUGUAAUUAUGAAGAAAAGGAAUGGAUUUCUCACGGUUUUAGAGGCUGGGGAGACCAAGGUUGAGGGUUGCAUAUGGUGAGGGUCUUUCUGUCUUUCUACUGUGUCAUAUGGUGGAAGAAACCAGAAGGCAAGAGAGGGGGUGUGGUGGAGGACGUGUGCAUGUGUGUGUGUAGGGAAAGGGCCAAACUUAUUUUUUAUCAUGAACCCCUCCUGCAGUGACUAACCCGUUUCUACCAUAAUGACAUCACAACACAGGGACUUUGAGGGACACUUUCAAGCUAUAGCAGAGGCUCUCACAGACCUGGGUGAAUCUCUGUGUCAUACAACCAACUAGUAACUUCUAAGUUUAACUAUUGUUUAUCAUAAAGAUACCAACUGCAUAAAAGUAAAAAUACUUGGCACUGGGGUGGUGGCUCAGUGGUAGAGUGCACGCCUAGCCCGUGUGAGGCCCUGGGUUCCAUCCUCAGCACCACAUAAAAAUAAAUAAAUAAAAACAAAGGCAUUGUGUACAACUAAAAAUAAAUAAAUAUUAAAAAAGUAAAAAUACUGGUAUAAAGAACUCCCUAUGUCUAGAAUAACCCAUAUUUCCAUAAACCCAGCUUGCUUGAAUUUGGAAAUACUGUUAUUUAUUCAUCACUGAAUGGCAUUUUCAGUUUUUUAGAGAGGAGAUUUCUUUAUGUUCUCUCAAAAUGUGUCAGAUGAAAUAUUAUCAUUUUGUGCAUUUGUAAUUUUUAAGAAAUGUGAAAGGUAAUUAGAAUAUGAAAAUAAUGAAAAAUGGUAUUGUUCCCAAGACCUCAAAUCAUAUUAUUAAUAUCUUGUAAUUGCAAAAGACCUCCCUAUUUCUUGUAACCUUCAGAUAAAGAUUUAUUGAAUAUUGAUUUUAUUUUUCAAAUAUUUAUUGUACCAUUUAACCUCUUAUGUAGAUUGCUCCAAAUUCUGUUUGUUGAGUACCAUUUAUUAGGCACUGAACUCAACAGACUUAAGGCAUAGGAGAUUGGACCAAGACUUGGUCUCAACCAAAACGAGGUUGAAUUUCUCCAAGAACUGUGCUAACCCUCUAGAUUUCCAGCCUAACUGAUAGGGGGCGGGGUAUUGUUCCUCCUCUUGCUGCUUUGGUAUGGUGUGUUCCUAAAAUACACUUGUGCAGCUCAGAGGCCUCUCCUUUUCUUAAUCCUAAACCAUCCUUUUGUUUUCUGAGAGUUGGGGGGUGGGGUGGGGAGUGAGCAGUGUUCUAUCAUUCCUGGUACACACGCUGUCUCCUUCCUGAAAACUGAAGAGUAAACGCGCACCAGUUCGUGGGUGAGCGGUGGUUUCCUUACGGCAAUUCAUAACGAACUAAUGUCAUAAAUCACGAGGGACUGGCCAGCACCCAAAACGAAAUACCCUUGCUUCAGACCACACGUGUCUGCCGUGUCAAGAUGUGUCCUGUUUAUUCCAGUCACAGAAUAUUAGACCUGCAAGGGAACCAAGAGACAAAAAAGUUUUAUCACCUCCCGUUGCCAUCUUCUCCAUAAAUUGGUAAUAAACACACCUAAGUUCCUUCAUUACAAUGUGAUAGAUUGUAACAGCAACUCCGAAGGUCCAUUAUAUAAAUCAUUUAAAUAGAGAUUCAGACAAUUUGAAAAAUCCCCAUUAAUUACCAAGAAUUCAGUAACAGUGACAUGGCGAGGUUCAGUUUGCACUGCACUUGUGGAUGUAGACACUUAAAAAUGCAGAUUGUGACCCAAUGGAGCAGAGAAGCUCAUUAGUUAUGUAAAAUCUUUUCUUUCUUUAGUUGUGAUGGGAUGAGGAUUGUUGAACUGAUAGAUGGCCACUGAUCUUGUGAGGAGGCUGGGGCAUCUCCAGUGUGACACACUGGUUGCACCGCAGUUUUACAGCCUGACGGGAUUUGCUGUCACACCAGGAUCCAUCCCGUGGUGGGCACCUUUGGCGGGCUGAGCGCUGUCGAGGAGUAAAACAGUUAGCGCCUGGCUUGGAAUGGGAGGGGGACCCUUCCCCCUCUUUUUUCCCAGUUCCUGGAAUAUUUUAAAACACAGACCAGGAAUGAUGCAUAGUGUAGCCCCUCCACAGGCGGGGGAUUUAUGAGUGCUCUUUCCCAGGGCAGCCCAUUUGUUUGGUGCUCCUGAGAGUCAGCAUGUCCCUAACAUCUGCACGUGUUUUCCCUAACACAACGUGACUGAUGACUUCCACUUCGGCUCUCCACCCUGCUGGCAGCUCUGGUUUCCUCUCUUCCGUUACUGAAAAGGACGCCUCCUUCUCCACCAGCACCCAGUGUCUUGAGGGCAAGGGCCACUCAUUCCUCACAGGACUCCAGAGCCGUCUGCUCUGAGUGGUGAGACUCAAACGCUCAAACGUGCAUGUGCAUGAUAAAUAGAGGCAGGGUGCUGACAUUUGGGCGAGGCAGAUAGGCUCUGCUGUCUGCCUGGCUCAGUAUGUCCUGCCUUCCUGCCCAGAGGCCAGCCCUGGGCACUGGCGUUGCCCAGGUACAGAGGGUUGGACUCUCUUCUCCACCACUUCCCAGCCUCCUGCUCAGCCCUGCCUCCCACCUUCCUCCUUCCUCCACUGCAGCCCUUUUGGACUUCGGGGGUCACACACUUGCCUCUUUUUGCCCAAGAGGCCUCUAUUUACAUUGCCUCCCCAUCCGGGCUUCUUGAAAUUCUACUCAUGGCACCAGAUCCAUUUUAAGUGUCAUUUGAAAUAUUUAUAGGGACGACUUCUCCUCCUAAUGUCUGUGAUUUCUCCUUCCUGGGACUCUUAGGAAAUCUGAGGCAUGUUUUGGCACGUAUCAUUCAUCUCUCCAUCCCUGCCUGUGCAGACAGCUGUCCGUCGACCGUGCCCGGCACUUCCCAGCCACUGGAUUAGAAUAUGGAAUCCCACAGUCUACACUCCUCUCCAGAUUAUCAUUCUCAUCAUUUCUGGUGAUUCCACAUAGAUUUAAUCCCUGGGUCUCUCAGUUCUUUUGUCUCCUUGCCUCAUGGGAUCUGAAGUUUCACAAUGGCUUUGGUGUGGGUCCAUCUAUUAUAGAGAGGGUGCUAGAUACUGGUGGAUUCUUCCAAUAUAGAAGUUGGUGUCCUUAAACUUAGGGAAAUUUUCUUGAAUGACUCACUAGAAAUCUACUCCCAUACCAUUAUGAGCUCUGUAAACUAAUCAGUGAAUUUAUCUAUUGAUGUGGGUUAACUGGGUGGCAACUGUAGGCAGGUAGGUUGUGGACUAGAGGAAAUAGGUCAUCGGGAGUGUGCCUUUGGGGUUUAUAUUUUGCCUGUGGGGAGUGGAACUCUCUCUCUUCCACCCUGUCCUGAGCUGCUUUCCUCCAUCAUGCCCUUCCACUGUGGUGUUUUAUCUCCUCUUAGGCCCAAAGCUAUAGAGUUGGCCGACUAUGAACUGAACCUCUGAAACUGUGAGCCAAAGUAAACUUUUCCUCCUCUAAGCUGUUCUCCUCAGGUCUAUUGGUCACAACAAUGAAAAGCUAACUAAAGCAGACAUAUGUUAUGAUAAUAAUUAUGUGUCAAAUUGACAGGGUUAAGGGAUGCCCAGAUAGCUGAUAAAGCAUUAUUUCUGGGUAUGUCUAUGAGGAUGUUUUCAGAGCAGAGGAAUUUAAAUCAGUAGUCAGAGUAAAAAUGAUAUACCUACACUAAUGUGGGUGGGCAUCAUCCAAUCUGUUGAGGGCCAGGAGAGAAUAAAAAAGUAAGGAUGAUUGGAUUUUUUUUCCCUUCUUGAGCAGGCACAUUUAUCCUCACCUGCCCGGGGGCAUUGGAGCUCCUGGUUCUUGGACCUUUGGGAUUCCAAGACUUAGGCCAGUGGUCCCAGGUUCUCAGGCCUUUAGACUCAGACUGAAUUUUACUACUGACUUUCCUGGGUGUCCAGAUUGCAGACAGCAGAUGGUGGGACUUCCAGGCCCUCAUAAUCUCCUGAGUGAGUUCCCUUAACAAAACUCCUCUCUAUAUGUGUCUGUAUGUAACCUGUUGGUUUUUCUGGAGAAACUUGACUAAUUUCAAUGGUGUCCUCCUGUAUCAAUUCUCAUUUUUCUUAUAUUUUCUUGCUCAUUUUUAAUUUCUUUGUUCUUUUGCUGUUUUCUUGGAGAUUUCCUUGAUUCUUUCUGUGAAUCCUCUGAUGAAUUUUGCACUUAUAUUAUCAAGGUUUUAUUGAUGAAUUUAUAUUUUUAUUGCAGUAAAAUAUACACAACAUGAACUUUAUCACUUCAGCCACUUUAUGUGUGCAUCUGAUGGCAUCCUGCAUGCUCACAAUAUUCUGCUGCCAUAGCCACUGUUUGCUUUCAGAAGUUUUUCAUCAUCCCAAAUAGGAACCGUGUACCUUUUAAGCAAUAACUCCCUAUAGCCCUUGGUAACCUUGAUCACAUCUGUUGCCCCUAUGAACUGGCCUAUUCUAGGUAUCCCUUAUAAAGGGAACAGUCCACUGCACUCUGCUACCAAGCUACAUCCCAGCUCUACUUGUCCUUUUGUGUCUGGUUGAUUCCACAUAGCAUGUUUUUAAUGUUUGUCUGUGUGAUAGCCUUAUCAUGAUCCCAUUGCUUUGUAUGACUGAAUGUUUCAUUGCAUAUACAUCCUCAACCCACACUUUGUUUUCCCUUCAUCUGUUGGUAGACAUUUGGGUGUUUCCAGCUGUUGUCUGAGUUUCUGCGUUCAGUUUUUUGGGUAUGUACCUAGGAGUAGAAUUGCUAACUCUUAUGAUAAUUUUGUGAUUAACUUUUGAGGAUGUGUCAAACUAUUUUCCACAGUAACUGUACUAUUUUAAAUUCUUAACAGCAAAGUAUGAGGGUUCCAGUUUCUCCACAUCUUCACUGAUGAUUGUUAUUUUUUGUCUUUUUGAUACUAUCCACUGAUGGAUGUGAAGUGGUAUCUCAUGGUUUUAAUAUGCAUUUCCUUCAUGACUAGUGAUGAUGAGCAUCUUUUCAUCUUAUUAGCCCUUUAAAAAAUCUUCUUUGGGGCCAGGGUCUUAGCUCAGUGGUAGAGUGCUUGCCUAGCAUGUGUGAAACACUGGGUUUGAUCCUCAGCACCACAUAUAAAUAAAUAAAUAAAAUAAAGAUAUUGUGUCCAUCUACAACUAAAAAUAUUAAGAAAAAAAAUCUUCUUUGGAGGAGUGUCUAUUCAAGUUCUUUAUUUUGCCCUUUAUUUUGGCACUGAACAUUGAUCCCAGGAGUAUUUGACCACUAAGCUACAUUUCCAGCCUUUUUUAUUUUUAAUUUUUGGGGCAGGUCUCACUGAAGUUGCUCAGGACCUCAGUAAGUUGCUGAGGCUGGCUUUGAAUCUGUGAUUCUCCUGCUUUAGCCAAGUUGCUGGAAUUCCAGGUAUGAGCCACCAUGGCUGGCUCUUUACCUGUUUUUGAAUUUGGUUGUUUGUUCAUUGAUUGCUGAGUUAUCGCAGUUUUAAAAAUACAGUCUAUAUAUCAAUACCUUGUCAGAUGUAUGAUUUAUAAAUAUUUUUUCCAUUCUGUGGUUGCCAUUACUCUGUUGCUUGUGUCCUAUGAUGUGUAAAAGUUUUCAAUUUUGAUUAAGCCCAAUUUGUCUGGGGGGUCUUUUUUUGCUUGUGCUUUUGGUAUUGUAUCCAAUAGAUCAUUUCCAAAUCCAGUGUCAUGAAAACUUCUCUCUGUUUUCUUCUAAGGGUUAUAUAGCUUUUUAAAAAUCUCUUAAGCUUAGGUCUUUGAUCCAUUUGAAUAAAUUCUGCAUGUUGUAUCAGGUAAGCAUCCAACUUCAUUCUUUUUCAUGUGGAUAUCCAGUUUCCCAUCACCAUGUACUGAAAAAACUGUCCUUUUCCAUUUGAAUGGUCUUGGCAUACUUCUUGAAAAUCAAUUGAGCAUACAUGUGAGGGUUUAUUUCUGGACUUUCUCUUCUAUUUUAUUGUUGUAUGUUGAUUUUUAUGCCUGUACCACACAGUAUUGAUUACUUUAGCUUUCUAAUAAGUUCCCAGGACUGUGAGUUCUCCAACUUCGUUCUUUUUCAAGUCAUUUGGAUAUUUUAUGUUCCUUAUGCAUUCUUGAUAUGGUUUUCUAUUUCUGAAAAGAACACUGUUGGCACUCUCAUAGGGAUUGUGUUGGAGCUUUGUAUAGUUCCGUCAUUUCAAUAUUAUAUCUUUCAGUCCAUGAACAUGGAAUAUCUUUAUUUAUGUCUUUUCAAUUCUUCUCAGCAAUGUUUUAUAGAUUUCAGUAUGCAAAUCUUCUAUCAUCUUUGUAUUCUGUAAUAAAUAAAAUAAAUUUCUGUAUAUUUGAUUCUUUUUUGAAGUUGUUGUCAACUGUCAGAAUUUUAAUUUCCAAGAGACUUUUUUCUCGUAUGAAUGCCCUCUCCCUCAUCUUUAAAAAGAAAAUAGAAACCUAUUCUUAUGCCUUGGAUGCAGUAUCUGUUUUUACUUCUCUGAACGUUUGAAUCCUACUUACACUUUUGAAAGCUUCUCUCCCUGUAUUUAUUCCCUGUCAGGCUGCUGCCUCCUGUUUACUUUGGUCUCGGUCUUCUGUAUUAGAAACUUUCCUUGAUGUCUUGUUGUUCUAGCUUGUCUGCUUGAGAUUAAAAGUGCAUACUAAGGACUGUUUGGGUAGGGCUCGUCAGUCUGGAGCUUCCCUUUGGGAUGCUGUAGGUGGGCUGUUGUAGGGAACGCUGGGGUCAGAAUCUGGAUAUGGAUCUGUGUCUGGUCAGACUCCUCGGAGAGAAAAGUGCUGAUCCCCUUCCAUAGAGUAAAGGUCUGGCUGCAGACUUUGCCAGCCUUUAAAAGAUAUCUGCAGAAUAAAUCUCUCCAGUUCUCAGCCUUCCCCAUGAUUAGCCUGAAAGUUGACUUUCUUCAUAUCUGUUAGGGCAGUUAUAGCUUAUUUCUCUGCUUUCUAGUUUUUUUUUUUUUGUGUGUGGUGCUGGGGGUAUUGAACCCAGGGCCUUGUGCAUGCAAGGCAAGCACUCUACCAACUGAGCUAUAUCCCCAGCCCCUCUGUUUUCUCAUCCAAUUCUCCUUCUUUUGUGAAGUUAUGUCUUAAAAACAAACAAAACAAAACAAACAAACAAAAACAACACACAUGCAAACAACCAGUGGGCUUCGGGAUUUGGAAUUUUGUCAAAUGGGAGAAAUGAACAUGAGCUUCUGGCUCCUUUCCCCAAAGUGAGCUCUAGAGAAAGUGCAGAAAGUAGAGGAGAAUGUGGAACCUAGGAGCCAAACAACUACAGUCCAAAACCAAAUCCAAAUCCAAAGCCAGAGGAAACCUCGGGGGAGACUGUUGGUAUGUGUAGGAGGUCUUACUCUAGGCAGGGCAGGGCUGGGGUCUUCAUUGAGAAGAUGAGUGACUCUUUCCCAUAAUGCGACUUUGGGCAAUCCCUUUACUGGAAACCAGUCCAGAUAGUUGACAUAUUAGAGGGUACGGCCUGAACCCUGCUGGAAUGAGGAAGUGCUGAACCCUUGUGGGGCUGACCUCAGUUACCUGCCCUUAGGCUUGUCUCUCCACACCUCAGGACUAGGGGUUACAACCCAUGGAGUCAAACUUGGCCGCACUUGAGCAUUACCUGGCAAGCUUUACAGAUCCAUUCCAGCCACCGCCCCCAGAUCUUAACUAUUUGGAAGCUCUGGAUAUGGGCCCAACAUUUCAUAUAUUUUAGAAGCUCCCCCAGUGAUUCCAUUAUGUGUCAGGUGAGAGGCACUGUGUUUGCUAGUGAAGCACUAACCUCGGGAGUUUCCAGGAAGGAGCCCCAAGUGCUUCUUUGGUGUUUAGGGCUUUCUUGUGGGGCUACUGCUAAGUCCACCCAGGAUGUGGCCUGCCUUUAGCCUCUGCCACUCUCUGCUUGCCUUCACAUAAAUCACCACCCUGAGUAGAUAUUUCCAGGGCAAUUAUCUGAGUAGAUAUCAGGAUAAUUCAAUACUUAAAGAAUACAGUGUCUCAGAACUGGGCCACAUAUAACUUUCUGAAGUAGAAUUUUUGGAAAGAUGGACCAAAAGCUUAAAAUAGGAAAAAAUAUAAUAUAUUUAAUAUAAACAUAUGUAUAUAUAUUUUUUAAGAGAUGAGGAGGAAUCAUUUUAUUUUCAGUCUUUCUGUGAAUCUGGUUUUAAGCAUGUCAUUUUGAGCAACAUGUGGUUGCACCUUGCACUUUCUUUAUUCAGUGGUUUAAUUUAUUCAAUGUAAUUAUUAUAAUGAGAUUUCUUUCUGUUAUAUUUUCCACUUGUUCUGCUGUCUUCCUACUUUCCAUCCGAUCGACUGAAUUUUUUCCUGCUGCCUUAAUGGUUUUACAUUCUAAUUUUGUUCUCUAGGUGUUUACCUUUUACUUAGGAGCAUACCCCUGUUUAUUUAUCCCUGUUGGUAUCUGAAGCCAAUCAAUUUCCAUAUUCUUGUUCUCAAAGACUGCUCAUAAAAAUAUUGUCUAGAAUUGCGAAUUUUUUAUGGAAAUAUUUUCUCUUUUUUUGCUUGUUCAGCUGUAGUUUUAAUUAAUUUUUUUUAUAAUUUAAGACAACAAUGAAAGUUGAUUCUUUUUUCUCCAUGCCUUUUUCUGCUUUUCUUGGUCUUUCUUUUUUUAUUUGAAUUCUUUCUCCAAAAAUGUGUUCAAUGUGAGUGUUUCUAUAGCAAGCUUUGAGGUAUAUUUCUAAAAAACACUUAUUAUACCUUACAUUUGAAUGGCAAUUCAGAUAAAUACAACAUAAUAGGUUCAAAGUUCUUUUCUUUCUAUGUUUUAAAAAUAUCACCCCAUUGUCUUUCUGAAUACAGUGUUGCUGUUCAGAAUUCUGAUGUCAUUUUGAUUCCUUCAUUUGAUGCCUUCAAAAUAGAAUAGAAGUGUCUUGUAAUAAUCAGUUUAUCUGGCAUCUAACUUUUCUGUAUUAUUCUCCUCGGUGGACCAAGACAUACCCUUUAGAAUUGAUCUCUUUGUGUUGCUUGCUUCCUCAGGAUCUGCUCUUAAGUAAAAGUUUUUGUAGACCUAUUUGCAUACCUAACUCUGAGUGAUGAAUGAGACUUGGUGAAUUUAGGUACAAAUAAACCCUCAGUAAGGAUGUGGAAACUCCGAUAGUGGAAUCCCAACAGCAGGCUGUAGGAGCCUGCAGGUGGUUGCUUCGAUGGUCUUUCUGACACCCUUUGGAGCAGUCCAGGUUUAUGUAGAACUCACUGAAUGCUCUGCCCUGAGUCUGUGGACUUCACAAACAUCAGGUAAUGCAAUCCUCAACUCUUAUGGCUGGAUAGGACCCCUAACCAUAGAUGGAAAAGCUGAAGCCCAUCGGGUUAAGGGUCACACAGCCAGUACAUGGCAGUUUCAGGAUUUAAGUCCAGUCUGACUCCAGUAUCCGUGCCCCUGACUGUUUUACCCACUCAUUCUCUCUUGCUACAGGCAAGGAAGGCACUCAUGCUAGACUCAGAAUAACCAAAGUCUAAAUUCACCAGAAAUCUGCCGAGUGCUAGCCUCAUGCUAAGCAAAUUACAUAUUUUUCAGAAGGUCAUUCAAUGGGGUCGUUCCAUGGCUGACCUUGGAGUCUUAGGCAAGGAAGACUGAGGGGGGAUCUUGCUAGAAAGCAGCCCUUCUGCUGCUUUUGGUAAGAAGCCACUUGGAAGGGUACCAAGGUGACCCUUGAGGUCAGGUUUCAUGUGGUGGUAGACUGGUUUCCCAAAGCCCUGUUGGAUUUGUAUGGAACCUCCAGCCCUCUUCCCCCUGAGUUCUCUUAACCCCCUCACCCAAUCCUAGUUGUGGCACGCAAACCGUCACCUGGAACAUUUUUAUUACUAAGAACCCAGGGCCCCUGCAAGUUGCCUUCUGGCCAAUGCUGUUCAAAUAGGCCUCCCAAGCAGGAAGCUUAUCAGUGGAGAAGAAACAAGAGGAACUCAUAUUGUCAUUGUUGAGGUCCCCCACAGGCUGGACUGGGCAUCCUCCAGACCCUUUGAAGGUCCUUUCUCCUGACUCCAACCUCACUAAGUAACUCAUCACCACAACAGGGCUAAUUAGAAGCACAGUGCUGGGGACUGUGAUUUUUGGGCAGUGGGUUUUCUCUUUCCCCAUGGGAUUGGGAAUUGGGAGCUCGGGAUUUUCUUCUCACUAAUCUGUGCAGUGAAUUAAGUCUUCUUGCUGUGUUUUAGCUCUUCCACCAAGAAAUAGCAAUUUAUUUCCUUGUAGUACUGUAGUAGUGAAUUAGGAUUAAUAUAUUUGUUGUCUUUGAGUGGCCAGGAGCAGGCACAGCUCUACAAACCCAGUGGCACUGCAUCUGCACAAUAGAUGACCAUGUGUUACUGACUCUCUGAUUUGCCUACUUUUGAUUGUGUGUGCUGGUAAAUCCUAGGCCUCAAUACUACAUGCUAAGAGAGAAUUGGAUGGUUCUGAACUUGGUAAAAAAAAAAAACACAGUCAAACACAAAGAUGCUCAUUUGUUCUGGCUGCUUUUCUACUAGUGGCUUCCUCAGAUGAAGUGGCUCUUCCCAGGGUCACAAGGAACCCAAGGCUAAGGCACAGAGUACUGUGCCAGCAAGGGGUGGUUGUAAUUUCAAAGAGACAUUCAAGAAUAGUUUGAGAACCUUGGACUCUGGAGUAUUCGGAGCUCUCCAGAAGCACAGACCUCCUGUCAUUGAGAGGAGAUGAGCACGGCUUUUCUCCAUGACAUGUUUCUCUGCACUGUGAGGUCUUUGUGUCACCCUGGCUAAGUUUCCAGCACACAGGAAGUGUUCACAAACUGCUUGCUGAAUGAAUUAUCAAAGUGACUACGAUUCCUCCACUAAAUUCUUCUCAUUAAUGUCUCUCCUCGCAAAUUACAUCCUUAUUUUCAUUUUGGAAAUUGAGUAGAGCAAUUUGUGUCACUCUUCGUCUAGGGUAGAUCUGUGAUGGCUUCCCUGCUUAUAACUUUUGUUGCCCUAAGUGGCCACGCACCAUUGGAAUCUGCUGCUCUCCUGGCCUCAGAUGAUGGGGUUAGGGUGAGCUCCUGGCUCCAUGCUGUCUGGACUUAGGUGGACUCUUAAUGAGAGAGUGCUGCCAGUGUGCAGGCCAUAAAGACUCAAAGCCUGGAGUGGCUGUCCUGGUGCCCUGGCAAGCUGUCUGAGGGAGGAGAAUGGACCUCUCUUGGUGGCCCCUGAGAGGUGAGAGAUUGGUUUGUUCCCAUGGACACCAAGAAUCCUGACGUUGUGGUUUCUUCGAUUCUGAGAUGUUUCUGAAUUUUAUUCUAAAUUCCUUUCCCUCUUCCUGUGCCUACUUCAGUGAGGAGUGCCCUUGAGAAGACCCUUCCUACAUCGUUUCAUUCUAAGAGUGUAAACAAAUUCUCAUCUCAGCCCCUUAAGAGAAGCCAAGCCUAUGUGAGCGCUUGGCCGUUGGCUUCUUGAGGAGUCCCCUUCAAGAUUUUCAAGUACGCUUUCCUCCUCUCCUUGGCCUCUUCAGCAUCCUCCUUCCUCGUCUCUGAUGGGGUAUCUUGGACAGAACUUGAUGUUCCUAACAAAAGUCCGAUCAAUGCUUUUGAGAGUGAGGGAGUCCCUCUGAAUCCCAGUGCCCACACUCAGGAGUAUUUAAAAAGUGGUUUCCAUGUAUUUGAAAAUAAUAUUUGAGAAUUCAGGAUGUAUAAAUAUACAUUUCCCCCUUGGGAACAAUAUUGUUCUGCACUCUCCUACAGGGAGCUUUGAUGUCAUCUCUACUUUUUAUUCUGCUUAAUUUACCAAACAAUCAGAGCUGUGUGCUGUGGUCUUCCACCAUGUUUUUGAACUAAUCUGUUUAUUCUUCUAAUUCUAACACUGCUAUAUAUCUGAACUUGUUUUAUUAAACAGAUGGAAAUUUAAAAUGAUGUCUUCCUGAGGAUCUCUUCCUCUGUCCCUAUGCAGUGAACAUCUUUCCCCAGUCAGGCCUUUUCCCUUGAAAUUUGUUCUGGCUCAUGGAGCAGGGCUAGACUUCAUUUGGUUUUUAUUUUCCUUGUGUCUUUUAUCUAUUCCUUUGUUCAUAGUCUUUAAUAGUAUGUUUCAACCACAUUUGUUAUAAAGAUAUAUACCCAGAUUUUGAUUUUUAAAAAGUAAUUUUAAAUGUUUACAUGGUAAAUACACAUUAUUACAAUCACAUAUUGUCUUUUCCUUUCUAUUUACCUUCUCCUUUCUUUGUUUAACUUUCUUUUCCCCCACUUUAUUGUUUAACUUAGCUUUCUUUAUUUUUUACUUCCAAUGCUAGUGCCAUGGGUAGCUGUGCAUCCUGUUGCUGUUUUCUUAUGGAUUACCCUAAAAGUGUAAAAUGAUGCUUCGUAGUAAUUAAGCAUUAUAUGUACAUACUUCCAUACUAAUGGUUUACCAUCUAAUACCUUAAAAUGUUUUAACAUCAACCAUGAUAUUUACAUCCAGUAUUUUGUUUUUACUGACUUCUGUUUUUGAAUAUCAUUGCUAUCAUUGCUUUUCUAGUCAAGCUUCUUCAUAAAUAUCUGAAUAUUCACCAAUUUUUUUGCUCACAUUUCUUGUAUCUCAGUCUUCCUUCUUCUUCUUUUAAUUUCCUUUUUUUUUUUUUUGGCAGUUUCAUGAUCCAAAUUGCUCCCUUUUUGAAAUGACAAACAUCUCAAUGCUGUAUUUUGGCAAGGAGAUACCACAGAUACACUGUCGCUCUUUUCUUCCAUGUUCAAUUUUUUUCUUGAUGCAGUAAUACUUGGUUGUAUUUUUUUUUCAAAUGAAGAUAUGUUAGUUAAAAACUGUUUCAGUUUGAUUGAAAAUGUCUUUAGUUUUCCUUAUUCUUUAAUAAGAGUUUGGCUGGGUUUAAAGUUCUAAGAGGACAUUUUUUUUUCUUUUCCUCUUAACACUUUGAAAAUACUUCCAUUGUUUUCUGAGUUCUAUUAUUGCAGUUGAAAAGUCUGUUGUUAAUUUGAUUAUCAUUCUUUUUUUCGAAAGUCUGUGUUUUAUGCUUCACAUAAAAAUGGUCUAAAAAUAAAAUAAAAUUUUGCAGUUUUUUGUACAUUGUAUUAAGUGCAGACUUAUUUAUUUGUUAUGUUUGCUAUCUGAAAGGAUUACUGAGUUCCAGGAUUCCUGUCUUUCUUCAAUUCUGCAAAUAUUGUCUUUUCCUCCCCCUUUCUGUUUUCUGUCUGGUUCAGUUUUGAAAUUUGUUGGAUCUUCUCAUUUUAUUGUCUGUUUAUCUCAAAUCAAACCAUUUUACACUUCUUUUUCUCUCUCUGACCCUUUCUGGAUAUUUCACAGACGUAUCUCCAAUUCACCAAUUCCUUUCUUCUGUUGUGUUUGAGAUGCUUUUUAAUCUACCCAUUGAGGUUUAAAUCACAAUGACUGAAUUUUUCAUUUUUACAAUCUUUGUUCGAAUCAUUUUCAAAUGUCUGUAAUUUUUAAUAGUUUCCCUAUUCUAAGACUAAUGAUUUUAAAUGUAUUCAUGCAUACAGUUUCCAUCUAAUUCUAUCAACUAAAGUUCUUUGGGGAAUUUUGUGUUGUUUUUGUGCUUAUUGAGCCUUUUCCCUUGAGAGGAUUGUUUCCUCCUGUAUCUUUAAGUUCUGAGUUCUGAGUAUGUCUCUGAGUUAUGAGUUUGGGUUCACCUUUGUGAACUUCUCUUCGGCUUGGACUUGUGAUGCAACCUGUCCUGAAAAUUCUGUGUUUGCUUCUGAAAAUAACCUUAAAGAUGUUAGCAGUUUGGAAACAUUUUUAUCUUAUUUUUUGGCAUGGAAGUUUGUGAUCUGUGUGAUCCUAUAAAUUGAAGCCAAAUUUACAUUAAGAACCCUUAAUUUAAAUUCCAUGGGUAGUCUAUUUCUAAUUCAAUACUAAUCAGUAAUUAAAAACUUCCUUGGUAUCCCUCUGGGUCAAUGGCUGGAUUAAAAAAAUAAUUCUUCCAUUUAGAAUGUAGCCAUUCAAGGGUCAUGGAUUCAUGAGAGUCUCAAUUUUAGCUUCAGUCUUACUGGGGGUUAAAUUCUUUUGUGCCUGUGAGAAGUUAAAAACCACAUCUCUUGUUUCAGUUGGAACAACUCCUACUUCAAAACAGACAGAUUUCACUUUCCAGUUUCUAAUUUACAGCUCAAUUUUGGCCUUUGUGAAAUUCUUCUAAUUUAUUGUAAGUUCAGUUAUGUACUUGAUAUGAUAUUUGCUAUGUUUAUCUUUAUCUGUAUUUGAAAAAUUAUUCACAUUAUUUUCAAUUCAGAAAUCAUAAUUAUAUAGAAUCACGAAGUACAAUGUGAUUUUUUUUAAUGUAAUAUUUUGAACAGGUAUACAAUGUGGGCAUGUAUACCUUAAAUGAAGCUAAUUAACGUAUUCAUUAUUUGCUUACCUAUUCUUUCUCCAUAGUGAGAUAUUUGAAAUUUACUCUGUUAUUUUGAAAUAUAUGACAUUAUUAUUGACUUAGCUAAAAUAAAUAAUAAUCACUGUUGUUAUUAACCUUGCUAACAAACUUGAUUUGCAAUCGAUAUCAAAUUCUUUUCCAAUCCAACUCAAACUUUGUACCUUUUGAUCAAAGAAUUGCCCCUUUCCUCCUCCCCACCUACCAGCCUCUGGUAACCAUCAUUCUACUCUCUACUUCUGUAAUUUCAACUUUUUUUUUUUUAGAUUUUACAUAAAAGUAAGAUUAUAUAGUAUUUGUCUUUUGUGUUUGGUUUAUUUUGCUUAUCAUGAUAUCCUCCAGAUUCAUCCAUUUCCCCUAUGGUUGUACUAAUUUGUGUUCACACUCACAAUUCCCUUGCCAAUACUUGUUGUCUUUCGUAUUUUGAUAAAAGUCAUUUUAAUGGGUGUGAGGUGAUAUCUCCCUAUGGUUUUACUCUACAUUUCCCUAAUGUUUAGUGAUACCAAUCAUUUUUUCAUGUCCCUGUUGGCCAUUUGUAUAUCUUGAGAAAGGUCUGUUUAAGUCCUUUCCCCAAAAUGACCAGAUUAAAAAGAAUGGUCAAAAAAUGACCAGGUUACUUGUUCUUUUGUUAUUGAAUUGUUUGAAUUCCUUAUUGUGGUGGUUAGUUUUUGGUUGCUGUGACCAAAAUACAUGACAAGAACAACUAGGGGAGCAAAAGUUUAUUUUGGCUCAUGGUUUCAGAGGUUCAGUCUAUGGUUAGUUGGCUUGAAGACAGAAACAUCAUGGCAGAAGAGCAUGGUAGAGGAGGAGGAGGAGGAGGAGGAGGAGGAAGAGGAGGGAGAAGAUGAAUAGGAGGAGGAGGAAGAGGCGGAGGAGGAAGAAGAAGAGGAAGAAGAAGAAGAAGAAGAAGAAAGAAAGAAAGAAAGAGAGAGAGAGAGAGAGAGAGAGAGAGAGAGAGAGAGAGAGAGAGAGUUUCUUCAACCAUGCUCUACCUGCCUACAGUUACCACCCUGUAGUUCAUUCAGAUUCUUAAUCCAUCAAAUGGAUUAAUCCUCUGAUGAGGUUAUAACCCUUAUAAUCUAAUCAUUUUUCAAAGUCCAAUCCUUGGGUCUUAUUGCCCUGGGGACUUUUCAACACUUGAGCUUUUGGGGAGAUAUUCUAGACCCAAACCAUAAGACUUAAAUAUUUUGGAUAUUAAAUUCUUAUCAGAUGUAUGGUUUUCAAAUAUUUUCUUCCUCCCAUUCUGUGGGGUGUCUAUUUUGCUGUGCAGAAACUUUUAAAUUUGUGUCAUCCCAUUUAUCUAUUUUUGCUUUUGUUGCUUGUGAUUUGAGAGUUUUAUCUCUCAAAUUGUUGCCCAGACCACUAUCAUGGAGAUUUUACCCUAUGUUUUCUUCUGGUAGUUUUAUAGUUUCAUUUCUUAUAAUUAAAGUUUAAAUCCAUUUUGAGCUGAUUUGUAUGUAAAUUAUGAGACAAAGAUCCUAUCUGAUUUGUCUAAUGUGGCUAUCCAGUUUCCUGGUUUAUUGAAAAUUGUACUUGCCCUAUUGUGUGUUCUUGGUGACCGUCAAAAAUUCAGUUGACCAAAAAUACAUGCAGGGAGUUUAUUUCUGGACUUUCUAUCCUAGUCCAUUGGUCAAUUAGUCUGUUUUUAUGCCAGGACUAAAUGAUUAAAAUGAUUUUAUAAUAUGUUCUGAAAUCAUGGAUAUAAUGAGUCCAGCUUUGUUCUUGUUGCUCAUUUGUCUUGGCUAUUUGGGGUCUAAAGUAGUUUCAUACAAAUUUAAGGAUAGUUUUUUUCUAAUUUUGUGAAAAAUGAUAGAAAUUUUGAAGGAUUACAUCAAAUCUGUAGAUAGCUUUAAGUAGUAUGGAUAUUUUCACAGUAUUAAUUUGUCUAAUCCAUGAACACAGGAUUAUUUUGUAUUUUGGUAAUUCAUCAAUGUUUUCUAGUUUGUAAUAUACAUGUCUUUUACAUAUUUGAUUUAUUUUAUGAAUAAUUUUAUUUUGCUGCUAUUGUAAAUGGGAUUGUUUUCUUAAUUUUCCUUUCAGAUAAUUAUAAGCAUAUAAAAAUUACUUAUUUUUUAUGUUGACUUUGUAUCUUGUAAAUUUACUAAAUUAAUUGAUCUGUCCCAUUGUUUUUUUUUUGUGAAGUUUUUUUUUUCUAUAAAGUAUAGUAUGUUGUCAACAAAUAGAGACAAUUUCAUUUACGUUGUUGUUAGAAUGCCUUUUAUAUUUUUAUCUUGCCUAAUUGUUCUGGGUAGAACAUUCAGUACUACGUUGGAAAGAAGUGAUUAGAAUGGAUAUACUUGUCCCCAAUCUUAGAGAAAAAGCUUUUAAUUUUAAUUGUUGAUAAUGAUGUUAACUAUGGGUUUGAUACAUAUGACCCUACUGUGUUGAGAUACAUUCCCUCUCUAUCUAAUCUUUUUUUUUUUAAUUAAUUAAUUUUUUUUUAGUUUUCGGUGGACACAACUUUGUUUGUAUGUGGUGCUGAGGAUCGAACCUGGGCCGCAUGCAUGCCAGGCGAGCACGCUACCACUUGAGCCACAUCCCCAGCCCCUCUAUACCUAAUCUUUUGAGAACUUCUUUUUUGUUUUUAAAAUCAGAAAGACUUGUCAAAUGCUGUUUUUACAUCUACUGAGAUGAUUAUAUAAUUUUUAUCCUUCAUUUUUUUAAUGUGGUGUAUUACAUUUGUUGAAUUGUCAGUGUUGAACCAUCCUUGCAUCCCAGUGGUAAAUUCCACUUGAUCAUGGUGAAAGAUUAUUUUAUUGUAUUGUUGAAUUUUGUUUUUGUAUUAAUCAGUUUCCCAUUACUGAGACCAAAAUACAUAACAAGAACAACUUAGAAGAGGAAAAGUUUAUUUUGGGCUUAUGGUUUCAGAGGUCUCAGUCCAUGGUUAACUGACUCUAUUUCUCUGGGCCCAAGGUGAGGCAGAACAUGAUGCAGGGAGCAUGUGUCAGAGGAAAGCUCAGGUUGUAGCAGCCAGAAAGCAGAGAAACAAAAUAUAAACCCUAAAGGCACACCCCCAAUGACCUACUUCCUCUAGUCAUGCCAUACCUACCUACCAUUACCAUACAGUUGUCCAAAUUAUUGACAAAAUGGAUUAAUCCAUUGAUUCUAUUAUAGUUCUCAUAAUCUGAUAAUUUCACCUCUGAACAUUCUUGUAUUAACAUGGAAGCUUUUGGGAGGAUAUUUCACAUACAAAUCUUUACACUUUGCUAAUAUUCUGUUGAAGAUUUUUGCACUUAUGUUCAUGAUGGAUAUUGUUCUAUAAUUUUCUUGUAGUGUUCUUGUCUGGCUUUGGUAUCAGGCAGUACUGUUUUUAUAAUAAAAUUUGGACCUAUUCCCUCCACUUUGAGCUUUGUGAAAGUCUGGGAAGAGUUGAUAUUAGUUUUUAAGAUAUUUGUUAAAAUUUAGCAGUGAAGCCAUCUGGUACAAACUUUUUUUCAGUGGAAGACAUUUGAUUAUGGAUUCAGUCUCAUUACUAAUUAUUGCUCUCUCUGGAUUUUCCAUUUCUUCAUAAUUCAGUCUUGAUUUAUAUGCCUAGGAGUUUCUCCAUUGCUUCUUGAUUAUACAUUUUGUUGGCAUAUAAUUGUUCAAAGUAGUUUCUUAUAAUCAUUUGUAUUUGUUGUAAUGUCUCCUCCUCCUCAUAUCUGAUUUUGUUUAUUUGAGUCCUUUAUUUAACACCCCAUGGUCUAGCUAAGGGUUUAUUGAUUUUUUUUCCUUAUCUUUUGAAAAAAUUAACUUUUAGUUUCAUUUUUUUUAGUCUCUUUUACCCUUAUUUCUGAUCUUUGUUAUUUCCUUCCCCUGUGGGCUUGAUUUGUUUUCUUUUCCUCAUUCCUCAAAGGAUAAUAGUAGAUUGUUUACUUGAGAUCUUUAUUUUUGACAUAUGAGUUUAUUGCUAUAAAUUUUCCUCUUGAAACUGCCUUUGCUGCAUCCCAUAAAUUUUGACAUAUUGUAUUCCCUUUUUUAUUUGUUUCAGGUAUUUUUUUAUAUUCUUUUAAAUUUCUUCUGUGACCUAUUGAUCACACUGAGAAUUUUGUUUAAUUUCCACGUAUUUGUAUAUUUUCCAAGAUUUAUCCUCUGUUUGAUUUUUAGUUUCAUGCUGUUGUGAUCUCAAAAGAUACUUGAUAUUAUUUCACUCCUCUUAAAUUUGUCAAGAUUUGUUUUGUGGCAUAACUUGUGGUCUAUCUUUGAGAUUGUUCCAUGUGCUCUUGAGAAGAAUGAUUAUUCUGUUGCUAUUGGAGGGAAUAUUCUGUAUAUACCCAUUAGAUCUAUUUGGUCUAAAGUGUAAUUCAAUGUUUCCUUAGUGUUUUUCUGUCUAGAUGAUUUGCCCAUGGUUGAAAGUGGAAUAUUAAGGUUCCUUACCUAUUAUAGUAUUGCAGUUUCUUUCUUUUAGAUCACUUAAUAAUUGCUUUCGGUAUUUAUGUGCUCUGAUGUUAAAUGCCCAUAUAUUUAUAAUUGUUAUGUCCUCUUGCUGAACUAACCAUUCAAUCAUUUUGUGAUAAUUUUGUCUCUUUUUAUAGUUUUUUAUUUAAAGUCCAUUUUAUCUGACAUUAAGUAUAGCUACCUCUGCUCUUGUUCAGUUUCCAUUUAUGAGGAAUAUAUUUUUGUAUCUCUUGCAUUUGUCUAUGUGUGUCAUUACUAGAAAAGUGAGUCUCUAAAGAUCAAUGUGGUUGGAUUUUGUUUUUGGAAAUCCAUUCAACCACUUGGUCUUUUUACUGGAAAAUUUACUCAGUCUACUUUCAAGUUAAUUAUUGAUAGAUCAGGACUUUUUACUGCCAUUUUUGUGAUUUAUUUUGAAAGUCUGUGGUUUCUUCAUUCCUUCUGUGAUAACCACUCAUCUGCAGUUGGCUGCUGAUCUAGAAGGACUAAACAUGAGUACCAGGGUUGUGUGGGGAAGUUGUUUAGGGCUUGAGCCUGGUAGACCUAUGGACUGUGCUUCCUGAAGUGCAGUGCUAUUGGCUAGUCUCUUUGGAAUGGUACCUCCAUUGCCAGAAUGCACAGCAAUAUCCAAGAGCCACAUGGAAGCCACUUUGAACCCCAUCUCUGUUAUUUGUUUCUAACAGGAAGUUUAGACCUACUGGUAUUCCCAAAGUUUUUCAUGGGAUAAGACAGAAGCAAGCCCCCUUUGAAGGGUUCCAGAACAGCAAGGAAGCUGAAUGUCUACCUCCAACUCACUUUUGACACUGUGAAAACUGUGUGUCCAUGGAAUCCUUUCUGUAUGGUGCUGUGUUGGCUUUGAGGAGGGCGGUGUGGUAAAGAGGUCUGUUCCUCAAACUUUUGAAUGUGACUUUCUUAGCUAUGCAGUCUAAGGGGGUGUCUCAGUCUCACUCUUGAGUGCUGGUAUAUUCACAAAGUGUUCCCAUCUAUGGGUAACUGUGAGGUGGGUUUCUGUGGGGACAGUGGAAUUGAUGAACUCCUGGUCUCUCAUCUUGCUGCAUCAGUUUUUCAUCACUUUGACCAAAUACCUCACAGGAACAAUUUAGAGGAUGAGAAGAUUAUUGUUAUCUCAUGGUUUUCGAGGUUCAGUUCAUGGUUGGCUGAUCCCAUCACUCUGGGCUUAAGUGAGGAGGAGCAUCAUUGUAGAAGGGCAUGUCAGAGGAAAGCUGCCCACCUCGGCUGGGACGUAGAGAGGGCAAGGGCAGGGCAGCAGGCAGGAUGAGCCCUUCCAGGGCCUGCGUCAGCCAUACCCCACCUGCCUGCAGUUGCCUCUCAGUCUACUCAAACCAGGACGGACUGAUUAGAUUACAGCUCUCACAGUCCAGUGACUUCACUUCUGAAUAUUCCCGAAUCAAUACAGGAACUUUUGGGGGAUACCUCAUACCCCAAACAAUAACACUUUCUGAUAUUGCUCCUUUAUCUACAUUUAAUACGUAUUUUUAGUGGGAGUAUUUUCAGGUUGUUUAUUUCAUCUAAUAGCUAGAAAUAGAAGUAACACCAUUGUUUUGUACAUGUCAUCACUGAAUUCCUGCCUGAUGGUGUCAUGUAGGCUGGCAAGAAAUAAUUUCAUAAAUAAAGAGUAAAAUCACAUUAUUGGCAGUCUAAUCUAUACAAAUUAUUAUGUUAUUAGAAGUUGAAACCCCAAAUUAGUUAUUUAUGCUUGCUUUUAGAAUGAGCUUUGGUAUUCUUGGCAUUGUGUCUGUUGGAAUAAUGAUAUGUCAUAAUAAAGCAGUAAUUUCAAUAAAACUUAGUCAAAACAUGUAGUCAAUAUACAACUUGAAAUUUGUAUAUGUUAGAUAAAAAUAUAUAAUAUUCGAUACUAUAUAAUAUUAUAUGUAUAUGUGUGUAUAUGCAUGUGUGUGUGUGUGUGAUACUGAGAAUUGAACCCAGGACCUCCCACAUGCUAGUCGAGCACUCUACCACUGAGCUACACAUCCUUAGCUCCAUAAUAUAUUUUAUAACAUAGACAUAUAAAAUUUAUGUUAUACAUAAAUAUAACUUGUAUAAUAUAAACUGGAAGUUUCGAGUACAUAUAUUUGUACCUGUAAUUAUAUACAAUAUAAAUUGUAUAUAUUAUCUAUAAUACAUGUUUUAUAUAUAAUAGAUCUAUUUAAAAGUUGUCUAUUAUUGAUUUAAAAGUUGUCUUAAUAUAUUUUAUAACUUUCCUGGGAUACUUUCCCAAAUAGAUUACUUAGCAUUCUGGUUUCUCAAAAAAUUUUAACAAAAUGGGUUGUGAUGUCAAAUAAAAUUGGAACAUCCCCCUUCUUCUACCUCUUCUUGGUGAGUCAGAAGUGUGCCAGCUUACAUAAUCAUGGAGGGUUCCUGAGGUCAAGAAGUUAAUUUGGAUUUCAUUUACCCAGACAUGUCAGUCAGCUUUUUGUCAUUGAUGACCAAAAUACCUGAUAUGAACAACUCAAAGGAUAAAAGACUUACUGUGGCUCAUGGUUUUGUAGGUUUCAGUUGGCCAGCUCCAUUGCUCUGAGCCUGUGCCAGGUAGAACGUCAAGGUGGGAGGGCGUGGUGGAGGAAAGCCACUCAGCUCAUGGCAGCCAGAAAGUAGAAAGUGAGAGAGAGGAACAGACCAGGGAAAAGAUAGUCCCUGAGGACACUCCCCCAGGGACCUACUUCCUCCAGCCGGACCCCACCUGCCUACAGUUUCCACCACCUCCCGCAGCUGUCAAUAGACUAAUCCACUGACGAGUCAGAGUCUUUUCAUGAUCCAGUCACCUCCCCACACUCCACGUCUGAACGUUGCUGCCUGGGGACCAACAUGUGAGCCUUUGGAGGAUCCUUCAUAUCCAAACACAACACCCAGGGGUUUCAAGCCUGUCCUAUGAAAGAAACAUUCUUCAUUGUUCUAAGUAACAUUUAUUAGCAUUCUGUUCUGUAAAACACAACUUGGGAAACGCUGUUCUAUUAAUAAUUUGAGUUUGUUAAUAAUGAGUUUGUCAAGAUAUUCAUUCUUUUCCAAGCAAGAAGUAUUCCACACACUCUUACCUUAAGUGUUUUAUUUAUUUAAAAUGAAUUUAAAUUGACACAUGAAAUUAAAUAACAAAAUUCUCCCCAUAGAAAAUGCAGUCAUUUUGUUAUCUAAAAAUGCACCUAUUUAUUAAAUAUGAUUCUUAAAAAGUGAGGUCAAAAUCUAUAAAAGCUAACUUUAUGGUAAAAAAAAAAGCACUUUCAAGUAUUUCUAUGUAUCUUUUUAAAAUAAUUUUUUAUUUUGAGAAAGGAUCUUGCUAAGUUGCUUAGGGCUUUGUUAAGUUUACUGAGGCUGGCUUUGAACUUGCAAUCCUCCUGCCUCAGUCUCCCAAGCUGCUGGGAUUACAGGCAUGCACCAUGGUGCCAGGCUGAAAGUAUUUUUUAAAAAUUAAAAAUAUUUAAAGUGGGACUGGGACUGUGGCUCAAGUGGUAGAGCACUUGCCUAGCAUAUGUAAGGCAUGGGGUUUGAUCCUCAGCACCACAUUAAAAAGAUAAAUAAAAUAAAGGUAUUAGGCUCAUCUACAACUAAAAAAUUAUUUUAAAAAUUUAAAAAAAUAUUUAAAGUUGAGUCAAAUUGUAUUUGUGACACUUUUUUUAUGCUGAAUAUUAUAUUGUUCAAGGUAGUAGGAAGAUUAGCAUAAAGUGGGUUAGUUUUGUAUUUCCAUUAAUAAAAUCUGGUCACUGGCCAGGUACAGUGGUACAUACUUUAAUCUCAGUGGCUUGGGAGGCUAAGGCAGGAGGAUCUUGAGUUUAAAGCCAGCCUUAGCAACUUAGUGAGGCCCUAAGGAGCUCAGUGAGACCCUGUCUCUAAAUAAAAUAUAAAAGAGGGUGGAGGAUGUGGCUCAGUGACUCAGUGGUUAAGUGCCCUGGGUUCAAUCCCUGGAACCAAAAUAAAUAAAUAAAUAGAUAAAUAAAAUUGGGGACAUAAGUGUUUGUAAAUAGCAAGGGCCUCAUUAUUGUAGUCUUUUACCUUUAGAUAGCCCACAGCUUGAACUCUCAGGACAGUAUGAUGGAAGUUCCAGUGUAUUUUAAAAACUGUCUACCUAUCUUUAUAAACCAUCCAUCAACCAAAUCCAUUAUCUCUGUAAUAUCACACAUGGUAGCAUGUUGAACACAGUUCUUCCUGUCUCUGAAUUUCCUUGAAACCACCAUAAGCUGAGAACAAACAUUAGUUGUCAUGUGCAGUGAAAUUCCAAAAUAAAAAAUGGAAAAAAUAAGACAAUAGAUGAGUGAGCAGCCAGUGUGCCUUCAAGACAUUAAACUAUGACUGCUGCUUGACUUCAACCUUCUAGAUCUUGGGCACAGUGUCUCUGUGUUCAAGCUGAACCCAGCACCAUACAGGGAAGGGGACUCUAGAAAAUAUCCUGCAAAGCCAGCUCAGAGGCCAAGGCUGAUGGUGAGGAUCCUUGAGGAGAAUUCCAGUGUGCUGCCUCCCCUCCUGCCCACCUCUCCACCUGGCAUGGGGACUUCUAGGUUAUGUUGUAGGGUGCUUCUGGGGAAUCACUCACAGGGCUUGAUGUACAUCCCUGGAAGUUUGGGGAACACAGGAAAUGGUCAUCUGUCAAGAAAAGCCUAAGGAUGAGAUGUAGCAGCUCCUGCCUGAUGACAUAUUGCCAAGACAGGAUUGCUUGGAAAGGCCAGCAUGGCCUGUGUCUGCCAGAGUCAGAAUGGAAGAUCCCUGAGGGCCAGGCAUGGACCUGCAGAGGAGUACUUGCACAGGGUUGAUGUUCAAUAGCACUCGUUGAAUGAAUGAAAACAUUUCAGUUAAUCUCCCCGAAUCCAGUUUUCUCUUCUUCCUUAAUAAGAGUAUCUUGGUUUUACUUGAAGGUGACAGUGUACUCAGCCAAAGGCCAGAUUGUCUGGUUUCCUUUGUACCAGGAUAUGACUUUGGCUGUGAUUUGAUCAGCCAUAAGAGAGCAGAAAUGUUAUGUGUAACUUCCAAGAAGGCUGCUUAAGGGGAGCUGCAAGGGGUCCCUUUUAGCUUUUCUAAGUGAACGUGAUGCCUGGAGGUCCAGCAGCCAUUUUAGACUGUGAGGUGGUGUUAAAGAUGAAAGCUGCAAGGUAAAAUGGAAAAGUGGCGAGCCAGUAACCAUUGUUGGUACUCUUCCACUGGGUUAAACAAGGCUAACAGUAUCAUCCCAGAUGUCUUUUGCCUAAUGCUUACUUAAAGUGUACAGAAAUUUGGGAGAGGAAAAACUGGCCCGGGGCUUCCAGUACUGAAGGUGGGGAGUGUUGUAUUCUCCAUGACAAUGAGAGUUCUUGAGGGUAGGGAUCCAGACAGGCACAGAACUGACUAAAAGACUAAAGAAUCAAGUCAUGGACUAGACCCUCUGCUUUUCUACAAAACUAGAGAGUUGUUGCAAGAAAAUCCUGGAAUAGGCCGGCUGUGAACCGUCACAUCCAGUCUGGCCCUGGACUGCUGCUUCUCCCAGAGCAUUAACCACCUGUGUGGACAGGGACAGGGUGUUCUUAGCCUCAUUUUAGCCAGAACAUGUGGUAAGUACCCAGAAAUGAUAUCAUCAAUUGUGCUUACAGUCGCAAAAAAGCAACGGCUCUGACAUUAGAAAAACACAGCAGUCUGUCUCAGCCCUUAAAGGGUGACACUCGGCUCCGGUUGAAGAUUUUCUUGGUGUGUCUUCACGUCUCUCAUUGUAGCAUCCUCUGUUUUUGGGCCCCCCUGCCCUCAGUAGUGUAGUUAGGCACAUGUCUCUGAGUGUGUGAGACACAGAGAGACAGAGAGAGGAGACACAGGGUCAGCCGGUUGGUUUUUCACUCUCUCGAUUUUUCUCUUCCGCUCUUCCUGGCUCUUCAUUUUCUUCUGGUCCUUUCUUCCAUUCAUUUGGCGCCUGUGUCCAGCCCCGUGAAAGAACUGAGCCACGCUGCACUUUCCUUAAUGACGUCUGUGAUUCUUUCUUCCUGUGGGGGACACGGGUGGCAGUCGCCUGGUAGGGAAGUGUUCCCCACCUGGUAGUCCAUCCUACAGAGAAGGGGCCCGUGGAGAAUGCAGCAGUGUGUCCACGCUCCCCCCCGGAUGACGGGAGGACUUUCCGGGUGCUGACUGCUACCAGGCCCAGGGGCCGAUCCAACCCGGUGACUGCUUCUGGAAUGCCCACCACAAUCCCUUCUUCCUCUGAGCGGGGCUUGGACGGCGCUCCUCAUCUGUGUUCUUCAAAUUCCUGGCUGCAGUGGCUCCUGUCGGCUUCCCUGGUGGUUGCCCAGAUCUUGGGUCACUCACGCCAGCCCGUUGCUGGGUUUCCCUUUCUCAGUCAGCUCCCUGAGGUUCCCAGGCUUGCUUGCAGCCUGCUGUGACCCCGGGGCCCAGCUGUACUCGCAGUCAAACCUUUGCACAGGCAGCAGCAUCUUUCCAGGGCCCAGCCCCGCCAGGACAGAGGGCCGGGGAGCGCGGAGUGUGUGCAUAAUUCCGGAGCCGAGCGCUGGCGGGCCGGCUGUAAUAAAGCUGUCUGUUAGGAAGUUAUCUUUCAUAUACAAUUGCUUCCCCUAAGCUCUUAAGCACAUUAACUGCACCUGUAAUUAUACACACCUCAGAAAAUGCAUAAAAGCUGUCUUCUUAGCCAGACUAAAUAAAACUGCAGUCUCCUUCAUAUCCUCUAUUGCCCGCUAUUCCUUAACGCUAGAGGGAAAAAGGAAAAAGAAAUGAAAGCCAGGAGAAGAGGUAAUUGCCCAUUAGAGAGUUGCUAAGAAGUGAACUUUGUCUCUCGUUUACAGCAUUAAUUUUGCUCUGCGUGAACUGCAUUUGACACGGCUCCGAGGGCCGGGAGUUCUGGCCGCUGACGCUGGCCGGGAGGUGGUGGCUGUCACUUUGCCUUCCCAGUGUGCCGAGAAGCACCACAGCGACAGGCUUCCCUCAGACUCUCAGGCGAGGCUCUGCGUCAGGUGGAGAGCUGGUGAUUUUUGCGGGAGCCUCUCCUUCCUUUCGCACUGACCUACUUCUUGCAUUUGACUAUUUUGUGUCAUUUGGCACUAAUAAGCCUGAAACCCCUGCUAGUUUCCUCCCUUAUGCCGCACUGAUCUCCUCCUCCCGUGGCUCCCACUCAGGUGUUUUGGGGGCUGGAGGGAGAGACCAGUUCCCUGAAUCUGGGGUCUUCAGGCACAAGUCCUUCCGGCUGGCUUGACCGCCAACAGCAGGGCCCCCAGUCAGACGUACUCCUCACAUCGGCAGAAAGCAGGUGAUGGGCAGUGACUUGGCAUCACCCACGUUCACAACCUGCUGUAAUAUAAGCCAUUCCCUGUACAGUGUCAGUAGAAUUAAUUGGCUGGUAAUCCACAGGAGCCGUUUGGAUCACCUGCAGUUUGUUUUAUGAGUCCUCUAGGAUCAAUUUCAUGUUUGAAUGACUAUUCCUAUCAUAUGUUUACAUACACCGUUGUCCUUUGUAUUCAUAGAUGACUCGGUUGCCUUUUUACUCCCCAGGCAUAUUCUUUCUGGAAAGGAAAGGCCAAAAUAGUACCCAAAACUCUUUUGGAAAUUACCCAUGAUUUGUCCACACCUCAUUUCAAAUUCGUGGUGAUGAGCUAUGGAGGGAACAACAACAAUACACACACACACACACACACACAACCAUGAAAAGGCAGAGCACCUGCCCUCAAGGAUCUUACCAUCCCCCCCUCCCCUAGGAGGAAAACAUAAAAGGAAACAGACCAGAGUAAUUGCAGAGGACACAUGAGAAGUGCAGGACCAAGAAGUGACAUUGAAAGAGAAUCCUGUUUCCAGGAGGGACCAGCUCUUGAUGGGACAUAGAUUCUCAGUCUUUACCAACCGCAGGGACAAGCUGCUUAUUCAAAGAGCCCACAGCCCAUGCACCUUUCUUGCCUUGAGGAAGGUCCUUUUUCUUAGCAUGCCCUGGACCUUCUCAGCUGAUCUGCAAAGUGAAGGGAGAACUCGAGGAGGCUGCUGUGUCAGUUGUGUGGAGAGAGUGGAUUUAGUGUUAUGAUUUAAAGAAUAUGAAGUUCUACUGUCCGAAGAAUGGAAAGAUCAGGAAGGCCAGAAGAGGAGGAGCCGGGGUAAAAGGUAGGAGGGGCCACCGAGAGGCCAGGGCUGGGGCAUGGGGAAGAGGGGGGCUGAUGAGCUGCCUCAUAGUGUCAAGACUGCUGCAGGAGAAAUCGGGAAGUGGGGUUUGGGGCACGUUCUGCUCCUUGUGUAUCACUGAGAGGGCUCCCUUUGGGGCUCUUGUAGAGUCAUCAGUAAAAAUGUGGCUUUGCAAGGAUUUUCAGAGUCCGAUUUAUGUUCCUUGGUAGUGCGUGGCAGUGUGCCAGGUUAGCACUGGAGGAGAGAGGCUGCUCUGAGGCCCAGCUACUGCAGAGGCAGGAGCAACCUGACUUCUCCCAUUGAGAUGUAGUAUUGCAGCAGCAAAGAAAGAGAAGGAAAUACACUCCUUAGAGUGUUCAUGAUGUGACAGGUAUCCCAUUACAUCUGGACGUUUGAUUUGUUGUGAGGGACGCGAGCAGGUCUGUAGGCUCAUCCAUUCGUCAUUUAUUCAUUCAUUCAACAGCAAGACAGACGAAGCCCUGGCAGAGUCCUCAUGUGUUCACAUUAGUAGAACGUUUUCAUUAUUGGAGUUGGAUUUUGCUGUUUUCCUGCUUUGGCAGAUCUGGGGAUUGUUCAGAUAUGACUCAAGCCUCAUACCUAUGGCCAAGAAAGCUUUGUUGAUCAGUGUUGAAACAAAUAAACACUUGUUUGGCAGUUUGGCAGGUCUGCAGAUGGGUGUUGGUCUCUCUGUGUCAAAGUUCCCUGAGCUACUUAUUACCAGUGCAGAAUCCUGGUCCCUCAUGCAGCAGGGUGGAAUUCCCAAGAUCCAGGGCAGGGCCAGAGAAUGAGCACUUUUAAAACAAAUUUUCACAUGUGCAAUUCAGGGUUCAAUCUUGGUGGUGUGCUUUCUAUGGGUUUUUAUAAGUGAAUGAGACCUAUAUCCUCCAUGAAGCUACUGCUCUGGAAAUCCUCUGUGCUCUACCUACAUAUUCUUCCCUCUCCUCCAAGUCCUGGCAGCUGACUCCAUCACUGGAAUCAUAAAGGAUGUAGCCUUUCACCUUGGCUUCUUUUCUUAGUCAUUUGCAUUUACAUUUCCUCCCCGCUUUACAUGGCUUGAUAGAUUGUUUCUUUUCAGCGUUGAAUCAUAAUCCAUUAUCUGGUUGUACCACAGUUUCUCCAUUCAUCUAUUGAAGCACAUCUUGGCUGCUUCCAAGUUUUGGCAAUUAUGAAUAAAGAUGCUAUAAAUACAUGUUGCAGGAUUUUGUGUGGAGAUAAGUUUUCAAUCUAUUCAGAUGAAUGUCAAACGCAUGAUUGUUGACUCAGGUGAAGAGCAUGUUUAAUCUGGUAAGACAUUGCCAAACUGUCUUUCGAAGUAGCCAUGCCAUUUUGCAUUCUCUCCAGCAAUAAAUGGGGGUUCCUGUUGUUUCACAUAGUUGCCAAUAUUUGUUCUGAUUUUGGCUAUGAUAGGUAUGAGGUGAAACUGUACAAUAGGGGCAAAAUUUGCAGUUCCCUAAUCCCAUGUGAUAUGGAGCAUCUUUCCUCACUUCUUUUUAAUACCUGAGAUGAUUGGCAGUAGUGAAAUCCAUUUGUGACUUUUUCUUCCUCUCAUGCGCAGGGCUUGGAGAGGUGGAAUUUCUCUAUUCUCCAGUGAAAAUAUUGCAAAGCUGCCAUUAUGUACAGGCUCUUAGGACAAUAAAGCUUGAUGCUUUAUUGGAAUAUCUUCACCUUUUGAAAUACCUUUAUUAUAAUUUAUGUAAAGUUUCUUUGGGAAUUUGAAUGGUAUCGACCUCAUCAUUCCAAAUGAAGGAAGGAAAAUCCUAUGGUAACUGGAGACAAAGCCUCCCAGGAUACUCUCAGGACAAGGUUUUCCAAGGGUCUUCUGUUAGGGAGGUUAGUAAUGGAGGUGGCAUCUUGUAAACUUAUUUUUGUUAUAGUUUUUCUUUAUAGUGGGCAUGGCAAGGAAAGUCAGGAAAUUAGGUUUUGUGACUAAUGUCUGCUCAAGUCUCUUUUUGUCCAUUGUCUAACUGCCAAUGCCAGGGAAAAGGGUCAGGUGAGGCAGUUAAUGUCAGGAACCAGCUAAUAUCUCCCUUUUAGGAUAUAGAAACACAACCCAGACAACUGGAUUGGUUAUCUUGGUUUUGAUGUUAAUGGACCAUGGGAAGAAAUUGCAUUCAUUCUCUUUACAAAUGAAGUAUUUUGUCCCUUUUGUAUGGUUUCAAAAUUUAGAAGUUUCCAAGUACCAGAGCCCUAGUGAUGAACAGUUUAGUAGGUGGCACCAUUUCAUAGUCUUGUCCUAAAAUAAGUGGCUAAGCUUUGUGGAAAAUGACCUACCUCAUGCUUCCAAUGAUGGCCUUAGAAUUGGAAACGUGGAAGAUUUGGGAAUGACUGGGGAUGAUUUUUCGUAUUUCUUUUUCUCCAAGCUUGAAAAGGUAGCAUAUAUUUGUAGGUGGUCAUUUUUGCAAAAAUGUUUGCAGUAAGGAUACAGCUCACCUGUUUAGAGUUUGAGCUUGUGGGUCCUCCUACUUUGCACAUUGAAAGUGGCCUUUGUGUAAAACUUAGCUCACGUGAGCACUUAGGGGCACAUUUUUCUCACCCCCCAAGAACAAAUUUUUGUUUCCAAAAACCAGUUAAGGAUGAUGGUGGAUUGAACAAACAUUUAUAGCUGCUCAUCCACAACAGCAUUAAAAUGUUGAUAAUGGAAUAAAAAAGGCAAAGACAUACAAGUAGAAAGAGAAUUGGAGAGCAUGCCUCUGUAGGCCACCACGCUGUGGAGGUUCUACAGUAGAUGGACAUGGCCAGAGAUUUUGCAGAAGAGAGGAAGCUAAACUUAAGCUGCCCAAGGAAGGAACCCAGAUGUAGGCUUAUGGAGCCCCAAACCCUAGGACACCUCUGGAACCAGAGGUAGCAGGAACCUCCUGGAGGUGGGCCUCCUCAGAAGGACUGGUUGAACGCCUUCUGUGCAGCACUUAGUUCUCGACCCCAGCCAGAGCAGAAGAUGAGUACUCUAUGGUCUGAAGAGACUUAAGCCGAGAGACCUUGGGGACACCAGGCUCUGCGGAAGGCAGGAGCCACAGUGAAAACAAGGAGUCCAGGAGAAGUCUACACAUUAAGCGUCUGCUUUGGGGCUCUUCUUCCUGUUCAGAUUAGGAAUCUCUUUCGAGAGACUGCGCAUCACCCCUGUGCCAUGGUGGCCUGAUAAUGGUGGACCCAGGCAGAUCCAGCUGCUCUCUCAGAUGUGCUGCUCCUUAGCUGAAUAGCUUUGAAGAAGUUAAUCUCUAUAACCCUCAUCGCGAUUGUGGAUAAGAGGAGCUUUCAUCUAUAGGGAUGCUGGGAGCACUAAGGGAGCGAUGGGUAUAAAAACUCCAAGAAAAGAUCCAACUAUUUCUGAAAUAGUUUUUGAAUGACUGUCUAGAAAUGUUUUCAGUGCUCCUGCCAAGAAUGUAUUCUUUUUAUCUGACUCUUUAGAAUUCUGUCCAAUAGAUAACAUAAUAAAUAAUUAACAGGACUUUUCUAACCCUCCCCUUACAGCUGUGGUGACCAUAUUUAAAAUGUUAGCCACAGUACAAACCUGAUUAGAUGAUUCCUUUUAAACUAGUUUCAAAUCAGCUUAAUCACCCUCUCUUUUAAGUCCUUUCUUUUAUCUCAAGUGUGCAUCAGUUUCACAUCCUGAAUACUGUUUCAAAGAUGUAGCUUUGAUUUGAGCACCAGUUGUGAUCCAGAGUGCAUUUUACGUACGACUCGGCUGCACUCUUUCUAGACAUCAGUCUCUCAUAGACUCCCUGACAUCUCACCAUUAUUGAAUGAACAUGGUUUAUACGUAUAUCUUAAGGAAUGUCAAUCUAAAUUAAAAGACGCCACAUUUUUAACAGCACCAACAGGUUUCCUAAUUAACCCACGAAUACUGUCAAUCUGCUAAUAUAGUUCUCUUGUUCUUUUAGAAUCAAGUUAUAGAACAUUUCUUUUAUUUACUCUACUAGUUUCAGAACUAGAUUGUUCCUUAGGGUAUUCCCAGCUUUCUUUCAAAAGUAAAGCAAAUAUGAGUAACAUGAAUUAAAUCAUCAAAUGGGUGGACAACUUGUAGCUUCUAGAAUUUUUUUUUCUAAAAAAUUCAGGGAGUUGAACUCUGAGCCUUGUCCUCUGUGCAAUGCCUCUUGUCUAUAAGAUUCUGUGCUUAAAGAAUUCUUGCAAUGAGGUGGGUUCCUGGUGUUAUUUCAAGGAGCCUAUAGGUAAUAGCUUUUAUCAUCCUUGGUCUGGCUCUCAUGACAAAAUUGCUACCCACCCCCUGCCAUAGACCUUAGCGUGCAGAACUAGGUUAACCACGGUCCUUGUUUCACGAGUCACUCUCCACCCAUGCAGUAUAAUGGAUGCCUGAAGCCCCACCACUCACCCCAAUAAGCAGAACUGCCACAGUCUGGAUCUUGAACAUCCCCCAAAGCCCACGUGUUAAAGGCUGGGUCCUCAGGGUGGGGCCACUGGGAGGCAGUGAAAUGGUGCAGACUUGCAGGCAGUCUUUGGAUCAGCCGGGGCAGACCCUUGAAGGGGAUUGAGGAGCCUGGCCUUUGCCUCUUUCUCUUUUGCUUCCUGGCCACGAGGCGAACAUGUCACAUGCCCCCAUCAGAGGCCCAGAGCAACGCAUCUGCCCAAUCCUGGGCUGGACAUUCCAAAACCAUGAGCCAAAAUAACCCUUUUCUUUUGUAAGUUUAUAUCUCCAAUAUUUUGUUCUCGUGACAGACAGCUGACUAACGAGGACAUUGAUAAGAACUUCUACCCAGGUGCUUUUCCCUCGUCCUCACUCUCCACUCUUCAUGGGGUCUUUGGGGCUAGCUUUUUCUUCCCUUUCAGUUUUUUCUUUUAAUUAUUCAUCACGUCCUAAGAUACAUCCAUUUUGUAGAAAGUAGCUAUGAUUUUUACUGCUGGGUAUUCUGCUCUGUGGUUAUAGGAUGCCUUUUGUAUUUGUUUUCCUAUAAAAAAUGGGCACAAUCUGCAUCUUUACCAUGCCAACUCUUGGCACAACUUUAGGACAGAAAAGUAGGACAGAGUUUGUCCGUGGGACCUUUGGCAUGUUUUCCCCUCUUGUUCUCAGGCAAUCAUCUGAAUGUUGUGCUCGCAAACCACAGACUACAAUAAAUGUUUAUUGAACCAAUAUUGUAAGUGACAGAUGAAAUUUAGGGCAACUGCAGUCAAAUGAGGCUGCCCAGGUGCCCAGGUGAAGAAGACUGUGCAGCCUCAUCUUGGCUCGAUGGGAAGAGUCCCACAGUCGAUGACCAGAGACCAUGCCUGAGUGGAUGGGGUUGGUAAGGCGGGAGCUCAGAAGCCACUUACCACCACCUGGGCUUCACGUGCUCCUUGCCUCAUGCACUUUUAAGAACUAGCUAGAUUCAUGGGCAGGGAGAAAAAGGGAUAAAACUUCCAUUGUGGAAUUGCAGGUUCCAGCCAGAUGGGGGAUGCCGAUGUUUUGGAGGUGGCAUUGGGCACUGGAAAUGAUCAAAAGAUUCCUGGUGCUCUGUCUACUCACAUUUUCAAAAGUUCAUCUGGUCCUUAUUAUAUGUUAAAUACCUAAAUUGGGCAGAGUGGCAUAUGCCUAAUCCCAUCUACUUGUUAAGUUGAGGAGGAUCACAAGUUUGAGACCAGCCUGGGCAACUCUGGGAGACCCUGUCUUAAAAUAAAAAAUAAAAAUCUAAUAUAAAAUCAUGCACAUUGCUCAGGAAGGUAAUUUAGUAGAGGAUGUUAUUUUUCAUUCUUAUGGAUAAAUGCAGAUUUUCUGUUUAAAUCUUUCAGUUAUUAAUAUGGAAAAUGACACAAUAAUAUGAUUUUAGUUGUUUAAAUGUAGGGUGAAGAAGUGUUAAUCAGAAUAUUUUAUAGCUGUGCUCCUUUCCUUGAAAUUUUUCUUUCUUUAUGUUUUGUUCUGAUUCAAGUGUUGGUAGCAACACUGGAUUUAGUGAUAUCACUUCCAACUUUAGCUUCACUUGUGAAUGGCAUUACCAUAAGCUGUUAGAGCCAGGAUAAAUAGCAAUAUCCUCUAUUUGAGUGUGUUUCAGAGCCAUGGGCCACGUGCAUGGAACCUCUGAGGACAUUGCAUGGAUUGCACAUUCCUGGGGUUCCAUUCCUGACAAUAAGUUGCGGGACUGACUCUGAGGCACAUUGAUCUGUUCGAAAUCUCACUCCACAGUGGAGGAAACUGAAAUGAGAAGUUCGUGACUUAUGCAAGUUGAGAUCUAUCAGGUUCUUAUCUGGGUAAUCCCCUGAGGUGAGGUUGUGGCCAAAAGUCCACAUGUCUGUUCUCAGUUUGUUUGGUGGGAUAAAAAAAUGUGUUAUUCUCAACCCCAAGCUCAUAGGCUGCAGAUGUGCCUAAAACCCCUUUAAUUAGAGUUUAAUCCUUUCCCGUUACCCUGUUAUUUUUAAUGCAAUUGCUUGAUAUUAUUGUACAUCCUUGAAGAGUUCUUAAGGUCCCUGCUAUGACAGUGUCACAAUUCUGGACACAAGGGAAGAAAAUACUCAGCACCCUCAUUCAGACUAUGCCAGGAGCCAAGACUCCUUUCCCCAAAGACACCCCAGUCUUGCAACACAGAAGAACAAUGACAUCUCAACACCUGCUUCCUCAAAGUUCCUCUUUGUUUAGAAAAUGCAGCAGCUUGUUUUAUGAUUCAGUUGAAGAAAUGGAAUUGUACUGGCUACAGAGUAAGCCAUCAGGUCCAGGUCUCCUGAUGUCUUGAUCCUUGGCUGUCAUUGAGUUCAUCUGGAGAGGCACAGACCUGGAAGGCAACCUUAAUUAGGCUAUUUCUAAGACAUUCGGGAUCAGUCUUAUAUUUAUACUGUAUAUGUAUUAAUUUUAUUAGUGUAACUUGGUAGGCACUGGUCUAGCCUUCUUUAAAUUGUCAUACCAUACUGGGUGUGGUGGUGCACACCUGUAAUCCCAGCUACUCAGGAGGCUGAGGCAGGAAGAUUACAAUUUUGAGGCCAGCCUAGGCAAUUUAGCAAGACCCUUAAAAAAGUGGUGGUGGUGGGGAGUAGGAAUAUAGCUCAAUGGUAGAGUGCUUGCCUAGCAAGCAUGAGACUCUGGGUCCAUCCCUAGCACUGCGAACAGCAAUGACAAGAAAACCUACCUCAUCACCUGGACCUGUUGUAGUGUUUAAAAAAAACAGAACCAAUGGCAUCAAUCAAAGUAAACAUGGGCUGGAUGUGAGCUUACCUGUGUGAUUAGUCACUAUCCUGCCUUCUUCUGCUUCUCAAAAAAGGUUUCUUGAUUUCAACAAACUUUAAAAUAUUUAUGUACUUUAUUUGUUUUUCUGGGGAUUGAACCUAGGGCCUUGUGCAUGCUAUGUGGGCAUUCUAACCCUGAGUUACAUCCCCUGCCCUUUUAUAAUUUUUGAAUCCCUAAGGAUUUCAAAUCCAAUGAUUUAUUAUGCUUUAAUAAUUUUUUUUCUUGAAAUAUUGCAUGUGUGGCGUUUUUCAGCUAUGUUGUAUAUAUGGAUAGCUGGUUCCUGUUUAUUCCCGAGUAGUGUCUGUUCCAUGAAUUACCACAAUUUAUCUGAUUGGUGGUUGCUGGACGUCUGAGUUGUUUAUAGUUUCAGGGACAAUGAACUAGCUGCUAUAACACUCCAGUGUAGGUGUUUGUGUAACCCUAAGUUUUCAUUACCGUUGGGUAAAAGCCGAGGAGUAGAAUUACUGGGUCACAUGGUAAGUGUAUAUCUAACUUUUAAAGAAACUACAAAGCUGUUUUACAAAUUGGUCACACCAUUUAGCCUUCCCACCAGCAGUGUGGAGUUCUAUUUGCUGAUUGAAACGGUUUUGGGUGGAAGCAUAAGAAGGAAGGAAUAGGCUGAUUUUUAUAGGACAAAUAUGCUCAACUGGGGCUGAUUUACCAUUGCUGUGGGUAGUGGCCACAGCUGGUGCUCAGAAUCCGGUCAUCGUCUCCGAAUGAAGUAGCUCACUUUGUCAGACUUUCAUCACCCUGUGGUGGCUGAGAGCAUUGCCACUGAGGGCUGCUCGAGGACACAGGGCCUGGUCUUGGGCAUCCUUGUUGUCUCACCUCCUAGCAGUGUCUGGUGCACAGUGGGUCUCAACAGCAUUGGCUGAUUUGAGUGGCAUAUGUCACGGGUGGCCAGAGAGUGCCAGGGAAGGGAAAUCCAAAGUGGGAAUUGCCUAUUUUCCUUUUCUGUUGGGGAGAAGGCACUAAUGGUCAUGAAUUUCACCUAAAAACAGUAGAUAUGGGAAAGAACUGAAGAACAACCAAAUAUAUAAUGUCUGUUGGGAAGGUCCCAUUGAAGGGAGAGUAUGAAACCACUGGAAAACAUCAAGAGCAAGUCUAUUUUUGAUUCAAAACAGCAAGAGGUACAAGACUUUCGUUCACCAUACCACACCUUAAUUGCUCUGACCAUGUGCACCAGUACGAGGACCUGGAUAUAUUUGGGAUCUUUAGAUGCUGCCCGAUUUCCGCUUUGGCUUAGGUGUAGUAAGACCUGCGAUGCCUGCCUGCUGAUAGCUCCUGCUCCAAGGUGCACCUUCCUGCAUUGUUAGCGACCUUGCCUUUAGAUCAUUCCCUGCCUCUUCUCUUUCGUUUGUUGUUGUGAGGUAGCUGGCGAGAGUAAAACCUCCAAGUGCAGAAAGCGAGGGUGUCACUCAUUCUUAAAGUACUAAGACACUGGACUCUCCUAUAGAUGUUUCCAUUUAGCAAGCAAAGCCAUAUUCUUCCUCCUUCCUCACUUCCCCACCUCCACUUUGAUUCCUGAGAGCAAAUUCAGGGCCUCUUGAGUUUGAACCACCUUAGAUUAAUUGGCACUAAUGCAAGUGUUCGUUGCUGUGCGUGGGAUGUUGCCGAGUGCAAAAUAGAUUCUGUCUGUGCCCGGGAAUGGUUUUUUCUCUGCAGGUGUGUGAUUUAUUGUUCUGUGAAAUGUGCUACUGGGUGCCACUGCUGUCCCAGAAGCAGCACAUUCAGCUGCCAACACAGAAGGACUUGGGCACAGACAUGUGCUUAUGGCCAUUUACAAUUUAAGUUGAUCUUACUGGACGUGCUCCUCAUUGCCAUACAAGCAACUAUAGAAACUAGGAACUUUCCGUCAAGUGGAAACAGUCCCAGAAGGAUGUGGGUGCCUUGGAGGAAGGGGGUCUCAUCACCAGCAGAGCCCAGGUAGUUGUGUGGGAGUGAAGGGAGUACCCUAGAGGUGGCCAGAGCUGGGACAUGAUGGGGUUUGGGUCCCAGAGGCCAGGAUUCAGGACUGCUCUCUACUCUGUAAUUGUAGGUAAUUUACUUAAAAUUCCGAGCUAAAGAUUUCUCAAACGGCAUUCUUUACACUUAGAUCAGUCAUCUUACAAAUUGUUUUCUCUUCAUGCCACUUGCUCUGUGUUCCUUUUAAUCUCCUUUCUUGCCCAUUUUUUGGAUUAGUUAGGUAUUUAAAAUUUGUUCCAUGUCUUCCCUCUGUUCUAUGUUCCUUUGCAGGUUACACAGGAGCCUGGAGAUGACCAGAGCACUGCCUUACUGAGUUCCAACUCAACACCAUACACAUGUAUCUUCUUGGACAAUGCCCGGACCUAAAGAUUUCAUUUCAUUUACUUUCAGUCCUCCCUCUUAUGUGGUUCUUUUCAUGUAAUUUAAUAUUUUUUAUAUUUAAAACAUCACAAAAUGUCAUUGUUCUAAAAAUGUUUAAUUUACUUGUUCAGUGCCCCUUUCUUACCCUUCAUUUCUUUCUGUAUGUGGUAGACAGAGCAAGGACCCUCACCCCCCCCCCACCCCCAAGAUGUCUGCACCUAAUCUCUGGAUGCUAUGAUUGUGAUAGGUUCUAUGACCAAGGAGAGUUAAGAGUCCAGAAGGGAUUGAGACUGAUGGUCAGUUAUUCUGGAUUAUCCUGGAAGGGCUCAGUCACAAGUGUCCUUAAAUGUGUAAGAGGGAGGCAGAAGAGGAGAAUGGCAGUGUGAGACCCAGCCCGACAUCACUGGUGUGCUACCAGGAUCCCAGGUGAGAUGGCUGGACCUGGAAAAGUCAGGAAUGGAUCCUCCCAUGAGUCUCCAGAAAGGAAUACAAACUGCUGACACCUUUAGUAUAGUCCUGUGGGACCCAUUUUGGAUUUCCAAUCUCUAAGACUAUCGGAAUAUAUUCACGUUCUUUUAAGUCACUUCUCUUUAUUUGUUGUAGCAGCAAUAGGAAACUAAUACGCUCUAUCUCUGUGCUUUCCUUUGGGAUCACUUUGCUUCUAUUGAAGGACUUGUUUUAAUAAUUUUCUUUAGGGUGGGCCCAGUGAUGAUGAAUUUUGUCAGAUCCUGUUUGGCUGAAAAUGUUUUAUUAUGCAUUCAUUUUUCACUUUGUAAUUUCAUUGGCCUCUGCUCUUCUUUCCUUCCUUUUGACAUGUUUAGUGUUACAGAUUUCUUACUGAAUGCUGCUUUAGUUACAUCCUACAUUUUUUCUUUUUUCUUUUUUUAGCAAAGGAGAAAUACAGGGAAUUCCUGUCUCAGAGGUUGUCAUUCUGUCCAUCAGAAUGGCUUUUAAAGAGGUGAUUCAAAGGCUACAUUCCUAUGUUCUCUGUUGGAGUUGUAAUUCACUUGUUAAUUUGGGAGAUAGGAAUUUCCUGAGAUCUUCUAGUACCAUCCUCAAAGUCUGGAUUACUUCUUUCCUAUAGUGGGUAUGUACUCAAGGGCAGAUAAAUCUGCCUAAGAUGGACAUCCUACAAAUUUUGAUGCUAUAUUUUCAUUUUUACAUAGUUUAAAAUAUUAAAAAACUCAAUAGAUAGCAUCACCAACAGACUAGACCAUUUGGAAGACAGAUCUUCAGACAAUGAAGACAAAAUAUACAAUCUUGAAAAUAAAGUUGACCUCACAGUGAAGAUGGUAAGAAACUAUGAACAGAACAUCCAAGAAUAAUGGGAUACCAUCAAAAGAUCAAAUUUAAUAUUUAUUGGGGUAGAGGAAGGUUCAGAGAUUCAAACCAAAGUAAUGCAUAAUCUCUUCAAUGAAAUAAUAUCAGAAAAUUUCCCAGACAUGAAGAAUGAAUUGGAAAAAUCAAAGACAAGAGGCCUAUAGGACACCAAAUAUACAAAAUUACAACAGAUCUACACCAAUACAUAUUAUGCCUAGCAUAGAGAAUAAGGAUAGAACUUUAAAGGUCGCAAGAGAGAAAAAUCAGAUUACCUAAAAGAGAAGACCAAUUCGGAUCUUAGCAGAUUUUUAAACCCAGACUCUCAAAGCCACGGCCAGUCUUGGAACAACAUAUACCAAGUUCUAAAAGAUAAUGGAUGCCAACCAAGUAUCUUAUAUCCAGCAAAGUUAAGCUUCAAACUUGAUGGUGAAAUAAAAAUCUUCCAUGAUAAACAAAAGCUAAAAGAAUUUGCAGCAAGAAAGGCUAUACUACAGAAUAUUCUUAGCAAAAUAUUCCAUGAGGAGGAAAUGAAAACCAACAAUAAAAAUCUGCGAAGGGAAGAACUCCAAUAAAAGAAAAGCCAACCAAAGGAGAAAUCAAGUCAAGCUAAAUACCAAAAAAAUAAACAAAAAUGUCUGGUAAUACAAAUCAUAUUUCAAUAUUAACCCUAAGUGUUAAUGGCUUAAACUCAUCAAUCAAAAGACAUAGGCUUGUAGAUUUGUAGAUUUAAAAAAAGACCCAACAAUAUGCUGCCUUCAAGAGAUUCAUCUCAUAGGAAAAGACACCCAUAGACUGAAGGUGAAAGGUUGGGAUAAAAUAUACCAUUUACAUGGCCUACAUAAGUUCAUACUACUUAACAGAACCAUACGUCAACAAGAAAUUAUAGUUCUAAAUAUAUACACCCCAAACAAUGGAGCAUCUACAUUCAUCAAUCAAACUCUUCUCAAGUUCAAGAGUCAAAUAGAUCACAACACAAUAAUUCUGGAUGACUUUAACACUCCUCUUUCACCAAUAGAUAGAUCUACCAAACAAAAGCUAAACAAAUAAACUAUGAAACUCAAUAAUCAAUAACUUAGACUUAACUGACAUACAUAGAGUGUAUUACCCAUUGAAGAGUGAAUACACUUUCUUCUCAGCAGCACUUCUCUAAAAUAGAUCAUAUGCUAUGCCACAAAGCAAAUCUUAGUAAAUACAGAAAAGUAGAGAUACUACCCUGCAUUGUAUCAGACCACAAUGGAAUGAAAUUAGAAACCAAUGAUAAAAUAAAAAAUAAAAGUUACUCCAACACUUGGAGACUAGAUAAUACACUAUUGAAUGAACAAUGGGUUGCAAAAGAUAUCAAAGAGGAGAUUAAAAAAUUCUUAGAAGUAAAUGAGAACACUGAUACAACAUAUUGAAAUUUCCAGGACAAUAUGACGGCAGUGCUAAGAGGAAAGUUCAUUGCUUGGAAUUCAUUCCUUCAAAUGAGAAAAAGUCAACAAAUAAAUGACCUAAUAUUAAAUCUCAAAGAUAUGAACAAAUCAACCUCAAAAGCAGUAGGAGACAGGAAAUAAUUAAAAUUAGAGAUGAAAUCAAUGAAAUUGAAACUAAAGAAACAAUUGAAAAAAUUGACAAAACAAAAAGUUGGUUCUUUGGGAAAAAUUUUAAAUAAAAUUGAUAAGCCAUUAGCCAUGCUAAUGAAGAGAAGGAGAGAGAAAACUCAAAUUAUUAACAUGCAUGAUGCAAAAGGAAAUAUUACAAUGGACACUACAGAAAUGCAGAAGACAAUUAGAAACUAUUUUGAAAAUUUGUACUCCAAUAAAUAGAAAAUAUCAAAGACAUCAACACAUUUCUAGAGGCAUAUGAUAUACCUAAACUGAUAUACACAAUUUAAACAGAUCAAUUUCAAGCAAGGAAAUAGAGGAUGCCACACACAAUUGAAUUCUAUAAGACCUUUAAAGAAGAACUAAUACCAGGACUUCUCAAACUAUUUCAUGAAAUAGAAAAAGAGGGAGCACUUCCAAACACAUUCAUUCUAUGAGGCCAAUAUCACCCUUAUUCCAAAACCAGACAAAGACACAUCAAAGAGAGAAAACUUCAGACCAAUAUCUCUAAUGAAUAUAGAUGCAAAAGUUCUCAAUAAAAUUCUGGCAAACUGAAUACAAAAAUACAUCAAAAAGAUCUUUAGAACACUAAAGAAAUGCAAGGUUGGCUCAACAUAUGGAAAUCAAUAAAUGUAAUUCGUCACAUCAAUAGACUCAAAGAUAAAAAUUAUAUGAUCAUCUCAAUAGAUGCUGAGAAAGCAUUUGAUAACAUACAGCAUCCCUUCAUUGUUCAAAAUGCGUGGAAAACAUUCCUCAAUAUUGUAAAGGCUAUGUUAAGCCCCAGGCCAACAUCUUUCUAAAUGGAGAAAAAUUGAAAGCAUUCCCUCUAAAAACUGGAACAAGACAGGGAUGCCCUCUUUCACCGCUUCUAUUCAACAUAGUUCUUGAAACACUGGCCAGAGCAAUUAGACAAAAGAAACUAAAGGGAUACGGAUAGGAAAAGAAGAACUCAAAUUAGCACUAUUUGCAGAUGAUAUUAUUCUAUACCUAGAAGAUCCAAAAAGUUCUACCAGAAAACUUUUAGAACUAGUAAAUGCAUUCAGCAAAGUAGCAGGUUAUAAAAUCAACACCCAUAAAUCAAAGGCAUUUCUGUAUAUCAGGGACAAAUCCUCUGAAAGAGAAAUUAGGAAAACUAUCCCAUUUACAAUAGCCUCCAAAAAAAAAAAAAAAGAAACUUGGGAAUCAACUUAACGAAAGAGGUGAAAAACGUCUAAACUACAGAACACUAAAGAAAGAAAUUAAAGAAGACCUUAGAAGAUGGAAAGAUCUACCUUGUUCUUGGAUAUGCAGAAUUAAUGUUGUCAAAAUGACCAUACUACCAAAAGCACUAUACAGCUUUAAUGCAAUUCCAAUCAAAAUCCCAAUGGCAUUCCUCAUAGAAAUAGAAAAGCAAUCAUGAAAUUCAUCUGGAAAAAUAAGAGACCAGAAUAGCCAAAGCAAUCUUUAGCAAGAAGAGUGAAGUAGGUGGCAUCAGUAUACCAGACUUCAAACUAUAUUAUAGAGCAAUAGUAACGAAAACAGUAGGCUAUUGGCACCAAAAUAGACAGGUAGACCAAUGGUACGGAAUAGAGGACACAGAGUCUAACCCACAUAACUUCAGUUAUCUUAUAUUAGACAAAGGCACCAAAACAUACACUGGAGAAAAGAUUGCCUCUUCAACAAAUGGUGCUGGGAAAACUGGAAAUCCAUAUGCAACAAAAUGAAAUUAAGCCCCUAUCUCUCACCAUGCACAAAACUCAACUCAAAGUGGAUCAAGGACCUAGGAAUUAAACCAGAGACACUGUGCCUAAUAGAAGAAAAAGUAGGCCCAAAUCUUCGUCAUGUUGGAUUAGGCCCUGACUUCCUUAAUAAGACUCCUAUACACAAGAAUUAAAAUCAAAAAUCAAUAAAUGGGAUGGAUUCAAACUAAAAAGCUUCUUCUCAUCAAAAGAAAUAACCAGUGAGGUGAAUAGAGAGCCUACAGCUUGGGAGCAAAUUUUUACCACUCACACGUCAGAUACAGCACUAAUCUCUAGGAUAUAUAAAGAACUCAAAAGUCUUAAUACCAAAAAAACAAAUAGCCCAAUCAAUAAAUGGGCCAAGGAAUUGAACAGACACUUCUCAGAAGAUGAUAUAUAAUCAAUCAAUCAAUAAAUGAAAUAAAUCUCUAGCAGUUAGAGAAAUGCAAAUCAAAACUAAGAUUUCAUCUCAUUGCAGGCAGAAUGACAUCUAUUAAUAAUACAAACAACGUAAGUGUUGGCGAGGAUGUGGGGGAAAAGGCACACUCAUAUAUUGCUGGUGGGACUGCAAAUUGGUGCAGCCAAUCUGGAAAGUAGUAUGGAGAUUCCUUGGAAAACUGGGAAUGGAACCACCAUUUGAACCAGCUAUCCCACUCCUUGGUCUAUACCCAAAGGAUCUAAAAACAGCAUACUACAGGGACACAGCCACAUCAAUGUUUAUUGCAGCACAAUUCACAAUAGCUAAACUGUGGAACCAACCUAGAUGCCCUUCAGUAGAUGAAUGGAUUAAAAAAUGUGGCAUAUAUACACAAUGGAAUAUUACUCAUCAAUAAAAGAGAAUAAAAUCACGGCAUUUGCAGGUAAAUGGAUGGAGUUGGAGAACAUAAUGCUAAGUGAAGUUAGCCAAUCCCAAAAAACCAAAUACCAAAUGUUUUCUAAGAUAUAAGGAGGCUGAUUCAUAAUGGAGUUGUGGUGGGAGCAUGGGUGGAUUAGAGGAACUCUAGAUUGAGCAAAGGGGAGGGAGGGGAAGGGAGGGACCAAGGGGGUAGGAAAGAUGGUGGAGUGAGAUGGACAUCAUUACCCUAAGUACACGUAUGAAGACACGAAUGGUGUGACUCUACUUUGUGUACAACCAGAGAUAUGAAAAAUUGUGUGUGUGAUAUGAAUUGUAAUGUAUUCUGCUGUCACACAUAACAAAUUAGAAUAAAAAAUUUUAAAAAAUUAAAAAAAUCCAUAUGCAUGUUUUGUGUUGAUAUACAUUUUCAACAAAUUUGGGUAAACAUUAAGCAAUGCAGUAGCUCGAUCAUAUGAUAAGAGCGUGUUUAGUUUUGAAAGAAACUGCCAAACUACCAUUUCCAUUUCCACCAGCUAUGAAGAGAGUUCCUGUCACUCCAUAUCCUCAUCAGCAUUUAAUGUCAUUCUCUGAUUUUUAGAAAGUACUAUUUGUGUUUGGUUUUCAGCAGCUUUUCUGUGAUGUAUGCUUCUUUAUACUUAUAAUUAUCUGUAUUUUGGCAUCUUUUAUACAUUUUGGGAAGAUUAUCAGCUACCAUCUCUUCAAAUAUUGCUUCUUUCAAUUAGAAGAAGGUCUAAUGAUAGAAACAGAAUCACUAAGAGCUGUGUACGCGCGUGCGCACACACACACACACACAGAGACACACUCAGUUUUUAAAAUAGGAAUUUUUUUUAAAAAAAUUAUUUAUUUAUUUUUAUUUAAAAUAGGGGUUUGACCUUAGAAAAUCAGCCACGCUGGUCUGAUAGACUCAGGUUGUUCCCCUGUUUAUGGCCUCAGCCACAGUCAACAGGACAGAGAAGUAGAAAGAGAAGACGGGAUGUGCCAGAUGGGCUGGAACCCCCCCUCUGUUUCCCAUUGCUUCCCAGACUGCAACUUGGAUGACAGGUGUCCUGCACAAGCAGCAACCCCCACCCCUUCGUGGAGCUGCAUAUGCACCUGGCCCAGGAGUUGAGGAGGCUGAGAAAGGAAAACUGACAGGAGCUGGAGGAUGCUGCGGGUCAAAGAGGAAGGCAGCUGUUUGCUGCAGCAGCUCCGUGUUCCCUAUCUUGACCUGAGCGUGAAAGGAACAUAACAGCCAUUUACGGCCGCCUUCUGAAUCUAGGAAUGUCUCUUGUGACAGCCAUCCCUGCGAGCCAGGGACGGAAACUGGCAACAGUAGUACUGGCUUGGCCAAGUUCACAUGGCACAUUGUACAAUUCACCCCUCACCUGAUGACCUCACCCUUCUCUUUCUGAGACCCCAUUUUCUUCUUGUAAGUGUCUUUUACACUCUAUUUCGUACUUUCCAUACUUUUGGAUUUGUGUCCUUCAGUCUGGAUAUUUUUCGUAUUAACUAUGUUCCACUUAACUAAAUCUCUUUUCUGUUUUUGAGUCUCUUGUUAAGCCUAUCUACCGAGUACUUAAUUUUGAUAAUUUUCCUGUUAAAUUCCAUUUGUUCCUUUUUAAAAAAUAAUUUCUAGUUCUAAACCGAAAUUGUCCGUAUUCUCAUUUAUUUCCUGAACAUGUUAACCACAGUUAUUUUACAUCCAUAUUGUGUCAUUCUGAUAUCUCAAUCUCUUGUGGGCUUCUUUCUUUUGUUUUUUGGCCCAUUCUUGUCAUUUUAUUGAUUGAAUCUGCCUACUUAUUUUUGAUUGAGUUAUAGGCAUUGUCUAUAAACAUAGAAAUCUUUUAAGAUUUGAAUGAUUUUUUUUCCUUCCUCCCAACAGAAUUUGCUUUUGCUCUGUCAGGCAGUUAAUAUAGACUUUAAUCAGAAGUUGAGUUGAUUCAAACUCAGCCUUGGUUUUUAUAAAGGCCUGGGUAUUUCCAUUCACUCCUACUUAGGAAAGUGUAUAUUAAGAGGAACUCCUUUAGGGGUCCUAGCUGGAAGCCUUAUGUGUGUAUUGACUUCUUGGUGGGUCCUGAAUGCCUAUCUUUCCAGCUUUUUGAGUUUCCUCCUGGAUUCUUUUCUCGGAUUCUCAUCCUUCUUGCUGUUACUUUUGAAUAAACUACUUAGGGAAAAAUUGACGUGGGUCCUUCCUCUUGAAGUUUGCUCUUUUAAGACCUUGCAACCUUUGUGGUUCUUUUAUACCUCCAAAUAGAUUUUUUAUAUUUUUUCCAAGUUACCCUAAAGUGGCAUUUAAAAAAAAUAUAUUUUUAAGGCUUUGUUGCUAGUUUUAGAGAUUAUGAAGUUGAUCUGUGAAAAGUGAGUUAUAUUCUAAAUUCUGAGCUAUAGCAAUCUUAGGUUAAGUGAAAAAUGCCCUUGGUGAAGUUUCUGUGGUCUGUUACUCAUUUUAAAAGUUAGUUGUACUGCGCUGCGGGGUGGAAAAUUCAUAAUUGACAAUUUUAUUUCACAGAGGAAGAAAUUAAAGUGGCAGCAAUUGAAAACCUAGGAAUAAAUCACUAAUGUUCAUAAUUAAAGAUACAAGUAGAGUUUGAUUUUGUACUCUCCAAUUUUAAGCUCAGAAAAUCUUAUAUCUUUUGAUUUCAUUUUGCUUUAUUCAUGAAUACAAAAAAAAAAGGUUUUAGAUUCCCCUUUUCAGCUAGUUUUUUGGGUAUUGUUUGGCUGGUGAUUUGCCGAGAGUUUGGCUCUUCUGGGUUCCACCUCUGCAGUGCUUAGGUGACCCUUGGGCAUGUCCACAUCUUUAAAUCAGUAACUUCCACUUUUCCUAGCCACUUUGUCUUCAGUUUUUAAUUUUGUUGAAUUCUAAAUUAUUUAAAUCCUGUUCUAGUCUUUCCCCCAAUUGUCUCUGUGUCCUUGUCAACCACCAUCCUAGUUAUGUGCAGCCUUUCCCAACUCUGCAUUCAUAGCCAUCACAUGGUAGUUUGGAAACGGCCCCAAUAGAACUACUUACAUCAUGAAAAUUGGGAAUCACUACACAUCAAGGCUUUUUUUCCUGUAGAGCAAGUUACUAAACCUUUACCAGCAUACCCAUGCUCGUCCCUCCAUGUAGCAAAGUGCUAUCAACUCAAAGAUGGAUGCAGAUCUGGUGCCACAGAGUGGGCUGGAUCACCACUGAGCAUCACCAACAACUUAAGUCUGGAAUUUUAGCUCUUGUUCAUAAAACUCCUGUGACCAACUAUUCCUGCCUCUGUGGAUCCCUAACUCAAUUCUUCUUCUAUUCUGGUUUUAGCCUCUCACAUUGGUGGUUGAGAAAGAGCUGGAAUGAAGUCAUCCCUCUUCUCGUUUUGUCUUCAUCCCAGUUUGCAAAGCUGCAGAGAGCAUAGUUGACAAUGCCUUGUGUUCUACAGCAUGCAUGGAAACUCGGGCGUGGUGUAGGCAGCGGGGAGCCUGUAUUUCCGGCAAGGCUUGCCUUGGUUUGCAGCACUACCAAACUGGAUACAGAUAAACGGAGGGUUACAAAGUCAGUAUUCCCUGGGAACAGAGAGUAUGAGCCUCAGCCUCCCCAGGCAAACCAUCAGCAGAGCUAACGAGGACUCACUGCUGUUCUGGUCUCUCUCUGGGAGCUUCCCCAAAGCAUCAGUAUCAGGGCACAGCUGCAUGAAGAUUCGGUGUGUUGAUGAAGCUGGGUUUCAUUUUUCAUGUUGACUUGUUAUGCUCAAGUGACAGAAACUUCUAUUACCUUUGUUGUUUUAACUAUAAAAUGAGUACCAUGUCAGUUGACUUUUCUUUUUCUUUUUGUUCUGGGAAUGGAACCCAGGGUUUUUUUACUACUGAGCUACAUCUCCAGCCCUUUUUAUUUUUUAUUUUUGAGACAGGGUUUCACUAAAUUGCUGAGGCUGGCCUCAAACUUGCAAUCCUCUUGCCUCUGCCUCCCUGAGCUGCUGGGAUUUGUGCCACUACACCAUUGAAUUUCUAUCUUCUUUACCACAACAGUACUCAUCACCUUAUUUCAUCUUUUCAAGAAACCUCUAUGGAAAUAACAAUAAAAUAUCUUUAGCAAUUAUUAUCGAUUGAUCACUUCCUAUAUGCCAUCACUAUCCUGGGUACUUUACAUAAGUGUCUCCAUUUAGUUCAUACAAAUCUAUGUAAGAUAGGUACUCCUGUCAACCAGUUUCCAGAGAAGACUAAAUGUACUGAAAUGUUAAAAUAAUUUGUUCUUGUUGAGGUAUUACAGAAAAUGGUAGAUUCAGGAUUUGAGCUAAUAUAAGACUCUGAAAUCUAAUUUUUUCUUUUUCUUUUUUGCGGGGCUGGGGAUUGAACCCAGGGCCUCACGCAUACUAAGGGAGUGUUGUACCAUUGAGCCACACCCUGGACCCAACGUAACCACCCUGCCUCUUAGAAAAAGAGAAAGAUGGAAAAGGGCACAGGAUGCUGCUCCUUUUACUUCUUAAAGGGAACAGGUGUCACCUUGGUCUCCUGCUUUCAGUCCUCCGUGGUUCGCAGGAGGCUGUGAGGGAGGGUGGGGAGCACAGAGCUCCCCUGGGGGCAGCUGGAUUGGCUGCUUUCCUGCUCCACACCCGGCUUUCUCCCCCGAGUCGGUUCAGGCAGGCGAGGCUGUGACUCCCGGGGGCAGGCGCUUCUUGCCAACUCCAGUCUUAAAUUGCAGCACUCCGGAGGGGAUAAGGACCUUGGAAUCAGUGUACAGAGCAAACCUGAGUGUCACAAAGCAAAUAUUUCACAUUUCAUGUUAAAUCAGAUCCUAAAACAAGUGUGAAGAAUUGGGAUUAAGUGAGAAACGUACGUUUCAGGAGCUGAAAUGGGUUUUGAUCAGGGGGAAACCCUGCCCUGUCCCAUCUCUUCCUGGGGAGUCUGGAUGCCGUUCCAUGGGCCGGAUGUCACGAGGUGCACUGAACAGCAAGAGAUGCUGAGGUGAGGCGGGGCAGGCUGGGUGGACAGGUGUGUGACCGGUGUCACACCAGCUUUUAGACCUAGGAGAUUAAAGUGGGACUUGGCGUUCAAGAAAAGGUAUUUAAAAUUAAAUUAAAAGGACACUAGGGGAGGAAUGGCGGCCGCUGGAUGGCCGCAGCAUCUCCACGGCCAGGUCGGCAUCCUGGCAGGGGUCAGGCUGCGGGGCAGCCCUGGGCUUUUCCUGGAUGCCGCCUUUACCCAGCAGCCGCGGCCGAGGGAGGAGCGCGGGAGCCCCACGCUGCCCGUCAAUCUGGGGCUUGUGGCCUGGGUUUUGUGAGUGCGUGUGUGCAUGGGAACGUCCGUGCUGCGUGUCGUCCUUGAGCAGAGGUAGGACCCUAGCAUGUCCUGGCAGAACUCCCCAUCUCCUUGUUCAGCGAGUGUCCGGCUGUGAGCUGGAGCCGUGGGAUUGGAGGCAGGCAGGGGCUCUGGACGCCCAGGAGACGAGGGAGAGGCCCAAAGUCAGGGCCUGGGAGGGAGGACAUAUGACACCCAGUGAGCCCAGCGCUGCCCGGAGGGCGGCAGGUGGCAGCUGAGGCCGACCUUGCAAGAAGAUCCUCCGGCUCCUUCUGUGCUAAAAGGAGGCGACUUAUUUUUAGUUCUUCCCGCCUUCUAUUGCUUAAGUGUUGGCUUGUUUAACUAAGAGGCUGUUGCGUUUAAAAUUCCCUAGAUUUUUCUAAGUUGUAGUUCUAGAGCUGACACUGACACGCUGUCUUUGUGAAAAGAAUUUUUUUUAAAAAAUAAAAUCAAGUUUUUCUGUUUGAGGUUUCCACAGAUAAUUAUGAUAACACCACGACUGAUGCCUGAUGUGUUAUCCAUCACCCCAAGGACAGCAGGGUUCCCCUUCCUUGUUGCUCACUGACCAUCUGGAAUGGCAGGGUGGAGGCCUCCCAGGAGAUGGGGCUCUCUGGGGCUUGGAUGCCAGCGUCAGUUACCCAACCUCUCUCCAGGAGGAUCCGGUAGAACAUGUGGCUCUGAGAGGUGCCCUUCUGCUUAUACUCAGGCCAUGUCCUUUACCUACAGGACAGGACAGGGCUGUCCCCCUUGUCUCGCCCUGGGUCCCUGCCCCCACCUUCUAUCGACCACUUGCUUUACAUCUGCAGGACUUCAGUACUCGCUGCAGUGUCUGCUCAGGCUGCCAGAACAAAGUUCCAUAGAUUUGGGGGCUCCACAGAGACUUCUUGCCGUUCUGAGGUCUCAGAGUUGGAGAUGGAGGAGUUGGCAGGGUGGUUUCCCUGAAGCCUCUCCCCUGAGCUGGGGACGCCCAGUCUCGCCUUCUCCUUAUUUCUCCUGGGGGCCGUGUGCAGUCAGCCUCUGUGUGUCCUAGAAGUUCAACAGUUGUUGGAAUAGAAUCCCUCAGGUGACCUUAGCUUGACUGAUUUUCUCUUUAAAGACCCGUCUCCCAGUACAGUCACAUUCCAAGGCACUGGGGUUAGGACUUAACAUACCGGGACGGGCACGUGAACAGCCUUUCCUUGCUGGACCAGCCUCCAAGCCACAUCUUCUCAUCGCCCCCCUGACCACCUGCUCCUUUCACCUUCACUGCCAAUGCCAACCCCAACCUCUUAGGCACCAUCCCUCUCCCUUCCUAGGACUCCCAGAAAGGGGAUCUUGGUGACCCGACAUCCAGCUGAGAUGGUAAUUCUUCAAGACCCUGUUAGAAGCCCCUGCCUCCUUUGUGCCCUUAUUGAGGCUGCACAGAGCUGGAUCUGGUGCGGGGACAUGCCACAGUGUGUUGCAAGGGAGCUGGGGGCCGCAGGAGGUCCUCACUCUUCCAAGUUUAGUGCUUGGGGGCCACCCCCUGCCCACCCUUGGGGUGCAUCAUACUCAAACCUCAUUUUUUUUAAUCUAAAAUAUAUUUUAGUUGUUGACGGACCUUUAUUUUAUUUAUUUGUAUGUGGUGCUGUGAAUCGAACCCAGUGCCUUGUGCACGCUAGGCAAGUGCGCUACCACUGAGCCACACCCCAACCUCAAACCUCAUUUUUGAAGUAAGGUUUCCAUUUCCCCUCUGUUCCCAAUUCUGCUGAGAAAAGUGGACCCUUAAGAAAAAAGGGAGGGCAGGGGUUGCGGCUCAGGGGUACAGUGCUUGCUUGGCACAUGUGAGGCCUGGAUUGGAUCCUCAGCACCACAUAAAAAUAAAUAAAUAGAAUAAAAAAAGAAAAAGGGGAAACACAGGUUGUGCUUUCUGGGGUGUCUAUGCCUCAUGUGUGAAGAUGUGUCUGGGAAGAAGAGGUCCUGGCUUCUGAAGAGGCAGUGGCUAGUGAGGUGGCUAUGGAGCCUGGUGGACGUUGACUGAGGACCCCCAAACCUGGACCUCGGUGUAGUAACCAAUGUGGAGCUCUUGGGGCACAGAAGUUGCUUCUCUGCUCUUCUGACCACUGCCAAGUGAAAGUGAUUUGCCAAUCUAAGGCCCGUGGCUCUCACAGGUGGUCUGCAGACUAGGAGCAGGAGACCCUGUGGAAUCGGUUAGAAGUCCACCUUGUCUGCAGAGUCAGGAACUCUGUGUGGACCAGCAAUCUAAGUGGCUAACGAGCCCGCCAGGUGUGCUGGUGCUGCGGGUUUGCCCCCUCCGCUGCGAGGCCUGGAGUUACAGAAGGCACCAUUGCUCUGCUGUCCUGAGGCAGGCUGGGUGGAUGUGGAGAAGAGUGACGCUGAGAUUACUAUGAUCUAGCCACUGUCUGAAAUGCAAACAUUUCAUCAGGUAUUCCACUCAGAAAAUGUUUUUAAUAAUUGUUGUAUUUACAUCUAUAUCAUACUUUUAGGCUAUGGUGUUUGGUCCUUUCUGAGUCAUUUAUUUGUUCACAAAAAUGUAUUGCAGACCUACUAUGAACCAGCAAUUUGCUAGCUCUUGAAUUCAAUGAUUAGGAAAACCAGGGAAGUACGUUCUUUUGAGUGUGUUUGUGUAGUGGCCAGAGGAGGGAUGGAUGUUAACUAAGCAAAGAAAUUGUAUUUGUGUUUAAGCCUUUACGUGAGGUAGAAAUAGCAAUUGAACAACCAAAUAAUUAUAAAAUUACAAAUCUGUUACAGUCUAUGAAGGGGAGGUGUGAGGUUGGUUGUCUAAGGGUCAGGGAACCUUUCCUUAAAGAAGUAACUUUCAAGGUGAGGAAAGUGGUCGUUAACAACACAACAGAGGUGGAGGUGGGGAGAUAAGGAAAGGAACAUAGGCCUGUUGUGAGGAUGCAAAGAUACUGUAAGGAAAUGAAAGUAGGGAUUUGGAACCAUACUGUGGGUUUUAGGUUUUAAGAGUAAUGGGAAGCCCCAUGUAUUAGUUUGCAUUCACUAGGUAAUGCUGUGUAACAAGCAUGCAAAAAAAAAAAAAAAAUCUCAGUGGUUCCCAGUUACAAAUUUUGUUUUUUUGACUCAUGUUACAUCUUGACUCUGGGCCAGUCACAGGUGUGCUCCAUGGGCCCUCUUCACCCUAAGACCUGGCUGAAGCAGCAUCCUAAAUCUGGGUCAUGUUUUUCUCACAGCAGAGGCAAAUGAGCCACCAACAAACCCUGAGAUGCCCCAGGCAUGGACCCCUCUGAUCAUAUUCUACUGGGCAAAGUGUCACCAGGCUGAGUCUCAGGGAAGGGUGGGAAGGUGGGGGCUGGAGGUGGGCAGUUAGGGGCAGACAUAGUCAGGGUCAGGGUUCUUUCCACGGGCGGCCCUUGAAGAGUGUGCCUGGGGCUGGUGGCAACACAAGAGAUCUGUUUUGAAAAAUAAAGCAACUGGAUGAAGUGGGCCCCCGAGGAGAAGGUGGGGUGAGGACAGGUUUCAUGUCCUAUUCCAGGCUGAGACGAUGAUCACCAGGGUCAAAGGGGCAGGGCUGCAGAUGGAAAAAUGAGAUUGGAGAAAAAUUUUGAAGUAAAAAUAAAUAACCUUGAUAUUAAUAUGGGCUUGGUUUGAGUAUGUUCAUUUUGAGGUGCCCUGAAACCUUCCGUGUGGUGUGUCAUAUCGACUAGAGUAGGGUACAAAUUCCUCAGAGUCCCCCCCUCCCGUUUCUUUUGGAAUGUGACCUGAAAGUUGUCUGGAGAGUAGCUUUCUUAAUGGGAAUAACCUUUGUGUCUUUAUGUCCUUGAUUCCAGAGUCUGUAGAUAUUAAAAUAUUGUUCAUAGGUGACAGCUCUUCCCCAUUUUUGUCUCAGGUUAUUCAGAAGAAGGAAGAGCAUUCCUCCUGUCCUUCCCACCUAUUGGUAGAGUGUCCCCCUUCACCAGGGGCCUGUGCCUCCUUCCCCUUGGGGUGGGUGGGAGCUGAGGGAGUCCCUUCCCCGCUCUGCGUCCACAGACUGAGGCCCAGCACAAGGUUCCAGCAUCUUCCUCUCAGAAAAUUGACAAAUACGGUCCCGGACGGUGAGCAGCUGAAACCACCAAGGGCUCUUGGACCUCGGGGGCGGAUUUUCAUCCUAAACCAGCCCACCUCUGAGUUCAAGAGGUGUCAGUACUUGGAAUGCAGAGCGGGUGGAGCCAGGCUCUCCUGUUCCAGGAAACAUGCCGCGAGAUCCCAAUGCACCUUUGGGCUGGACUCUUGGUGACAGCCUCCUUCCGUUUGUGACUGAAGUUGCAGGGACAGGAGCACACAUCCGCCAGGUCGGACGUGUGGACCUCGGGUCUGGUGUGGACACACUUGACGCUUUCCCUCCUGAACGCCAUGCUGCGAUUACGCCUCCAUUUCUUGCCCUCUUCAAAACUCCCCAGAAGUUCUGUGUAAGGACAAGUCACCAAUAUCACACAAGUGUGUACUGGGUCCUCUGCAUCUUGGUGCUCCUCAAAGUCCCUACCUUGAUGCACAGAGAGGGGGCGCAGGGGCUGCUCAUUAGAACCAGUGACCUCUGCCUUGGCUGGGAGGGGGAGUGGUCCCCCCCAAGGGCAGCUUCCGCCUGCUGGAGCUGGUGGCGGGAAGAGUUGAACCUGAGCUGACUGAGGUCAUUGAGCCGAGCUGGAGUCCCGGCUGGGUUGGUCACUGAGCUAGUUAUGUAAUAUUCAGACCUUAAUUUCCUCAUGGAGCAUGAAUAGGAAUGGAGGGAUGUAAUGUGCACAAAGCACACCGAUAACUAAUGAUGUCACCUCAUGGAGACACGGUAAAACCUACCACGGGUUUUGUUUGUAAAACAGGGGUAGAGAAGUAGUUCACGUGUAAAAGUAAUCCUGAAUUGCCUCAGGAUGUGGCUCAUUAUGGACGGGGGACUUUAUUCUGCCAAUUAUUGGACCAGGAAACUUCACCUGGAUAAGGACAUCCAGCCACUGUGCCCUUGAGGGCUCUGUCCUUCCCUGUGGCUCAGUCAGGCCUGGCCACAGUGGGGUUUGUAAAGGGCCUCAGAGUAUUGAGUGGCUUGUCCUGGAGGCUUCAGCUGGGGUGGGCUGGAAUCGUUAUUUAUUGUUGAACUUUUGUUAACCCACUGCAUUGAGGGGCUCUGGGGGAGCCACUGAGUGAUCUCUGCAGCCAGUUGCUUCUUCCUAGUUGAGUUUGAAGCCUGGGGUCGCCCUUGGGUUCGCCAUGUGGGUGGGAGGCUCUUCCUGAGAAGGAGCAUCUUUCCAUGUCCCUGUGCAGAAGACUGAUGGCGGAAGCCAGCCGCCUGCCUGCGGAAAAAUCCCAGGAGGAGGCCUGGCAGGGGCGCAGGACUGAGCAGAGGACCUGGAUGUGAGCCUGAGGUCUGCCGCAGCUCGGUGCACAUGUGGGUAGGUGAACCUGGGGCUCUUAAUCCUCCACUGAAAGGUGACCGGAGCCACUCUCCACCUUGGCUUGUGGCUUUCCAGAAGGGUCUACCCCCAGAGGGUAUCCAGUAUAAGAAGGAGAGUGCCAGAAUAUUACUCAGCCACAAAGGAAUGGAGUGCCCACGGUAGGCAUCCACGGCUGCACCUCGAGGAGAGCAGGGUGGACGCAGAUGCCAGGCACAGAAGGGCAGUGCCUUGGGACUCCUCCUAGCUGAGGUUCCUGCCGCAGGCACACCAGACCAAGAGGAGCAGAGGCUGCCAGGAGCUGGCGAGGUGGCAACGGGGAGCCGGAGUUUGCUGGUGGAGUUUGGUUUAGGAAGAUAACAGUUUGGGAGAGAGAUGGAGGUGGUGGUUGCACGGUAACGGGCCUGGAUUUGACGCCAUGGAAUCAUCCCCCAAAGCGGCUAGAGUGGUAGAUUUUAUGUAUACUUCACUACAAUAAGAAAUAAAAAAAUUAAGGCGUAAACACGGAACAAACAGGUUAUAGAAUAAUUGUCUUUUUCUUUCUUUUCACAGCUCAGGAAGAAGCACCUGGCUGCAGAGAUUACUCAACGGGCCCGCAGAGCCCCUCAAUGCAGUGGACUGGAGGACACGGACAGGGACCUGGGCUGCUAUGUCCGGGCGUGGGAGCCUUCUGGCCUGGACAGUGUGCCCUGAGGGAACCCAGGAUGGGAGUCAGGCACUGGCCUGGGUCAGGCCUGGGUCAGGCCUGGCUCCCGCUCUUCAGUGGUCAGCGUGAGCGCUGCGAUCCUCCUUUCUUUGUCUGUGGAUGCGGGGUCAUUGCAGUCGGCCUCAACGCCCCCUUAGCUCUUCAAUUCUCAAAUUCCAUUUACUUUUGGAUCCGGUUCCAUCCUUUUAAAUGCUGUCACCUUUGCUUACUUUUAUAAACACAGGAGAGCAAAUCAUAUUUGUUUACUAACUUAAACAAUGAAUAACAACAAAAACGUGAAAGAAAAUCCAUCACCUCUGAGCCUACAGGUUGCGAGAAACCCCCUGGCUCCCCCGGAGCGCCCCAGGCCCGGCCAGCAGCCUGGGCUACCGGAGUCUCCGGCCCUGGAGGGGGCGGGCAAUGCUGCUCUGCCGCGCCCUCUGGUGGCCGCUUUCCGUCAUGGUCACCAACCACAGGGUUGUGCCUUGGGCUGCCCAAGCGAAAGAUUUAAUUUACUCCGACAAAUAUUACAUCUGGUGCUUCGGGUAGAGACACGGAAAAUGCCAUCUCUCUUUUCUGGAAGUCUCUCUCUUAGUGGCCAGUGAUGAAGAUGCCAGAAAAAAGUAGCCCAUUCAUUAUAUUUAUGUUGUGUGAGAUUGUACCUCAGAGGGUGAAGUCAAUGAGAAGAAUAAGUAAUUGAAACAAGCAUUUUUGUUCCCUUGGCAGAAAUUCAGUCAUUAGCAAUAUACCUAUUACAAAGGGAGAUUAGAUAAAUUAGAGAUUAAAGAAAGUGGAACAGAUGUUUUUCCUCUGAUAAGCAUCAUUCUAUCAAAAAAGCAAAGAAACAACAACAAAAAAGCAAACCUCCGGAGACUUGGACUUGGUGCAGAAAAUGUGGGGGCAGAAAUCCUAGGUUGGGGGAGACGUGGCCUGCACAGGGUCACACCUGGAUGGUGUGGACGCUCUCAUCGUGCCAUGACUCAGCGCAGUCCUUCCAUGUUGUGAGGGUGCCAGGCGCCCCAUGAGUUUUGUGGGCUCUGCGCCAGACGCCUGGUGGACCUUAUCUUCACCCUCGAAGUAGCAGCCACUGAGGGGCGGCCAUGUUGUCAUCAUUGCACGGAGAGCAAGGAGGCGGGGGCUCUGGGCGGGUGGUUUGAUUCAGAUCAGGCCCAGCACAGUCAUGGUUCUCAACUAGAGCAGCAGCAGCACUGGGAGCAAAUUCUGGGCCCCGGACCUCGUGAAUUGAGAACCUGGGUGGUGGGGGCAGCAAUCUGAUCUUCACAAGGCCUUGGGUGGAUCUGAGGCUGCUCAGGUUUGAGGACCUCAGAGGGCCUUGGACUCCUCUAGGAGACUGAAACAAUGAAAUCACAGGUGCUGGGACCCCAGGCCCCUGGGAAGUGGAUACAAUUCACAGUGCAGCCAGCUUCAGAGCCACUGGAGUAGAGAGGCCAAGUGGGGCUUGAACUUGCCUCUGUCUUGCUCAUCCGUAGACCUCGCCGCCUGGCAGAUUCUGUAGUGUGCAGCCUGCUUCUCCGUGCGUGGGGAGAACGCGGAAGCCGUGCACCUGACUACCCGCAGUGCAGAAGUGGCUAGUGGCCCAGCAAGCAAGGCCCACACGGACCUGGCAUUGUGCCCUCCCGAAAGCCAGUUGGCUCCAGAGUGGGCCUGCCGUCCAGUGCUGUGGCUUCCCGGGAGUUGGCUGCCAGUCUUCGGGGAGAUUUAUUUUCCUCUGAGAGAGAGCCACAGGGAGCCAUCAUGGGCUGAACUGAUGACCCUCUGGUCUUCCUCUGAGCUUGGCUGUGUCGCACUCUGCACCUGUGAGAGCCACGAGGAGCCCACGUGAGCCUGGCAGAAGGUAAGAUGGCAAGAGCCGGUUCCUGAUGGAGCUGCUGAGGGCACGGAGGUCACUCUGCCAGCGGAAAACUUUCCCUCUCCAGGUAGAAACCC